RNAcentral lists this long non-coding RNA (103778 nucleotides) under Populus tremula. RNAcentral describes it as "long non-coding RNA (PTRE_LNC002436)". The stretch from base 7967 to 8122 matches the Rfam family "MIR2912 microRNA precursor family". The record is from RNAcentral. Lineage: Eukaryota; Viridiplantae; Streptophyta; Magnoliopsida; Malpighiales; Salicaceae.
ACAAACAAUUACUGAUACAAGCACAAGGACAAACACAAGUCACAUCAAAACAGAAAGGCUAAGCAACAAGAACACUUCCACAGAGCACUUCUCACAGGCAAAUUGCUAAACAUGCAGUGAGCAACCAUUGAUUUGGAAUGCGACUGCUUCUCCACAGAGGAUUACAACAAAUUCAGAAAGCAGCCCACACGCUCCUGAUAAGAUCCAAUCACCUUCUGAAUCUGGACAACUUGGGAAAGUUUAUAGCCAAAAAGCAGCAGCAAGUGUCAAUGCAUUCUUCAAUGAAGUAAAACCACCUGCGUCGCCAAUACGGAUUUAUGCACAGUACUGCUGCAAUUGUCAACACCACAGUUAUGUAAAAACACACCAAAGCUGGCAUAGAAACUGUCCAUGUCUAUGAAGCCACCAUCUCCAUUGAAAUCGUUAGGCACUCUCGCGGAUGGUGAUUCUGUUUUGUCGCAACUAUUUUGCAAUGGAGGUCCACAAAGAAGAGGAUUCCCUUUAUAACUGCUCUCAUCAAAGGUACCAAAUUGAUUUUUCAUCUCCGGUGUUCUUCCUGACAAAUUAUUGUAUGACACGUUGAAAACUUCUAGAAAGGUCAGUUCAACGAGUUGUGCAGGAAUUCUCCCAUUCAAAUUGUUGUGAGAAAGAUCCAAGCUCUCUAUCUGCUUCAGAUUGAAGAAGGAUGAAGGGAUCAAUCCAGUGAGAUUAUUAUGUGACAGAUUUAAAGAAUAUAUCCCACUUAAGUUUCCCCAUUCUGUCGGGAUUUCUCCAGUGAAUCUGUUACAAGAAAGAUCCAUAACAGACAUGUAACGAAGGAUAUCGCCUUCGUAAGUGUAGAAACGUUUCUUUGCUGUAAGCUCUAUAGAUAUUUUUACACUGAUCGCUGCCCACAAAAUAUUGUGAUGAAGAGAAAAUCCUCUUCCCCCUAUGGAUGCAAAUUUUAAAAAUCCGCUUCCAGAAUCCAAUCCCGUACGAGGGGGAUCCAAAGUUUUUUCAUCUGAUGCCGUAAAAUUUAAAUUGCUCAAACAUGAGGGUAACAUACCAGAAAAAUUAUUUUCUGAAAGAUCCAAUAUGCUUAAUUUCUUUAAGAAGCAUAACUGACGAGGAAGUUUCCCAUUGAAUUGAUUAGAUUUGAGAACAAAAAUGCUCAAUUCUGAAAGGCUAUCAAUCCAAUUUGGAAUGGGCCCAGUUAAGUUGUUAUCGCCGAGAUCUAAUGUCACCAACGAAGAGAGAUUAUAAAAACAUAUGGCAGUGGACCGCUCAAUUGAUUUCCGUAAGGUGGACAUAGCGUAAAUCUGAUGCAUGGAAGCCCAACGGUAAUGACCCAGACAGAUUGUUUUCAGAAAGAUCUAAAAAUUCAAGCCCAGAAGAAUUGAAAUAUUCUAUUGGAAUGGUACCUUCAAAAUGAUUUCUGGACAAAUCAAUUCCCUCAAGUGUUUUGAAGAGUUCCCAUUCCCCUUGGAAGCAUGCCUGACAAAAGAUUGUUACUGAUAUCAACCACAAAAGUGAUGAUUCAAGAGAAAAGUACCUGAUACUUGUCCUACAAAUUUGUUUCCAUCUAGAAGAGGUAUAGGUAGUCAUGUUGAACACAGAUGGUGGUAAUCGCCCAUUGAAGUGUUGUUGGACAGCUUCAAAAACCACAACGAGGAGCCUACUGUUGGAAAUUAUGCUCAAGCAGUUCACAAGACAUGUGAUUGUUGGAAAGAUCCAAGUAUUCGAGAGAGCUCAUAUUCCCAAAACAAGGAGGAAUACAACCUGUGAGGCUGUUGUUAGCCAUCAUGAAGUUCUUCAAACGUGGAAAAAUCGAACAUAUGUUGCUUGCAAUUUGACCUUGUAUGUUGUUGCCAGACAUAUCUACUGUCUGAAGGUUGGGUGUUGGAUGUUGUGGCAGCUGCAAAGGACCACCUAUAAAUGAGGUGUCUCUCAAAUAUAGUCGAUUUAACAAUCUAUUAUUCUCAAACAGCCAAGAUGGGAAAGGUUCUCCAACGAAUUUGUUGUGGGAUAGAUCAACAAACACCAAAUCAUGUUGGCUAUGGAGGAAGUUUGGAAAUCCAGCUUUGAGUGGUUUUGGAGUACAGUUUGAAGCACUAAAAGCACGAAGCUGGAACUUUGGAACUAAAGGCUGAAAACUGGGUGCAGCAAUUAGCUCAUUGUUAUCGCAUGCAAUGAACUUGAGGUUGGUGAGGUUCAUAAAUGAACCAAAUGAUAUUGGAACUUGAAAGUGGUUAUUUGAAACUUCGAGGUAUUUGAGCUGCGUAAGAUGGGAAAGGUGACUAAGGGCAAUAUUGCCCUCCAAUUGGUUGUCAGAUAAAUCCAAGAUUUGUAAAGAUGAUAGAUUUCCAAAACAAGGAGGGAGUACGCCUUUUAGAUUGUUUCCUGAGCGAAUGUUUGAGAGAAAUAGUUGUUCAAGAUUCUUCAAUUCACACCAGCCUGUAAAAUAUAUCAAUUAUGUAAUAUAUCAAUAAUAUCUCGAAUUGAAGAAAGUCCAUGUGAAAGAGAAAGAAGAAAAGGUACGAUGAAAAGAGUGGUGGUACACAAUAUCCAUUCCUUUCAAUAUUAACUUAAAUUAGUAUCUUUAAGAUUGCAUUUUUUGUCAAGAAGGAUAGAGUGGAAGUAUCCAUUUUGUGUAUUGUAAUAUAAUCAUCUGUUAAGCAGAAGUAAAACAGAGGAAUGAUUAUGUUAUUUCUUGCGUGCGGAAUCCUCCUACCAUUAUAUAUAUACUUCCCCGCAUGCAUUACACGAUUUAUUAUAUUGUUAACUAACUUUAACCGUCUCUUAACAACUUCUAACACGUGUCCAUGCAUCUGUCAGCUAUCUUAAAUUUAAGACUGAGAAAUUUUAGAGAUUGAGAAACUCUAGAUUUUAUCCUUUUCUAUACGUAACAUUAGGAGUAAAUUUCUAGUUUAAUAAAACACAGAUAUAGCACAAAUAUCUAAUGAACAACUGUUAUUUGGAUUUCAAUACUCUUAUAAUUGUUCAUUUGUAGAAUUACCUUCAGCAGGUAGGGUGCCAUGGAAGUCAACUCCUCUCAAGGAUAGGACUUUAAGAGUAGACAAGAGUCCAAUGUUCCUAAGAAAGCUUGCUGGGAGAGAAGAAUAAUCGAGGACCACUUCUUCAAGGCUAGACGAAUUACACAACCCUGUGGCACAGAUCAUAUAAAUCCAUUAAUGAUAGUGAUAUAUAUAUAUAUAUAUAUAUCAUAUUGUUUUAGGCACCAAAUUAAACUGUUACUGACCUUUCCCAAAGUGUUUAAAAUUAAUAUCAUCGGCAUAUAAGGUCUUGAGGGAAGGCAACGCUCCCAAUGACUCUAUUAAAAUGUUUUCCUUGUAGUCAGUUGAAUCCAUAUACAAGAUUUCUAAAUUCCUUAAACCUGUGAUAGAGAGAACCAUUAAUAAUAAUUAAUUAAUAAUUUAUAAACGUUACAAGACAUAGCUUAAGUUUUAAAUUAAAAUAAUUUUUAAUAUAAUAUUAAAAUUUUAUUAAUUCAAUAUUCACCUUCAUUUAUUUUUUUAAAAUUAAAAAAUUGAACAAAAGUUAAUAGUACUGUGUGUAUGUAAGUUUCAAAUUAUUUCACUAAAGAAAAUGCAUUAAAGAAUUAAUUAUAUAAAGCCUUUUUAAGGUUUCAUCCAAACAACUUAAGGGUUAAUACACAUCUAAUUAUUGAACCUCACUAGAAAAUGCUAUCAGAGGUAAGAAUGAUUUACAACUUUACCAUUGAGACUAGUUGAUCCUGUGAAUCUAUUGUUUGAUAGAUAUAGAGAUUUAAGAGAUGAAAAACCACUUAGAGAUGAUAAAAUGUUGUCGUUAAAUUUAUUGCAUCUCAGAUCAAGUUCCUUCAAAUUCCUUAACCCUGAAGCUAAGACUUGAAAACCUGAAAGAAAAUUGUCGAAGCAAAGAAAUUAGCAUAUAUAUCAACCAUCCUAAUAUCCGUAAAGAUUCAAUGUAAAGUUACUUGAAAUAUAAUUAACUUUAUGUGUUAACUAAAAGAAAAUUGAAAGCAUAGAACCUUGGUUCUUUAAGCCACCAACUAAUUUGUUGACGCUUAAGUCGAGAAUCUCCAGUUCUUUGAAAGGCAGAAACAAAGACGCAUUGAGAUCCAAGUCGACUUCGACUACAUUGAGAUAAUCAUAAUUUACAUCUGAAAGAUAUAGUUCGAUCACUCGGUUUGUGGUGGUGUCACACACAACCCUAAGCCAGUUACAGCAAUUAAAAUGCUCUUUAUCCCAACCUUCUAGAUCAUAGGACACAGCUGCACGUGCAUGAUUGACCCAAGCUUUUAUCUGUAAGAGACUAAUUCUCUCUUCGUCCAAACAACAAUGGCUCCGGUCGUUGAAGAAGGCCAGUGCCAUGAGCAGCAUCCACACCCACAUUUGCCUCAUCUUCAUAACGCUCCACUUGACCACAUACAAAAGCAAGCAAGCUGUCUCUUAUAUACUAUUUAAUUUGUCCUCUUCAUGCAUUAAUUUGAUCGGACAGUGACAAUUAUCUGUAUCAUUGAAUUUUCUAUGCCGAAUUAAUUAUCCAAGGGAGACUUGGGCUGCAUCUGCCAGCUACCAUAAUUAAUCUGCACUAACAGUGACCAUAACAGCUGUAACAAUACUCCCUCAGUACUUGUAACAUCAUCCUAAUAUAUAUUGAAUUAUUUGAUGAAAACAUUAUCUAAAACAUGAUUAAUUGACAUAUUUAAAGUCAAAUAAAAAACAAACCCAACUUAUUUUUAAUAUUAAAAAUUAUUUUCCAAUAUAAAUUUUUUAAUAUAAAAAUUUAAUAAAAUUAAAAUAAAUUAUGAUUACUGUUUGAGAAAUUGAUUUGAUCUUGGGCCCCAUAAUUAUUUUCACUAGUCUGUUAAAGUUCUUUUUCAAGCUUAUGGAAUGAGGUGCUCCUUCAAGUUAUUGUGUAAGCUACUUUGUUUUUUUUUCUUUGUAGACUCGGGAAGUCAUUUGUUUGAACAUUUGAUUUUCUAAAAAGUUUUUAUAUCUAUUUGUUUCUGGAUUAUAAAAAUAUUUUUAAAAAAAAUUAAAUUUUUUAUUAUUUUUUUAUUAUUUUUAAAUUAAUAUAUUUUUAAUAUUUUUAAAUUAUUUUUAUGUGUUGAUGUCAAAAAUAAUUUUUAAAAAUAUAAAAAAUAUUAUUAAUAUAUAUUUUAGUACAAAAUAUUUUUUAAAAAAGAAUCUCAACCAGACGGUUAAUCUCAUCAUCCACUAGCGCAUGUUUUUAUUCUUCCGGAGACCUGUGAAGUCAAGAUUCUCAAUUAUCCACUGCAUCAAUCUCUAUCCCAUCAAAAUGAAUUUGGUGUAAGAAAAAAAUAUCUGAUAUAUGUGAUUUACUCCUGGUUUGACCCCUCCCUCCCUCCAUAAAGUUAUCAUUUAACUCCACUUUCGAGAUAAAAUCUUAAACUUCUUUAGAUUUUUUCCUACCCUUGAAAUUGUUAUGAACAUAAGUAAAAGAGAUGAAAACUCCUUUACCCACGUAUCGAGCAUACCCUAGUUACAUAACACUAGUUAAAUCUUGACAUAACAUUUCAAGUUAAUUAAUGGCUAGGAUUUUGUUUAGUGGAUUUUUUUUUGAAAUUAAAUAUCAUAUCAAUAAAUAAAUAGCAACUAAAAAUAUAACUACUAAAAUAGAUAUUUUAUUUUGUUAAUUUUAUUUGAAAAAGCUUUUGAACAUAAGGACUCCAUAUAUAUAUAUAUAUAUAUAUUUUUAUGCUUAUUAUAUUGGAUAUGUUUAAUGCCCCGGUAAUAACCAGGAUAGGAGGCCGACUUAAUUAGAGUUGAUAGGGCACAAAUAUAUAUAUAAUGUGCUCCGAUUAAUACAAAAAUAAUUAUAAUAAUAAUUAAGGUUUGUUUUUUUAUUCAGUUUGUUGUUAUCUAUUUUUAGGUUCUCUCACACAAAACAAAUUUGAAAGAAAACAAAAAAUAUGAACAAUUGAUUUGAUCUUAUGAAAUACAUGGCAGAAGAGAUUAGAAAAUGAUUUCCAUUUGUCAGAAAUACACCCCAAUAGUCUUAAUUUGAAUUGCACUUUGCACUCCUUUUCCAGCGAUCAAUAGCUAGGAAACCUGUCAGUGAAAUCUUUAUUAUUUGCUCCGGGUUGCUGCUGCUGGUUACUCUGUCACGGAUUAUUAUUUUUCAGUAGUCAGUUAUCCUAGUGCUUGCUUGGACAUGCUCAACAAUGGAGUUUCUCUAAAUGUAAUUCCCACAGUGAAAUCUUCUGUCAAAGUCAUUCCAAGCCGGAAAAGAUCAGGAAAAUGAAGUCUUGAAACAUCAAGCGAAUAGAGCCCAGCAGGAAAAAUUCGUUUCUGACGGUGAGAUUUGUAAUGUGAUCCUAGCUAGUAAACCCAAGGUUGUCAAUUCGGUUCCGUUUCGUCCGGAAUGACCGAAACAUUCAUACCAAUUUAAAAAACGGAAUAAAAUGGAAUAAAUUUCAUCUCAUUUUAAAUCUCGAUCUGUUCCGGAUUUUUCAGCUAAAUUCCGCCCGGAAUGUUCUGGUUUCAUUUUACAUGUUCCGUUCCGCUCUUGAAAAGCCAUUGAAUCAAAUUGAACCUUGUUCAAUUUAAUUAAUUAAACCAUCCAAUUAUAAAAAGCUCAUUUUCAUUACUAUUCUCAAUAAUGACACGAUCAAAAGAUUGAUGUCUCUCCCAAGUGCAGGAGUGUUGAAGUAAUAAAUAACCCGGUAAGACCGGGGUCAAACCACAAAGAGGUUAAUUGUAUAAAUUAUAAAUAACAAUAGAACAACAACAAAAACAAUAAUAACAACAAUAACAACAACAAUAAUAACAAUAAUAGUAAUAAUAAUAAUAAUACUCAGUACGUGGCGUUGUUAUACCUGAGAAUGAUCUAAAAGAUCGGGUCACAAGUUUCCAGCCUAUAUACUGAUCGAGUUUAUAAAAAGAUCAAAGAGAUAUAUUAUAUAAUAUAAACAGAAUGUAAAUAAUAAUAAUAAUAAUAAUAAUAAUAAUAAUAGUAGUAGUAGUAGUAGUAGUAGUAGUAGUAGUAGUAGUAGUAAUAGUAAAAAGAAAAGGAAGAAGAAAUUAAUGAGAACUUUGAGAUGGAAGAAUAAUGUAAGGAUUAAACAAUGAUAAAAACAAAUGUCAAGGUUAGAGGAUCCACCAAUGGUAUUUCAAACAAGUAUAGUAUAAACUCUUAUUACUCAAUUUGGAAACCACACACGAGGAGGUUCCAAUCGGAUGAUUUGUCAUUAAUAGCUCAUUAUAAAUUAUUAACAUGAUCAUAUUAAUUAUCUUAUUUACAUAACACCAAACUUUUAAAUAUUCAGGAAUUCAUGAUGUUAACUGAUGUUAACAACAAAUCAAGUUCCUUUCAUAGCCAGGUGUAGGUAAUACCAUACGGUUGGGCUAUGAGAGUGCCAAGCAUUUGUUGUACCAAGUGUUAUACAACACAAAUCUAGAUUAACCAUUUAACAAGCAAGGUAUUAAGAAUUAGUAAGAUAAAAAGAUAAGACAUGUUAAUAUUAAACAUUAAGGUCCAUGUUGAGUUUACACUAUACUUAUUCUUACACCAUUAGUGUAACCUUUUCACCUUGACAUAAUAAACUUAGCUAAACAUAAUGAAGAAGAGAAACAUAAAUAAACAAAACAAGAACAUAAAGAAAAUACAAGUUAACUAAGUAAAGGAAAGGAAAUGAAAAGCAUAAACAAGAUAUUAAUGAAAGCAAAACUUAAAAAUUACAAAAAAAAUAUAAAGAGAGAAAUAAAGAGCAUGAACUUGAUCUGAACAACCAAGCCCCUAAAUACAUGGCAAAUGCCUCCUUUUAUAGGCCAAAAUUCAGAAUUAUUGAUUUGAUGACUAAUUGUUGAGUGGGUGGCCAACUUUUGACUUUGUGAAAAUCCUUAUCUUCUUGUCUGAAUAAAACAAAAUGCUAGCAUCAGAACUGGGUCCACUUGAAAACAUGAAAGUUGUAGGAAAUUGACUCAGCUUUCCAGGAAAAAAAAUGGAGGUCAUUUGGACUUCUAGAACUCCAGAUAUGGGCCAAACACUAAACAAUGUUCGGGCUGCAGGACAGAUUCAGACUUCUCCGUUGUUGCUAUAAUUUGGACUUGCAAACGGCCUUCUUAGAUCUUGAUGAAAACAUGAAAGUUGUAGGCAUAUGUCUUAGUGAAUUUGUGUAAAAAUUUGAGAUCAUUUUGACAUCUAGAACACGAGAUAUGACCCAAUUACCAAACAGUGUUCCAGUUUGGACUGCACCAACAUCUCUUUUCUAAGCUUCACCCUCUUUUUGUCCUUUCAAUUUCCAUACUUGAACUCAUCAAUCAAUCCAUUGAUUUAUAUGAUAGGCCUGCAUUUAAGAUGAACAUUUACCAUAUAUUAAGGCAUUUUAAAGUAUUAGACUUGUUAUUAUAAAACAUUCUUUAGUUAAGGAGUUAUUAAUACUUUAAGUGCAAAAUGAUGAUAUAAAACCUUGAUAAAUAUGCACUUUUAAGUACUAAUCAAGUAACAAUGAUAUUAAUAAUAAUAUUGAAAAUUAUUAUUACUAUUUUCAUUAACAAUGAUAUUAAUUUUUUAAAAUUAGAUUUAUCACUAAUAUAUACGAUUUAUAUUCAUGUUGUUUUUUUCAUGUUUAUACUUUGUAGGAAUUUUAGCAAAAUAAGAGAUUCUUUAGAUUCCAUUAGCCUUGAUAACAUUGACCUAAUUUUAUAUUUUAAAUAUUUUUGUUAAAACAUUUUACUUUCAUAAUAUUUUGAUAUUUUGUUCAAGUUGAAUUACUUUAAGUUAAAGAUUUAUUUAAUAUUGACUAUUUAGAAAUAUUUUAAAUUUUAAAAUUAUAUUUGUUUGGCAUUGUGUUUGUAUUGCUUAAUUUAUAAUUAAUUUAUCUUGAAUUCGAAUUAUGUUUGCUGAAUAUAUAUAUAUAUAUAUAUAUAUAUAUAUAUAUAUAUAUAUAUAUAUGAACAAUACAACCCCGAAACGACACACCGAAAUACUUCAAAACUAAAACAUUUUAUUUUAAUUGAAAAAAAAAAAUACCUACCGGAACGAAAUUGACAAUCUUUAGUAAACCUCAACCAAAGAUCAUAAUGCCAAAAUUGUAGUCAAAGAGACUUGGAACUCCCUGCUGAUGGGCUGUUUAUUCUGCCAAAAUUGCAUGGGCCGUUUUACAGCCUUCGUAAUGGGCUUGGCUACUUUGGGUAGUUAAAAAAACCCAAAUAGAUAAUGUUUUCUUUUCCUUUGGUAUCCGUUUAAUCAAUCUUCUGGUUUGAUCCUUGAUAGUGCUGUGUUUUGAUGCUUGUCGAUUAGCCACAAUAAUGUUAAAUUUACAAGGACAGAUCCAAGAAAAGCAAUGCAGGCCUGUAUUUACUUUCAUAUUAAUUAUUGUUUGAAUAUUCUUAAUCUGAAUGAUAUUAGUCCAUUCAAAACAAAUUCAUUUUCUUUUUUAUAAAUAUAUUUAUAUAACAAUGAAAGAAGAAAAUGCAUUGAUUAAAAUAUUAUUGAUGUGUUUGAAUGAAGAAAGUUAGGGCAGAGAUGACCAAUAUAAAGACCGUGUGGGCCAAUAAAAUGAAUACAAAAAACAAUAUCAAUGGCUUGCAAAAAAAAAAAGUUUUAUGUUAAAUUUAUCUAUAUGUUAAAUUACUUGAUUAACUAAACUUAAUCCUGUAAUAUUAAAUUAUUUGAUGAAAAUAUUAUCUAAAACAUGUUUAAUUGACAUAUUUAAAGUCAAAUAAAAAACAAACCAUGUUUACUGUUAAUAUUAAAAAUUAUUUUUCAACAUAAACUCUUUAACAUAAAAAUUUAAUACAAUUAAAAUAAAUUAUGAUUAUUGUUUGAGCAAUUGAUUUGAUCUUGGACCCUACAAUUAUUUUCGUUAGUCUGUUAAUGUUUUUCUUUAAGCUUGUGGAAUGGGGUGUUCUUCUAAUUUAUUGUGUAAGCUAUUUUGCUUUUUUUUUUUUCAUAGACUUGGGAAGUCAUUUGUUUAAGCAUUUGAUUCUCUGGCAAGUCUUUAAACGCAUUCAUAUUUGUAUUUGGUUAUAUAUUGAAAAAUAUAUAAAUUGUAGGCCCUAUUGUUUAUAUAAGGUAGUACUCGAUUAUGAAAAAGCAAUUAUUUUAUUGCUUUUUUGCAAGUUUAAUCAUUGGUUGAAUUUUUUUAUAUGGCCGGCAUAGUGAAUUCUUAAAAAAAAAAAAAAACAUGUUUAUUAAUUGGGAAUGGAAAUUAUUUUUUCAAUUAUUAAAUUUUUAAAAAAAAUUCAAGAGCACUAAAAUAGUUUUUUUUAAGAAACUUGUUUUUCUUCUUCCACUAGCACUUGUUUUUUUUUUCGUAGACCUGUGAAGUCAAAAUUCCCAAUUAUCCACUACAUUAAUCUCUAUCCCAUCAAAAUGAAUUUGGUCCAAGAAAAAAAAUAUCUAUAUAUGUGAUUUAGUCCUGGUUUUAUAAAUUAAUUAGAAAGUGUAAAUUAUCUGUAUCAUUGAAUAUAUACAAUUUUGUCCUCUUCAUGCAUUUGAUCGGACAGUGACAAUUAUCUGUAUCAUUGAAUUUGCUAUGUUGAAUUAAUUAUCCAAGGGAGACUUGGGCUGCAUUGAAUGGGAGAGUCUUCACGGACAGUGCUAACCAGGGGCCCGCACCACGGCACAGAUCGCUCGGUUUGUGGUGUUGGAUUAAAGGAUAUUAAUUCCAACUUCUUGUUUACUGCUUUGCUUUUCUUCAUAGACUUGGGAAGUCAGGUGCUGUUUAUGAACAAUUGAUUUGAUCUUAUGAAAUACAUGGCAGAAGAGAUUAGAAAAUGAUUAAUAUUAUCAAUAAUUUCUUCUUACUGCACCUACUGAUUUUUAUUUCUUGUGAAAUAUUUAGAAUAUCUCUUUUGAAAUAUCAAUAUCGCCUACCCCCACUUCCUUCAUUUUUGUUAACGGAGUGAAAUGAUUUCCGACGCAGCUACUAAUUUCAUCAGCCACUUUCACUUGUUUUUAUUCAUAGACUUGGGAAGUCAAGAUUCCCAUAAUCAAAAUGAAUUUGAUCGAAGAAAGGAAAAAAUGAAAAAAAAAAAAAAACAUUACCAGUGGCUUACAAAAAAUAAAUAAAUAAAACCAUCAAUUACGAGCUUCAUAAGAGAAUUUUAGCUAUUUUGUCUUAAACUCAACAGAAUAUUCUUUAGGAAGCGUUGGGAACGGUGCAAACCGCGUUCCCACCAAAUUUUAAAUUUUUUUUUGUUAAAAUUUAAUAUAGUUUGUAUUUUUUGGAUUGUUUUGAUGUGCUGAUAUUAAAAAUAAUUUUUAAAAAAUAAAAAAAUAUCAUUAACAUAUAUUUUAGUACAAAAAAUUAUUUUAAAAAUAACUAUUAACAUACUUACAAACAGGACAGUUAAUCUUCAACUAAUCAACCGAUGAUCAUAAAUGAUGCCAAAAUUGUAGUCAAAGAGACUUGGAACUCCCUGCUGAUGGGCUGUUUAUUCUGCUAAAAUUGCAUGGGCUGUUUUACAGCCUUCGUAAUGGGCUUGGCUACUUUGGGUGAUUAAAGAAACCUAAAUCGAUAAUGUUUUCUUUUCCUUUGGUAUCCGUUUAAUCAAUCUUCUGGUUUGAUCCUUGAAAGUGCUGUGUAUUGAUGCUUGUCGAUUAGCCACAUAAUGUUAAAUUUACAAGGACAGAUCCAAGAAAAGCAAUGAAGGCCUGUAUUGGUCUCUGAGAGUUCAAAAUAAGACCCCCUGAUAAAGGCUGCAAUCAUUGCUUGAACCCCUGUAAAGGGGCCUUGACACAUGCGGUCCACUGAAGAAGUACAGCACCGUUCUUUAUUUAAUUCUUAUGGUUUAAAUCUACUAAUGACUUAGUCAUUUUGCAUGCUAUUUUUCCACUUGUUUUCUAAAAUAGAGAAAAGAACUGUUAAGCAUGCUGGAUAUUUCGCAUAAUAAGCUCUCCGGUCCUUUAUCCGGAGAGCUUAAUUUAACUUUCAUGGCAAACGAUGCAAAAUGCUAUGUAUCUUUUACUUGGCCUAGUAUUCAAUAUUUUGAUCAGUCAAAUCUUGUACUCAUGGGUUUGCCUCAAGUAGGCGAUUCUUAUCGUGAAACUAAGUACACAAACAACAUUGCACAUUAAUCUGUCGAGUUCUCAACAAAAAGACAGUCUUACUCCUAUCGAGAUGAUCUUAUUACUUUCAUGUCUGGUAUUGAUUUUUCUUGCAACGGAUUCACUGGCAAAAUCCCACCAAAUUUAGAGAUUGUAAGUGAGCUACGAGCGGUAAAUCUAUCACACAUCAAUCUCAUUGGAUCCAUCCCCGCAACUCUUUAGAACCUGAAGCAGAUUGAGAGUUUGGAUCUUUCUCACAGCAAAUUGACCGGUAUCAUCCCUUCGCAGCUUAUUGAGGUGAGCACAUUGGAGGUUUUCAGUGUUGCAUACAAUAACUUGUCCGGUAAAACUCCAGAGAGGAAAGCUCAGUUCGGCACCUUUGAUGAAAGUAGUUAUUAAGGAAAUCCUCUUCUUUGUGGACCUCCAUUGUGAAUUUGCAGUGAAACAAACUCGUAAUUGCAGCCUGUACCUAAUAAUGAACAAGAAGAUAAUAAUGGUUUCAUAGACAUGGAUGCUUUCAUUGUGAGCUUUGAGGCAUGUUACAUAAUUGUCUCGUUGGCAAUUGCAGCAGCUCUUUACAUAAAUCCUUACUGGAGAAGAAGAUGGUUUUACUUCAUUGAAGAGUGCUUAAGCAAUCGCUACUGUUUUGUGUGCAGACGUAGGCACAUCUUCAGAUGGACAUAGGGGUUGAUGCUUGCCAUUUGUUCUCAGUUAUACUAAGAAAGAAUGAACCGCGACUCUGUCCACCAUUCUCUCCUGUGCAUGAACAAAUUAGUGAAGGAAUAUUUGCAGUGAUAUAUGUUAAUGGUUUCCUGACUUCAUUAGAAUAUUUUGCUCCCAUUUUCUUUGCUCCAUGAACUGAAUAUAUAUUGCAACAUAAUUGUGGUGUUGUCAAUCACAGCAAUUAUGCACAUAAAUCCUUACUGGCGCCGCAGGUGGUUUUACUUCAUUGAAGAAUCGCAACUAUUAUGCUGCUGUUUUCUAGUGGUUAGUUUCCGUAAGCUGUCCAACAUCAUGUCAUCGAACCUCUGUAUAAUCAUUCAAUUAGAUGACACAUUUAAAAAUUUUAAAAACUAAUAAUACUAUAACUAUGAAGAACACCUAAAAUAUUUAAUUUUAUUCUUCCAAGUCUCUGCUAAACUAAUGAUACACAAUUGUGGUACUAGCAAUUGCGGCAGUUUUGUACAUAAACCCAUAUUGGCGACAUAGGUGGUUUUACUUCAUUGAAGAGUGCAUGGAGACUUGCUACUACUUUGAAUUGCAUACAUUUCAUAAGCUAUCCUCCUUCACAAGGCCAUAGGGAUCUGACGCGUGCCUUUUGUUUUUUCAUAUUUUUUAGUUUGAACUAAUAAAACCUUUACUUUUUUUCAAGCUUCAGUUCAUUUUAUUGCAGUUUCUCAAAUGAAUUCUACAAAUUCAAGAUAUAUAUCCAUCCUUAAUGCCAUAUUAAAGAGAAUAUAUAGAGAGAAAAAGAGGAGCUUUACGUGAUAUGGAUAGCGUGAUGCUCCUAAGCCUAGAACCAGCUAAAACUUAAUAUUAUGAUGAAUAAUUCAGCAAAACUUAAUUCAAUUUCAACUUCCAAUCUCAUCAUUAGUACAAAAUGCACAGUCAGAUUGAAAGGAAAUUGAUUGGAACUUGAAAUUCGGGUAACAAUACUUCUAGCAGAGCUUCCUCCUUACCCUCUCCCUAUUGUAUCUUCUUCGAGUGGAACUCUAGCUUUUUGCCCUCCAAGAUAUAUGUUCUCAUCUUUCUCCAGUACUCUCUUUUCCAUCCAGCAUAAGCAAUCACAACUUACCUCAACGGAAAACUUUAUAGCCAACUUCAACCAAUAUUUAAAAGGAAUUUUGUCCUUUGUUUAAUAAGCAAAAUCAACAGAACCUGUCUUUGACUUUCUAGCUCAUAUAUAGCAGUAGCCAUUUUAAGGAGCAGAAACAAACACUGUAGAGAUUUAUCAUCACGAAAAUCUGGUUGAUUUAUUAUCACGAAAAUCGAAAAUCUAGUUGAUUUAUCAUUACGAAAAUCUAGUUAAAACAAAUUAAUAUGAAAUCAAAUCGAGGAUGAAAGGUUGAUUUUGAGAUCAAGAAUAGCAUAUAUUAAAAAGAUAAUAAAUAAAAUUAGAGUAAUAACAUUGAUACAACUUAUCAUUAAAUUUCAUUUGCAAUUUCCUCUCGAUUUUCUGUAGUUCUGUAGAGACAAAGAUUAGUUGGUCCUUACGGGAAUUUUUCUUCCUUAAUUUCACUCCCAUUUCCCAAACGAUGGAAUUCAUACAACCUUUCGAUUUUAUUUCCACGUAAAAUCCAUUCUUCUCUAUCAAACAGAACAUAAUAAUGGGCCAUAUUUUAAUUUAAAUAUCUUUUUCCUAAUAUUUAAAGCUUUUUUGCUGGGAAAAUAUCAUGGGGAUUUGAGAGAAAAGACAAUAGAUAAGAAAGCACAUGAAAAAAAGUGAGAGAAAAUGAUGGUGGGUCUUCAUUAUUCAAGGACCGUAUUGGAACUCUUUGGAGGCAUGCGUGAGAGGUGAAAUGGAAACGUAUAGGGACCAAAUUGUUAUUUCAAUGAAUAUAUAGGGCUUAAAAUGCAAUUUACCCUUAAUUUUUUCAUGGAUGACGCAGUCACAAGGAGAGGAUAUAUAUAUGUCAUUUCUGAAAUGAGAAGACAGGCAGUGGCAAUAAGUAAAAUUUCAUAAAUCAUCAUCAAUCAAAAAUCAUGACGUGGGGACAGAUUAGACGGUUGAUUGUGACUUUUUUUACCCUCUCUUUCUCCCGGUGGGGGGUUUUAGGACAGUAUCGCGCGAGAUGCGCGGGCGCUGUGCUCUUACAUUUCCAAGGUGUAUAGUGGGAUCCAUGUCUUUAUUAAACCAAUUAAACCCACUGGGAUUCUAGUUUUUUUUUUUAAAAAAAAAACAUUUCAUAAAAGUCCUCAAACUUCGAGUCUCAUCUCUAUCAUAGCAAUAUUAUAAUUUUUAUUCAUUUUUAGUUAACAAAAAGUUUAUGUAAUCAAUUGAAGUUUAUAUGGUUUUUUUUUAUAUAUAAAAAACCAAUGAAUUCUUUAAAAAUCUCAUUUUAAAUCGCUUGAAACUAAUUUCAUAAAGAAACACAAAGAUUUUACAUUUAUAUAAUUUGUUUAAUUACAUAAACAAAUUAUAUGAUAAGAUGAAGAGAUAUCACAUAAUUGUUUGAUUUUAUAACCCUUUAAAACAAACUCAUCAAAAUAUUUAAUCCAAAUUCUGAAUAAGUAACCAUAUCUAAUGUAGAUAGUUUUGAAUAAUUUGAUAAUUUUUAAUAGUCAAAUGUAGAUUUAUCACAAUUUAGAUCAUAAAUAUAUAACCCAAUAAACUCAUAAUAUGAACAAAUAUAACUGGGCUAACUUAAGAAAAAAAACAAAUUGGUGCAAAAUGACUAAUCUAACUAUAAAAGUUUAAAUUUUAAUUUGACCUCAUGGAAAUCAUUCUCAAAUUUAAUUAGGAGAUUUUAUGGUUUUAAUCUAAAAAAUUUUGCAUUUUAUAUUGUAAAAACCUAUAUCAUAUCAAGAUUAAACUUCAGUAAAAAAAAAUAUUAGAAGGAGAGUUUUUUUAUAUAUAGAAUUACGUUAUAAAAAAAAUAUUAGUCUAACUUAAGUUUGGAAUGAAAACUUAAGUGAAAUUUAACAGUCUGCAACAACAAUCCUUUACCAUCCACCAUUAAAUGAUCAACAGAUUUUUUUAAGGACAAUAUAAAUUCUGAAAGAGCGUAGACAUGAAUGACAGCCAAGAACCACCCAACAGCCAUGCAGGGUCUAGUCUGCAUGGCAAUGGUCCACUCAAUCGCUGAAUCCACAUGAACAGUCUAAUGAACUGCUCAACAUGCAUUUGGUUCUGGUAAUUCAAUUAUGCGAAGGGUGUAGGUCCGAAUUCUUCAACUUAAACAAACAUGUUUGCGUAAUUAAGUGUUCAAUCACGUACUUAAUUUGCUAUUGAAAACAUUUAGAAUUUAUCAACAAUUUAAUUAAGCAGGUGUAUACAACCUUCCAACAUUAUGGAAUAAAAAUAUGACAUUUGGCGUUCUCAUCACAUAUUAUGAACUGUUAGGAUGUUGCAUGAAGUAUUAUCUGAAUAUAUAUGUUAUGAACUGUUUGCAUGAAACAUGUUAGGAACUGUUAGGAUGUUGUCGCAUAACUAUUAUCAUGCUACAUAACACUAUUUCAGUUGUGCUUGCAGGUAUACAUUAAUGAAGCAUUUGUUCAUGAUUGAACUAUCUGAACUACUUACAUGCCAAUUCAUUCUCAUGAUGUUUUGUCAUAAAUCAACUAAAGAGGGAGAUUGUAAAUGUCAAAAUGUUUGGUUUUGAUUAGUGAAAGAUUAUUUGCGUUGUUGAAGAUUAUUUUGUUUAGGUUUCUACUUUAUUCAAAUUAGAUAAUGAAUUAGUCAAAUUUAUCUCAUAGGAUAUAGCAUGAUUAUUUAUGUAAUUAUCUAUGGAUAAAUUAUAUAGGAAAUUCAGAUAAGUUUUAUAAAAAAAAAGAUAAAUACAAGUUAUCGGAAGAUAACAAUUAGAGAAGUGUUUUUGUGAAACAUGUUAGCAGUUUUUUAAGAAUGUAACAAACUAGGAAACUUAAAGAUAAUGUUUAUUAAAUGUUCUUAUCCUUUUCACAUGGAUGUGUAUAUAAAGAAGGACAAUCAGAAGCAUUUGAGAGUUGCAUUGGAAGCAGAGAAAGAGUGCUCAACCAGCUAAAGAGUUACACAAAGUUUCACAGCAUGUACUCUUGGCACACAAGUAGAGUGUGAAGAAAAUUCUCAAGGAGAAUUGUUUUAAGAAGAGUUGGAGAGCCUGCAUACUUUCAGGGGGAGUUCCUAUGUUAACUAUUGGCAACUAGAUGUUUCAGUUAGGAUGAGAAUAAUUUGAAGAUUGUUAGUUGUUCUGGCAAGUUAUUGCAAUAGAAGACAAAAUAGAGUGUUUGUCUUGACAAGUAAGGUAGUAUAGAUGCAAAGGAUUGGUAGUGAAAAAUACUCCUCUUGUAAUCUUCUAUACUAGAUAAAAUUUGUAUAUCUUGAAUUUGGCUGCCUCAUAUGGUUUUUUUUUUAAUCUUUUAAAAGUUCUUCAGAAUAUUUUCUCUUCAUAACCAAAUAAUUUGUUUAUUUAAGUUUUCUUGUUAAUAUACAUGGAACAGAAACAAGACUAUUAGUUAUUAAAAAUGAUAAAUAUUUUAGAAUCUUGUAUUUUCACAUUUUCCAUAUUAUAUAAUAUACAGUGUCCAAAGUUUGCAAGCAGGUCAUCAAUGUUGAAUUAUGAUUAAAUUAAUAGCAUGUAUUAUUAAUAUUAAUAUCCGCGUUUAUCAUAUGGAUACCUUUAUUAAUUGAUUUGUUGUUCCCUUUUCCCUUGUGUAGCUAUUUGGUUUGGAAUGUGCAUCCGCGCCAAUACUAUUUAAUUGCAAUUCUCUUCAUCAUGUGAUAUAAUUAAAUGAUUAAAGUCAAGCCCAUACGUCCGCAACAGUACUCACCAUAUAUAUAUAUAUGAAAAUAAACUUACUAUUUAUUUAGUAAAAUAAAAAUUAGUUGAAAAGUCUUUAUUCAUUUUCACAAUAAACAACGAUAAAUAUCCACACAUAAAGUUUCAACACCAAGAACCAUUACAAAAACUUGGUACGAACCAUGCAUCCACACAUGGUAUGGACCAAACACCUUAACUAUUCAUAAAAACUUUAACUAUUUAAGUUAAUAAAAGCAUAGAGAAAAAUAUAAACAGGCAAAAAAGAUGAAAAUUGCAUAAUAUAUUUUUGAGUUGUGAAUAUGUUUUUGUAAAAAUAUCACUAGGGUGAUAUUUAGAGCGAAGACAAGAGUAUUCUCCCCGGCCCCUCCUUAAAUUUCCCCGUCCUUUAAAAUGCCCCCAUCACUAUCAAAUAAUUCCCUGCACACAGCCCUGUGUGAGGGGUAAAGUCACGGGAUUAUUAGUGGAGCAAUUUGCUCCACUAACCAAAUAAACUAAGUACUCCUGUCAAGUGGAGCUCUAAAGACAUAUCUUAUAAUAAUAAUAAUAAUAAUAAUAAUAAUAAUAAUAAUAAUGGUGCACACGCUUCAUCAUGCCACUUUUUUGGAAUAAUCCUUGUAUUAUAUCAUUGCUCACAAACAGGAUACUUAUAAAAAAAUAAAAAAACAGAAAAUACAAUGGGACGUGAUAAACAGGAUAGCUCACGGAAUUUCAGAUCUAAAUCAUGGAAUAAAAUCAUCUCUGUCUUGCGUGAUCGAUCGUGUAAUCUUUGUUCUUUUUUAAAAAAGUCGCAACCGCACACUUAAAAAACUGCAAAAUCACAUCUUUCUUUCUAUCUUCCGUUGCCAAGCAUUAUUUUCAAACUCCUUACGAAGAUUUUUUGUUUGUAGAUCAAGUGGUCAAGUAAACAUCGGUUCUAUUUGGGAAUGUAUUUGUACUGAAGUUAAUUUAUUAUUAUUAUUUUAAAUUAAAUUGUUUUGUUUUCAAAUUAUUUUAAUAUGUUGAUAUUAAAAAAUUUGACUUGACCCACUUUCUUCAGCAUCUAGUGUAAUAACUAAAAUCAAACGGCAUUGCAUUUGGUGUAUAAACUAUAAAGGUGUCAGAAGUGUGAUAUCCCACUUUCUUCAUUAUUAGUCUGUAACAACCUUCUCGUUUCCUUAUAUCACUACUGGCCAAAUUGAAGUUUCUCAAAUUCUAAAGUUACAGUUUUAAAAUUAUAUAGGAAUUGAGAGAAAAUUCUGAUAUUUUUAUUGAAAAGUUAGUAAUUCAAUAAUCUAAUCUUAAAACAAUACUCCCUUUGUUGAUAUACAAGUUUAAAACCGACCUAAUCAAAAGAAUUAAAAACUAAGUGAGAAAAAUAAUUAAAAUUCAAAAUUAAUUAAAAAAAUAAUUAAAACUACACAAAUGGAAUCUUCUAUGCCUAAUUUAAAAAGAUUUAUGUCGUGGAUAUAGAAUCAUCUAGAGUACAAUUCAAUAGUUGAAUAUAAAAUUAUGAUUGUUUUAGAUCCGUUUCAUCUUAUAUUAAUGCUUUGAAUUAUAAUAAAAAUAUUAAUAUUUAUAACACAAAUAAUAAUAUUUUCAAUAUUUAUACAUUCAAUUAUAAUAAAAAUAAUAAUAUUUAUGGCACAAAUAAUAAUAAUAAUAAUAAUUUUUAAUUUUAUCCUUCAAAACAACUAUAUGAUUUUUCUUUAAAGGUUAUUAUUAUUAUAUUAUAUACAUAAAGCUAAAUCAUAUGGGAAAAGUCAUGUUCAUCAAGACCCAUAGCACUACGGAUUGCACAUUUGAUGGGGCAUGGUGUGCUGCAGCCCCACACACUGACACCUGGUGCAAGGGCAUUCAUGCCUAGCCACAAAGAGUUCCAAGGCUGCAUGGGGGAGAGGUUAAGCCCCAGGUUUCGAACACCUGGUGUUGGGUCCGCUGACCUGCAUGCUAGGUCCGAACAUGGACCCCCUUCUAUUGGGUCAGGCGUCCUCACCCAAAUCACUUGGGUCUAGACAAGGGUCGAGCCCUUAACCCCCUUGGUUCUGUCCACGGUCCAAUCCCAUACCCCUUAGGGUUCAGACAUGGCCUCAUCCCCAACGCCCUUGGGUCUAACCACGGACGCAAACCCCAACCUGAUUGGGUCCGGACACGGAACCAACCCCCUUGGGUCAAGACAUGAACCCAUCAGGUUUGGUCCUGACGCGAACCCAACACACCAUGUGUCCGUACUCCGAAGGACCCAAACACCAACCCCCUUGGGUCCAGACAAGGACCCAACCCCCCUUAGUCUGGACACGGACGAACACAACCCCUUUAGGUCCGGAUGCGAAAGGACCCAAACUCCUUAGGUCCGGACACGAAAGGACUCAAACCCCAACCAAUUUGGGUCUAGAUACUGACCCAACCCCCUUGGGUCCAGAAAUGGACCCAUCCCCCUUGGGUCCAGACACGCCCCAAUCCCCAACCCCCUUGGGUCCAGACACGUCCCAGUUGGGCCUUGGGUCCAGCCAUGACCCAAAUCAAAAUUAGAAUGUUAAUGAACUCACCAUUGCCAUUAAGCUCCAUUGAGUGUAAACAAUGAAUUUAUAAAAUAGUCAAAAGUGGGAUGUCGUGAUUUCAACAAUGCCGUUUCAGAAAAUUGAUAGUCAUGAUGAAAAUAAGAAUACAGAAUUGUUGAGUUGAAACGUGUACGCCUGAAAUGUAUAGUGAUGAUGGUGGAACUGAUGCGGUUGUAUAGCAGCACCAAAAAGUACUUUCCUAAUGAUUUCCUUGCGGAAGAAAUUAUGGCAUGUUGGAAAACGAUGCCACCCUAACAAUCCAAGAGUUCAAAUUCAACUUGAAUAAAAGCAUGCUAAUUUAGAGGAGAAAGGAUCCAAGAACAUCAUGAAACAGGGGAUUGUUCUAUUUUGUUAUGUAACAAUCUCAACAGCUAAUUAAGAGGUUAGAUUGUAGGGUCUAAUUUCAAAUGCAAGACUCUAUUGAUUCUCAUCAUUAUAGUAAUAAAACCAUGUACAUUUUUAUUAAAUUAAGAGGAAACACAAAAUUAAACAAGAAAAUCUUAAGAUUUCAGAAAUAAAUCUAACAUUGUCGAACGGAUUGUGACCAAACCCAGAUUUGGUGGAAGAUAGAAAUAUGAAAAGAGAGCAGAAAUUGAUGGUCUCUUCUGCUUUUCCUGGCCUCCUUGUUUUGCAUAUAAGGUUCGGCCAUCUAAGCCUUUCAUGGGGUUUGAAUUUCCUGGCCUCCUGAGUUAAUUUCAUCUAACCCAUAUAAGGCUAGACUUGAAUAUUUCUAUAUAUACACUUAAGGCUGGAUGAGCUUGUCUCCUUAGCAGGCCUUCUUAGGCUUUUGUGCUGCCAAACUAUGUCAGCUCUAAGCUCAUUAUUAUCUGAAUGAAAUCAUUGCAUACUUGCUAUCAAGAAGAUUUUUUUCCUGAUGGAUUUCUCUCACAUUGCAACAGCAGUAAUCAAUCAUGGCACCCAACUCAGUUGAAACGGUGAUCGGUACAAUGACUUCAAGUCACGGUUACCUCUUCUUUUCUUUUUCUUUCUUUUUUUUUGUUACGAAAAAACAAGUAAAGUGUAUAUCUAUGAAAUUAAGUUACAGAAAAUGUAAAAUACACUUGUCAUGGCUGAUUGAAAUCGUGGAAGAAAAAACUAGAGGAAAGAUAAUCGAUUGACCCCCAACGAAGACCAAUGCAGAGGAAUUUCAAAGGGGAAAAACGGUGGCGGCUUUAUGAUGCAGUUCAUCUAAAGAUAAACCUAACCUGAAUUAAUUGUUCGGUCUCCUUCAAAGCGAAAUAACUUUGCCAGGUUUCCUCUCAGUGACAUUACAUUUUUAAAGUUAAAAGUGCUGAAGCACAAUUCAAAGAAUAAGUAGUAUUAAACUUAACAAGCUAGUUCAAUGGAGGAGAAUGGUGUGCUGAAACACUAAGAUUUUCAAAAAAAUUGAAGCAUAUCAGAUCCAUGCUGCUGCAUUCGCAAGAAACUAGCACCCAUCAACAAUGUGCUAAAUGUCAAUGCAGAGCUUUAAAUCAUCUACAGAGGCUCAUGAAGAAUAUAGGCAUAAAUGAUAACAGAUAACACACCAGAGCACUCUACGUAAACUGAUAUCUUUAGAAAAUUCAAAGGCAUGAAUGAAAAAGAAAAGCUAGAAAUAUCUAAGUCAGCUCUUAAUUUGUAACAGUCCACAACUUCAUGUUUGGUGUGUACUGUAAACUAUGCUUUCCACAUAAUCAUGAGCUUCAUCUGCAAAAAACCAUUUUCACUUCUUGGGACAAGGGAUCAAAAAAAUACAAACCUGUUGUUGGAUUACAUUCAUAAUUUAUAUCAAGCCCUAGCUGCUGCUCGAAGGAAGUCUUUCAAGGAAAAAAAUCAGGAACAAAAAAUGCUGAGAGGUCCAUCUUGGAGGUCAGAAAGCUGGAGUUCUACCUAGAAGAAGAUACCUCUGGAGAGAGUAAUAAAGGAAGCCUGAACUGCUUAGAGUUCUCUUACCGAAGCUUCAAGUUAAGAUCAUUUUCAUUUCAAUUUGGAUGUAGAAAUAAUGAUGGGAUAUGAAAAUUAGGUUAGUUAUAUUUUGAAAAAGGGUAUAUAUGAAAGUUAAAUCCUCUGUUCAAAUGAACAAAGGGCUCAACUUGAGCAAGAGUUAACAAGCUAUCCAUCGAGGUCAAUGGAACAUACCACUGAUAUUAAUCUUUUACUAUUUAGGGGAAUUCAUAAAUCCCGUAUUACAAGAAGCCAAGAAUUGGUUGGUUGCUCAGCACAACAUAACUGAUACAAACAAUUACUGAUACAAGCACAAGGACAAACACAAGUCACAUCAAAACAGAAAGGCUAAGCAACAAGAACACUUCCACAGAGCACUUCUCACAGGCAAAUUGCUAAACAUGCAGUGAGCAACCAUUGAUUUGGAAUGCGACUGCUUCUCCACAGAGGAUUACAACAAAUUCAGAAAGCAGCCCACACGCUCCUGAUAAGAUCCAAUCACGUUCUGAAUCUGGACAACUUGCAAAAGUUUAUAGCCAAAAAGCUGUAGCAAGUGUCAAUGCAUUCUUCAAUGAAGUAAAACCACCUACGUCGCCAAUGCGGAUUUAUGCACAAUACUGCUGCAAUUGUCAACACCAUAGUUAUGUAAAACACACCAAAGCUGGCAUAGAAACUGUCCAUGUCUAUGAAGCCACCAUCUCCAUUGAAAUCGUUAGGCACUCUUGCGGAUGGUGAUUCUGUUUUGUCGCAACUGUUUUGCAAUGGAGGUCCACAAAGAAGAGGAUUCCCUUUAUAACUGCUCUCAUCAAAGGUACCAAAUUGAUUUUUCAUCUCCAGUGUUCUUCCUGACAAAUUAUUGUACGACACGUUGAAAACUUCUAGAAAGGUCAGUUCAACGAGUUGUUCUGGAAUUCUCCCAUUCAAGGUGUUGUGAGAAAGAUCCAAGCUCUCUAUCUGCUUCAGAUUGGAGAAAGAUGGAGGGAUCAAUCCAGUGAGAUUAUUUCGCGACAGAUUUAGAGAGUAUAUCCCACUUAAGUUUCCCCAUUCUGUCGGGAUUUCUCCAGUGAAUCUGUUACAAGAAAGGUCCAUAACAGACAUGUAACGAAGGAUAUCGCCUUCGUAAGAGUAGAAAUUUUUCUUUGUUGUAAGCUCUACAGAUAUUUUUACACUGAUCUCUGGCCACAAAAUUUUGCCAUAAAGAUAAAAACCUUCGUGCUCCAAUUCUCUUUCCCCCAUGGAUGCAAAUAUUUCUUUCCGGCUUCCAUCAUCUUGUGAGUACGUACUAGUGACAACCCAAGUUUUUUCAUAUGAUGCCGUAAAAUCUAAAUUGCUCAAACAUGAGGGUAACAGACUAGAAAAAUUAUUUUCUGAAAGAUCCAAUAUGCUUAAUUUCCUUAACAAGCAUAAUUGAACAGGAAGUUCCCCAUUGAAUUGAUUAGAUUUCAAAAGAAGAAAACUCAAUUCCGAAAGUCUAUCAAUCCAAUUUGGAAUUGGCCCAGUUAAGUUGUUAUAGCCGAGAUCUAAUGUCACCAAAGAAGAGAUGUUAUAAAAAGCAUUUGGCAGUGGACCGGUCAAUCGAUUUCCGUAUAGGUGGACAUAGCGUAAAUGCGGUGCAUAAAAGCCCAACGGCAAAGACCCAGACAAAUUGUUUUCAGAAAGAUCUAAAAAUUCAAGCCUAGAAGGAUUGAAAUAUUCUUUUGGAAUGGUACCUUCAAACUGAUUUCUGGACAAAUCAAUUGCCUGAAAGGGGUAUAUUGAAGAGUUCCCAAUUCCCCUUGGAAGCAUGCCUGACAAAAGAUUGUUACUUAUAUCAAACCACAAAAAUGAUGAUGCAAGAGAAAAGGUACCAGAUACUUGUCCUGCAAAUUUGUUUCCGUCGAGAAAGAGGUACUCUAGGUGAGUCAUGUUGAACAAAGAGAGUGGUAAUCGCCCUUUGAAAUUGUUAUUGGACAGCUUUAAGGACCACAACGAGGAGCCUACUGCUGGAAAAUUAUGCUUAAGCAGUUCACAAGACAUCUGAUUGUUGGAAAGAUCAAAGUAUUCGAGAGAGCUCAUAUUCCCAAAACAAGGAGGAAUACAACCUGUGAGGCUGUUGUUAGCCAUCAUGAAGUUUUUCAAACGUGGAAAAAUCGAACAUAUGUUGCUUGCAAUUUGACCAUGUAUGUUGUUGCCAGACAUAUCUACUGUCUGAAGGUUGGGUGUUGGAUGUUGUGGCAGCUGCAAAAGACUUGUAAAUGAGGUGUCUCUCAAAUAUAGCCGAUUUAACUUUCUAUUAUUCUCAAACAGCCAAGAUGGGAAAGGUUCUCCAACGAAUUUGUUGUGGGAUAGAUCAAGAAACACCAAAUCAUGUUGGCUAUGCAGGAAGUUUGGAAAUCCAGCUCUGAGUGGUUUUGAAGUACAGUUUGAAGCACUGAAGUAACGAAGCUGGAACUUGGGAGCUGAAGGCUGAAAACUGGGUGCAGCUAUCAGCUCAUUGUUAUCGCAUGCAAUGAACUUGAGGUUGGAGAGGUUCAUAAAUGAACCAAAUGUUAUUGGAACUUGAAAGUAGUUACUUGAAACUGAGAGGUAUUCAAGCUGCGUAAGAUGGGAAAGGUGACUAGAGGCAAUAUUUCCCUCCAAUUGGUUGUCAGAUACAUCCAAGAUUUGUAGAGAUGAUAGAUUUCCAAAACAAGGAGGGAGUACGCCCUUUAGAUAGUUUCUUGAGAGAUAUAGCUUUUCAAGAUUCUUCGGUUCACACCAGCCUGCAGAAUAUAUCAAUAUGUUCAUAUAUCAAUUAUGUAAUUGCUUGGUGAGGUUUUAAAGUUUUAGUUGAUUCUUGUUUCAUUACCUAGGUCGGUUUUAGAUUAUAUUUAAACAACUUUGUUUGUUAGUUUUUUAAAAGAUUAAUUAUCUAUAUUAUUGAUAUUCAUAAUUUUUUUAAUUCAAAGUUUUUUCUAUAAUUUAAGACAGAGAAAUUUUAGAGAUUCAGAAACUCUAGAUUUUAUCCUUUUCUAUACAUAACAUUAUGAGUAAAUUUCUAGUUUAAUAAAACAUAGAUAUAACAAAAUAUCUAAUGAACAACUGUUAUUUGGAUUUCAAUACUCUUAUAAUUGUUCAUUUGUAGAAUUACCAUCCCAAUAUCCAUAUAAAUUCAAUGAAAUAUAAAUUUGUGUGUUAAUUUUUUGAUAUUAUAUCAAUAUUUUAAUAACCAAAUAUUCAUGAAUUCUAACAUAUCACAUAUAAAUUCUAACUAGUUGAUCCUUUAAUAAAAUUUUAAAAAUUGAACAAAAGUUAAUGGUUAAUACACAUCUAUUUAUUAGACAAAUUCACUAAAGAAUAAAUUAAGCCUCACUAAGGAAUGUCAUCCAAGGAAGGAAUGAUUUACAACUUUACCAUUGAGACCAGUUGAUCCUGUGAACAUAUUGUCUGAUAGAUCUAGAGAUUUGAGAGUUGAAAAUCCAUUGAGAGAUGAUAAAAUGCUGUCGUUAAAUUUAUUGUUACUUAGAUAAAGUUCCUCCAAAUUCCUCAACCCUGAAGCUAGGACUUGAAAACCUGAAAGAAAAUUGUCGGAAGCAAAGAAAUUAACAGAUAUAUAUAUCAACCAUCCCAAUAUCCAUAUAAAUUAAAUGAAAUAUAAAUUUGUGUGUUAAUUUUUUGACAUUAUAUCAAUAUUUUAAUAACCAAAUAUUCAUGAAUUCUAACAUAUCACCUCCAUUCUUUUAAUAAAAUUUUAAAAAUUGAACAAAAGUUAAUGGUUAAUACACAUCUAUUUAUUAGACAAGUUCACUCAAGAAUAAAUUAAACCUCACUAGGGAACGUCAUUUGAGGUAGGAAUGAUUUACAACUUUACCAUUGAAACCAGUUGAUUCUGUGAAUCUAUUGUUUGAUAAAUCUAGAGAUUUGAGAGUUGAAAAUCCACUGAGAGAUGAUAAAACACUGUUGUUCAAUUUAUUGUCACUUAGAUAAAGUUCCUCCAAUUUCCUCAACCCUAAAGCUAGGACUUGAAAACCUGAAAGAAGAUUGUCAGAAGCAAAGACAAUUAAAAGAUUUAUAUAUCAACCAUUUCAAUAUCCAUAAAGAUUCAAUGUAAAGUUACUUGAAACAUAACUAACUUUAUGUGUUAACUAAAAAAAAAUUGAAAGCAUAGAACCUUGGUUCUUUAAGCCACCAACUAAUUGGUUGCCGCUUAAGUCGAGAAUCUCCAGUUCUUUGAAAGGCAGAAACAAAGGUGCAUUGAGAUCCAAGUCUUCGACUGCAUCAUAAUUUACAUAUGAAAGAUGUAGUUCGAUCACUCGGUUUGUGGUGUUGUCACACACAACCCUAUAAUAAUCCCAGUUACAGCAAUUAAAGUGCUCUUUAUCCCAACGUUCUAGCGGAUCAUAGGACCCAGCUGCACGUGCAUGAUAGAACCAAGCUUUUAUCUCUAAGAGACUAACUCUCUCUUCCUCCACACAACAAUGGCUCCGGUCGUUGAGGAAGGCCAGUGCCAUGAGCAGCAUCCACACCCACAUUUGCCUCAUCUUCAUAUUAACGCUCCUACUUGACAAAAUACAAAAGCAAGCAAGCUGUCUCUUAUAUACAAAUUAAUUUGUCCUCUUCAUUUGAUCGGACUUAAUUAUCUGUAUCAUUGAAUUUUCUAUGCUGAAUUAAUUAUCCAAGGGAGACUUGGGCUGAAUUGAAUGGGAGAAUCUUCACGGACAGAUCCAGGGGCCCGCACCACGGCACAGAUCGCUCGGUUUGUGGUGUUGGAUUAAAGGAUAUUAAUUCCAACUUCUUGUUUACUGCUUUACUUUUCUUCAUAGACUUGGGAAGUCAGGUGCUGUAUAUGAACAAUUGAUUUGAUCUUAUGAAAUACACGGCAGAAGAGAUUAGAAAAUGACUUCUAUUAUCAAUAAUUUCUUCUUACUGCACCUACUGAUUUUUAUUUCUUUUGAAAUAUUUAGAAUAUCUCUUUUGAAAUAUCAAUAUCGCCUACCCCACUUCCUUCAUUUUUGUUAACGGAGUGAAAUGAUUUCAACACGUGUCCAUGCAUCUGCCAGCUACCCUAAUUAAUCUGCACUAACAGUGACCAUAACAGCUGUAACAAUACUCCCUCAAUACUUGUAACAUCAUCCUAAUAUAUAUAUAAUAGAUUGGAAGCAUGCAUGGGUUUCUUACAUGAUUAACUAAACUUAAUCUUGUAAUAUUGAAUUAUUUGAUGAAAACAUUAUCUAAAACAAGAUUAAUUGAUAUAUUUAAAGUCAAAUAAAAAACAAACCCUGCUUAUUUUUAAUAUUAAAAAUUAUUUCUAACAUAAAUUUUUAACAUAAUAAUUUAUCAAAAUUAAAAUAAAUUAGAAUCACCGUUUGAGCAAUUGAUUUGAUCUUGGGCCCACAAUUAUUUUCAUUAGCCUGUUAAUAUUUUUCUUCAAGCUUGUGGAACAGGUUGUUCCUUUAGGCUACUUUGCUUCUUCUUUUUUUUCUUCUUAGACUUGGGAAGUUAUUUGUUUGAACAUUUAAUUUAAGUUUUUAUGGUUGUUUGUUUUUGUGUUUUAAAAGUAUUUUUAAAUAAAUUUUAAAUUUUUUAAUUUUUUUAUUAACUUCAAAUUAAUAUAUUUUUAGUGUUUUCAAAUCAUUUUGAUAUGCUAAUGUCAAAAAUAAUUUUUAAAAAAUAAAAAAAUAUUAUUAAUAUAUAUUUUAACAUAAAAAAUUAUUUAAAAAACAAUAAUAUAAUCUCAUCAUCCAAUAUCGCUUGUUUUUAUUCUUCGUAGACAUGUGAAGUAAAGAUUCCCAAUUAUCCACUGCAUCAAUCUCUAUCCCAUCAAAAUGAAUUUGGUGCAAGAAAAAAAUAUCUAAUAUAUGUGAUUUACUCAUUAUGCAUAUUUAAGAUUGCUAAAGGAAAAUAUUUAGUUUAAUUUCACAUAUAAGCUAAUUCGAUAACACUUUUUAAUAUAAAACCAAAAAAAAAAAGAGUGCUAUCGUCAUCAACUUUAUUUGGUUUCAAUUUAUGACGUUUGACAUAUAAAUUCUGUUCAAUUUAAAUCAACUUUUCAAUAAAUAGUGAAUGUUAAUGAGCACAGUAGCGAGAACUAAGCAGUGUUAUGUGUACUUGGAACCAAGGUUGUUAAAAUCGUGUUUUGACUCGUAAAAUCGUACGAUUUUACGAGUCAAAACAUGUAUUACGGGUUGAAUCGCUUGAAAAAAUCAAAAAUAGCUAAAAUCGGGUUGAAAUCGAGUGAAAUCGCGAUUUCAGGACCGAUUUUGCGAUUUUGACAAAAUAAGGCCCUGAAACAAAAUCCUCCCUCCUGGAUAGCUGUCAUGCCUAUUGGAUUAUUCCUGCACAGUCUUACUCAUACACAACGUUUCAUGUCUUCCUUAGCUCUCGUGUCUAGCGUGAAUAGGAAGGUCCCCGUGUUGGUCAAGCAGGAAUGUCUGGAACUAGUUGCUAUGUGUAAUAAAAAAAACUUUGGCAGGAUAUGAACAGAAUGAAGAAUUACAAAGAUGAAAUCUCUCUCUCUCUCUCUCCCCUUCCUUCUUCUUAUCUCUUUCACCAUUCAUGCUGCAACCCUCCUGUUGAUUUCUGGAAAUGGUUCAGAACCAUUCCAUCGCAUUCAAUUCCCCUGGAUAUAUUUCUGGAAAUGUAAUUUUUAAUCUAUUAAUUUUUUUUAUAAAACAUAUUAACCGAAUAUUAUUUCAAUUUCACUCGAGUUUUAUGGUAGAAACUGGUGAAGUGUGUGUAUAACACCUGACAAUAUUUUAAGAUGCUUGAACUAUAUAUGAAUUUUUAUUUGAAGGCUUGAAAUAUGUAUGAAAUUUUAUUUGAAACAUGUUUUUUAAUGUGCUUGAACUAUGUAUGAAUUUUUAUUUGAAACAUGAAUUUUUUUUAAUGUAUUUCAAAAUUCCUUACGAUUUUACGAGCCGUUUUUACAAUCCGAUUUUGUGAAGGGCUUUCCGUUUCGUUCUAAAAUCGCGAUUUUAACAAUCUUACUUGGGACUGUGAAUAAUGUACACUUUAGCUCUCUUCAUACAGUCAAUUGACUUUGACACAGUAAAAAUGAAAAAAAAAUUACUCCGUCGAUUGGUGAUUAAACUACAAUACUAAAUAUACCAACUCUGUGGAUUUGUGAUUAAACUUGGAAAAAAACAACAAUACUAAAAAAAGCCAUAUGUGAAUUUGUGAUUAAGAAAAUUCAUUAUUUUAUUUUUUGACAUAUUAGGUUCCACUAGAUGCACCCAGUCAAUGUGAGUGGUUGUCUUUUUUAUUAUUUAUGAGGAUCCAAUUGAUGCAUCAAGUCUAGGGCUCCACAAUCACUGUCACUAGUCAAUUCCGCCAACUUGUUGCGUAAACUACUUUGCUUUCUCUUCAUAUAUAGACAUGGAAAUCAUGUGGAAUCAAAAAAUUUAUUCCUUAACCUUUUUCAUGGAAUGAAGUGAUUUCCCAGUAGCAUCAUCAUCCACUUGCACUUUUUUUUUCUUCGUAGACUUGAGAAGUCGGUCAAGAUUCCCAAUAUAUUAUCAACAUCAUCAAUUUAAAAAAGAAAUAUAUGUUAGGUUGAUUUAUAUGUUAGGCUGAUUUACUUCCAUAUUAAUUAUUGUUUGAAUAUUCUUAAUCCGAAUGAUAUUAGUCCAUUCAAAACAAAUUCAUUUUCUUUUUUUAUAAAUAUAUUUAUAUAACUACCAAAGAAGAAAAUGCAUUGAUUAAAAUAUUAUUAAUCUGUUUGAAUGAAGAAAGUUAAGGCAGAGAUGACCAACCUAAACACCGUGUGGGCCAAUAAAAUUGAAAACAAAAGAUAAUAUCAAUGGCUUGCAAAAAAAAAGGGUUUGUGUUAAAUUUAUCUAUAUGUUAAAUUACUUGAUUUACUAAACUUAAUCAUGUAAUAUUGAAUUAUUUGAUGAAAACAUUAUCUAAAACAUGAUUAAUUGACAUAUUUAAAGUCAAAUAAAAAACAAAUCCUGCUUACUUUUAAUAUUAAAAAUUAUUUUUUAAUCUAAACUCUUUAGCAUGAAAAUUUAACAAAAUUAAAAUAAAUUAUGAUUACUAUUUGAGCGAUUGAUUUGAUCUUCGGCCCCACAAUUAUUUUUGUUAGUCUGUGAAUGUUUUUCUUCAAGCUUGUGAAACUGGAUAUUCCUCUGUAAUGUAAGUUCCUUUGUUUUUUUUCUUCGUAGACUUGAAAAGUCAUUUGUUCGAACAUUUGAUUUUCUGAUAAGUCAAUCAUCCACUGCAUCAAUCUCUAUCCCAUUGUUAGUCUGUGAAUUUUCUAUGCUGAAUUAUCCAAGGGAGACUUGGGCUUCAUUGAAUGAGAGAGUCUUCACGGCACAGAUCGCUCGGUUUGUGGUGUUGGAUUAAAGGAUAUUCCAACUUCUUGUUUACUGCUUUGCUUUUCUCCGUAGACUUGGGAAGUCAAGAUUCCUAUAAUCCACAUCAUCAAAAAAACCCAAAUCGAUAAUGUGGUGUUGGAUUAAAGGAUAUUAAUUCCAACGUCUUGUUUACUGCUUUACUUUUCUUCAUAGACUUGGGAAGUCAGGUGCUGUAUAUGAACAAUUGAUUUGAUCUUAUGAAAUACAUGGCAGAAGAGAUUAGAAAAUGAUUAACAGAUAUAUACAUCUCAACCAUACCAAUAUCCAUAAAGAUUCAAUGUAAAGUUACUUGAAAUAUAAUUAACUUUAUGUGUUAACUAAAAGAAAAUUGAAAGCAUAGAACCUUGGUUCUUUAAGCCACCAACUAAUUGGUUGUCGCUUAAGUCGAGAAUCUCCAGUUCUUUGAAAGGCAGAAACAAAGACGCAUUGAGAUACAAGUCUUCGACUGCAUUGAGAACAUCAUAAUUUACGCUAUAAAGAUUUAGUUCGAUCACUCGGUUUGUGGUGUUGUCACACACAACCAAAUCCCAGUUACAGCAAUUAAAAUGCUCUUUAUCCCAACCUUCUAGCUGAUGGGACCCAGGUGCACCUGCAUGAUUGAACCAAGCUUUUAUCUCUAAGAGACUAACUCUCUCUUCCUCCACACAACAAUGGCUCCGGUCGUUGACGAAGGACAGUGCCAUGAGCAGCAUCCACACCCACAUUUGCCUCAUCUUCAUAUUAACGCUCCUACUUGACAAAAUACAAAAGCAAGCAAGCUAUCUCUUAUAUACAAUUUUGUCCUCUUCAUGCAUUUGAUCGGACAGUGACAAUUAUCUGUAUCAUUGAAUUUUCUAUGCUGAAUUAAUUAUCCAAGGGAGACGUGGGCUUCAUUGAAUGAGAGAGUCUUCACGGCACAGAUCGCUCGGUUUGUGGUGUUGGAUUAAAGGAUAUUCCAACUUCUUGUUUACUGCUUUGCUUUUCUCCAUAGACUUGGGAAGUCAAGAUUCCUAUAAUCCACAUCAUCAAAAUGAAUGUGAUCGAAGAAAGGAAAAAAUGAAAAAAAAAAAAAAACAUUAACAGUGGCUUACAAAAAAUAAAUAAAUAAAUAAAACCAUCAAUUACGAGCUUCAUAAGAUAAUUUUAGCUUAAAAAAACCCAAAUCGAUAAUGUUUUCUUUAACAUUGGUAUCCGUUUAAUCAAUCUUCUGGUUUGAUCCUUGAUAGUGCUGUGUUUUGAUGCUUGUCGAUUAGCCACAAUAAUGUUAAAUUUACAAGGACAGAUCCAAGAAAAGCAAUGCAGGCCUGUUUUGGUCUCUGGGAGUCCCCUGAUAAAGGCUGCAACUAUUGCUUGAACCCUUGUAAAGGGGCCUUUACACAUGCGGUCCACUGAGAAGUACAACACCGUUCUUUAUUUAAUUCUUAUGGUUUAAAUCUACUAAUAACUUAGUCAUUUUGCAUGCUAUUUUUCCACUUGUUUUGUAAAAUAGAGAAAAGAACUGUUAAGCAUGCUGGAUAUUUCGCAUAAUAAGCUCCGGGUCCUUUAUCCUCUUGUUUGUCCAAUUUAACUUUCAUGGCAAACGAUGCAAAAUGCUAUGUAUCUUUUACUUGGCCUAGUAUUCAAUAUUUUGAUCAGUCAAAUCUUGUACUCAUGGGUUUGCCUCAAGUAGGCGAUUCUUAUCGGGAAAAUAAGUACACAAACAACAUUGCAGAUUAAUCUGUCGAGUUCUCAACAAAAAGACAGUCAUACUCCUAUCGAGAUGUGACGCGGAACAAUAAGUAAAAAGAAUUAAAGCAAGAAAAGAAAGAAGCUUUAAAGAAGAAAGAAGCUAAAGAAGAGGAGGAGAGGGGUUGGAGAUGUGCAAAUCUGCAAUUUUCAUUCAUUCAAAAAAUGUCUUCCCAAAUGACAAAGAGCAUAUAAAUAGUCUCAACCUAGAACAUCCUGCUAUUGGGCUUGGCCCAUCAAACCAAAUUGUUUAACAUAAAUAAUAAAAAUAACAAUGAGCAAGCCCAAAUGGGCUAAAUAAAUAAAAUUACAAUGAGAUAGGCCCAAUGGGCUUAGUCUCCCAACCAAAGCGUGACAGGCUGGGCCAUCCUACGUCGUCUCCGUCCAUAUACUCGUGUAAUCUGUGGCGUGGGCCUGGUGUCCUCACCAACUCUCCUGGGGUUAGAGAAACUCGACCUUGUCGAGCGUAGCAGUGGCCGACUCUGAUAGUACUCCCAAAGAUCUGGGUCAAGCUGCUGCAAAGUAUCUCUAGUAAUCCAAGUGCAGUCUGAGUCGGGUCGACCCACCCAGCGAACUAGAAACCGCUGAAUCUCACCAUUCCUAUUAAAAACAACUUGUUCAUCCAGAAUAGCAUCAAUAUUAUCCUUUUGUGCUGAUGUCAAAGUAAAAAGGGAUAGGGGUUUAUUAGGAUCAUCAGGAGGGGGUUAAGUGGUGUUCAAUGGGUCAUUUGGAAUAGGAAGUGGUUUGUGGUAUGCAACUAGAUCCUCAAUGUUAAAUGUAGAGCUAAUGCCAAAAUCAUGUGGUAAAUCAAGAACAUAAGCAUUUGGACCAACCCGUUGUAGCACUUUGAAAGGCCCGCACUACGUGCAUGCAAUUUUCGAUUAGCUCCCGAAGGAAACCGUUCGGGUCUAAUCCGUUAUCAUAGUCUCCAACAUUAAACUCAUUAUGUCGUCUAUGUGCAUCAGCUUGAAGUUUAUAUUGCGCAUUACUUGCUUGAAUUUGUUUAGUGAUCUCAAUAUGCAAAUCCUGAAUUCUACGUGCAAAAGACUCGGCUGACUCAGACACUCUAGCAUGAAGGGACAUGGGAAGAAGAUCUAAAGGUUUCCUAGGCUUGUAACCAUGUACAACUUCAAAGGGACUCAUGCCUAUUGACCUAUUGAUGAGCUAUUAUAGGCAAACUGGGCUAGGAAGAAUCAGAUCCCAAUUCCGAUUAUGAUCACUCACUAGACACCUUAAAAGGUUACCCAAACUCCUGUUAACCACCUCAGUUUGACCAUCAGUUUGGGGUGGUAAGCAGUAGAAAACUUCAAUUUGGUUCCCACCAUAUGCCAAAGGGUUUUCCAGAAAUAACUUGUAAAUCUAACAUCCCUAUCUGAAACUAUGGUUUGGGGAAGGCCGUACAACUUGACAAUCUCGUCAAAAUAGAGUUUUGCGACUCUGGAAGCAUCUGUGGUCUUAGUACAAGGAAUAAAAUGGGCCAUCUUAGAGAAGCGGUCGACAACCACAAAAAUAGAAUCAUGUUUCUUUGCAGUACGUGGAAGCCCAAGCACAAAAUCCAUGCUUACAUCUUGCCAAGGGCAAGUAGGCACGGGUAAUGGAGUGUAAAGACCAGUAUUUUGUUUUCUAUGCUUAGCGAGUUGGCAAGUUCGACACUGACCUACUAAUUUGGCGACAUCUCUUUUCAAACUAGACCAAAAAAACUGACGUUCCACUUCUUCGAUGGUUUUAUUCCUUCCAAAAUGUCCUGAGAGACCUCCAACAUGAAUCUCCCAUAUCAAAAAAUCACGCACAGAUGUUUUCAGGAUACAAAGCUUAUUAUCUCGAAAUAGGUAUCCAUCUUGGAGGUGAUAACCAUUUAUAACACGGUGAUGCGCAUCCUUCAAUGUCAAGUAUAUUUCUCCAAAUUCUAGGCAAGAUUCAUACUCCUCCUUAAGUCUCUCAAAUCCUGUGACUCCAACACUCAUUACAGAUAACAACGUCACCCGACGACUCAAAGCAUCUGCAGCCUUAUUCUCUAUUCCAGAUUUAUGUUUCAAAACAAAUGAGUAUGCUUGCAAAUAUUCAACCCAAUGACCAUGCCUAUUGUCGCACCCUAAAAAAAAUCAGCUCGCGGCAUCGGCUGGCGAUUUUUCUCGUUUGUUUGUCGUUGCUUGAAUUUGGUUCGUUGGAGUCGCCACCUAGUAAUUGAUUGCGGGCUACUAGGAAACCGGCUGUACUGGUCUUGUCAGAGAUUCGUGGGUACGGGACUGGUUGUGGUUAGGGAAGGUAUUAGCACCCCUAACACACCCUACCUGAGGUAAGCUGCUUCGCGAAUUUGAUGUAUUAAAGAAGUUUUAAUAAUUGUCUUUUCAUCAGAAAUUAGAAAUAUCACUUACGUAUAAGUUAAUAAUUCUUAACCAAGAUCCGAUCAAAAUAUUAAAUUCUUCUUUAAUAUAUUUGCAAUUUUAUCAUUAAAAAAUAUAUACAAAUAAAUAAAAACAAAAUACAAACACACACGUACACUUCCACUAUUUUUGUUUCUUUUCUUUUUUUCUUUUCUUUUCUUUUACAUCCAUAUUUACAAAACAAAUAGACAAUCCAAAAAAAAAUAAAAAAAAAAUACAUCAAACAAUUUAAAAUUACAAAACAGCCCCUAAAACAUCCUAAGGCUUCUAGAACAUGCAGGAACAGUGCACGAGAACAGUGCUGGGAGGCUUCUGGUGCAGAGAAUCAGUUGAUGCUUGCCAUUUGUUCUCAGUUAUACUAAGAAAGAAUGAACCGCGACUCUGUCCACCAUUCUCUCCUGUGCAUGAACAAAUCAGUGAAGGAAUAUUUGCAGUGAUAAAUAUGUUAAUGGUUUCCUGACUUCAUUAGAAUAUUUUGCUCCCAUUUUCUUUGCUCCAUGAACUGAAUAUAUAUUGCAACAUAAUUGUGGUGUUGUCAAUCACGGCAAUUAUGCACAUAAAUCCUUACUGGCGCCGCAGGUGGUUUUACUUCAUUGAAGAAUCGCAACUAUUAUGCUGCUGUUUUCUAGCGGUUAGUUUCCGUAAGCUGUCCAACAUCAUGUCAUCGAACCUCUGUAUAAUCAUUCAAUUAGAUGACACAUUUAAAAAUUUUAAAAACUAAUAAUACUAUAACUAUGAAGAACACCUAAAAUAUUUAAUUUUAUUCUUCCAAGUCUCUGCUAAACUAAUUAUACACAAUUGUGGUACUAGCAAUUGCGGCAGUUUUGUACAUAAACCCAUAUUGGCGACAUAGGUGGUUUUACUUCAUAGAAGAGUGCAUGGAGACUUGCUACUACUUUGAAUUGCAUACAUUUCAUAAGCUAUCCUCCUUCAUAAGGCCAUAGGGUCUGACGCGUGCCUUUUGUUUUUUCAUAUUUUUUAGUUUGAACUAAUAAAACCUUUACUUUUUUUCAAGCUUCAGUUAAUUUUAUUGCAGUUUCUCAAAUGAAUUCUACAAAUUCAAGAUAUAUAUGCAUCCUUAAUGCCAUAUUAAAGAGAAUAUAUAGAUAGGAAGAAGAGGAGCUUUACGUGAUAUGGAUAGCGAGAUGCUCCUAAGCCUAGAACCAGCUAAAACUUAAUAUUAUGAUGAAUAAUUCAGCAAAACUUAAUUCAAUUUCAACUUCCAUUCUCAUCAUUAGUACAAAAUGCAGAGUCAGAUUGAAAGGAAAAUGAUUGGAACUUGAAAUUCAGGUAACAAUACAUCUAGCAGAGCUUCCUCCUUACCCUCUCCCUAUUGUAUCUUCUUCGAGUGGAACUCUUAGCUUUUUGCCCUCCAAGAUAAAUGUUCUCAUCUUUCUCCAGUACUCUCUGAUAACUCAGAGAGCAGCCGCCCUGUAUAUUCCCUUUUUUUUUUAUUAUUAUUCAAAACGUUAUAGAGAAGUUCUUUUACAGAGAAACCCUUUUUAAGAUAACCAUCUAGAUAAAUAACAUUAAUCCCAUAUAUAUCAGGAUAUAUACAAUUACAAAAUAUUAAAAUAUAAUUUUUAUUUUAAAUUUUACAGCUCACGCUAACAUUAAUUCCUAAACAGUACAGCUCACGCUAACACUCUCUUUUCCAUCCAGCAUAAGCAGUCACAACUUACCUCCACGGAAAACUUUAUAGCCAACUUCAACCAAUAUUUAAAAGGAAUUUUGUCCUAUGUUUGAUAAGCAAAAUCAACAGAACCUGUCGUUGACUUUCUAGCUCAAAUUUAGCAGUAGCCAUUUUAAGGAGCAGAAACAAACACUGUACUUUUAUCAUCACGAAAAUCUGGUUGAUUUAUUAUCACGAAAAUCGAAAAUCUAGUUGAUUUAUCAUUACGAAAAUCUAGUUAAAACAAAUUAAUAUGAAAUCAAAUCGAGGAUGAAAGGUUGAUUUUGAGAUCAAGAAUAGCAUGUAUUAAAAAGAUAAUAAAUAAAAUUAGAGUAAUAACAUUGAUACAACUUAUCAUUAAAUUUCAUUUGCAAUUUCCUCUCGAUUUUCUGUAGUUCUGUAGAGACAUAGAUUAGUUGGUUCUUACGGGAAUUUUUCUUCCUUAAUUUCACUCCCAUUUCCCAAACGAUGGAAUUCAUACAACCUUUCGAUUUUAUUUCCACGUAAAAUCCAUUCUUCUCUAUCAAACAGAACAUAAUAAUGGGCCAUAUUUUAAUUUAAAUAUAUUUUUCCUAAUAUUUAAAGUUUUUUUACUGGGAAAAUAUCAUGGGGAUUUGAGAGAAAAGACAAUAGAUAAGAAAGGACAAGAAAAAAAGUGAGAGAAAAUGAUGGUGGGUCUUCAUUCUUCAGGGACCGUAUUGGAACUCUUUGGAGGCAUGCGUGAGAGGUGAAAUGGGAAAGUAUAGGGAACAAAGUGUAAUGUCAAUGAAUAUAUAGGGCUUAAAAUGCAAUUUACCCUUAAUUUUUUCGUGGAUGACGCAGUCACAAGGAGAGGAUAGAUGUCAUUUCUGAAAUGAUAAGACAGAAGUGACAAUAAGUAAAAUUUCGUAAAUCAUCAUCAAUCAAAAAUCAUGACGUGGGGACAAAUCACAUAAUUGAUUGAUUUUACAACCCUUUAAAACAAACUCAUCAAAAUAUUUAAUCCAAAUUCUGAAUAAACAACAAUAUCUAAUGUAGAUAGGUUUGAAUAAUUUGAUGAUUAUUAAUAGUCAAUUGUAGAUUUAUCACAAUUAGAUCAUAUAUAUAAAACCCAAUAAACUCAUAAUACGAACAAAUAUAACUGGGCUAACUUAAGAAAAAAAUACAUUGGUGCAAAAUGACUAGUCUAACUAAAAAAGUUUAAAUUUUAAUUUGACCUCAUGGAAAUCAUUCUCAAAUUUAAUUAGGAGAUUUUAUGGUUUCUAUUCUAUAAAGGGUGUGUGUAGGCUUGAAAGAAGUUAUGCGUGCCAAUUUCGUUAUUUUUUUAAUCUUUUUACAAUUCUAGUUUAAUUUUGGAUUUUAUAUUGUAAGAACCUAUAUCAUAUCAAGAUUAAAUUUCAGUAAAAAAAAAUAUUAGAAUUCUAGUUGUGGAGAGUUUUUUUAUAUAUAGAAUUACGUUUUUCUUUGAGCUUGUUUUUUUCUUAACCGGAUCAACUACAUCAAUCUCCUAAAAAAACGAAAAAAAAAAAAGUUGGGAAUGAAAACUUAAGUGAAAUUUAACAGUCUGCAACAACAAUCCUUUACCGUCCACCAUGAAAUGAUCAACAGGUUUUUUUUAAGGACAAUAUAAAUUCUGAAAGAGCGUAGACAUGAAUGACAGCCAAGAACCACCCAACAGCCAUGCAGGGUCUAGUCUGCAUGGCAAAGGUCCCCUCAAUCGCUGAAUCCACAUGAACACAGUCUAAUGAACUGCUAACAUGCAUUUGGUUGUGGUAAUUCAAUUAUGCGAAGGGUGUCGGUCCGAAUUCUUCAACUUAAACGAACAUGUUUGCGUAAUUAAGUGUUCAAUCACGUACUUAAUUUGCUAUUGAAAACAUUUAGAAUUUAUCAACAAUUUAAUUAAGCAGGUGUAUACAACCUCCCAACAUUUGUAGAUAUCAUUGAAUCAUUAGUUAACACCAAGUAGACUGAGAUCGGAUCAAAAUGUGUCACUUAAGCUCUUAAUAUUACAGAAAACUUACAAUUGCCCUGAUGGUUAAUUAGCACAAAAGACCGGCUUGGAGUUCAGACUAGCCAAAUUGCCCAACUCUUUAAGCCUGAAUUUUAUCACCAUCAUAAAAUGGGAAAAUUAGUUUAGAUAUACAAGGCGAAAUGGAAUUAAUUACCUAACAAUUUGAACUUCAGAUUGGUCAUGCAUGACCACUUGCAGGUCCUCCUAGUGUUAGAACCACACCUUGAAGAUCACUUCUUGGAUCUGAUUCUUUGGCUAAUGAUGGAGCAGCUCUGAUUACCGGAUAUGUUCUGGUCACUUGAGUUUGUCGAGAACUAUGACUGGAUUGUCCUGAGAAUGUUUUUGGAUGAUGAGAAGGCUUCAAGGUAUCAGUAUGAAAUUCAUUCGAAGCACCACCCAGAAACCAGUGCUCAAAAAGCCCCUUUAUAAAGAUAACUAACAGAGAAGGUCACAGACAGCAGAGGAGGUCAGCAUCACCAUCGAUUUCCUUUCUCCAGAAGCAGGGGUUUACCACCACAUCAACACCCAUCUUCCCCGAUCUCUUCAUCUCCUUUAGCACUGAAGAGAAACCGAACGGUGGAGCAGAGAACACAGACAGCAGAGGAGGUCAGCAUCACCAUCGAUUUCCUUUCUCCAGAAGCAGGGGUCUACCGCCACAUCAACACCCAUCUUCCCCGAUCUCUUCAUCUCCUUUAGCUCUGAAGCUUCCUCCAGCAGUGGCCAACACACGGCAGCCCCUACAAAACCAAAAUGAGAUAAAUCUCAAAGAGAAAGAAAGACUCGAACUUGUGUAGCAGAUCUGGACCGAGAUCCAGCCGCCAUCAGCUCUGGCGAUGCCUAACAACCAGAUGUGCUACAGGGAUGAACUCUCGGGCAACAAACAGUGAUAGACUCGAAAGAAGCCAAUCUAAAGGAGGAGAAGGAAAAAAACGCAGAUCUGUGAAAAAAAGACAAUAAUCGAAACUCAAUUAAGAAGAAAUCAUCGCACAAACAAUCUCCCGGACCGGUUGUUGAUUUGGAUCCUUUCCCAAUUGAGGAUGGAAGACUACGGGAAAGAGGAGAUUGGUUGGGGUGGGGAUUGAAGCUGUGAUUUGGGAUCGGUUCAGUUUAUCAAGCAGACUUCAAGAGGUAAGACCCUAUACAAUAACAGUAACAACAAAGAGAACUUUUCAACCCAGCCAUGGAGGGGAAAGCUCUCUCUCAAAAAGCCCAGCCACCGUUCCAGACAAACUUAAUUCCUUCUCACAAACACAAAAAAGAACUUGACCUUCCAUACAAGCCAUAUUACCCCCAGCCUCAGCUACCAUCCAUCACCUUAAACACUCAGACUUCAACAAACUACCGUGAUUUUCAACUACAAUGUUACUUUGAAAACUUCCUAAGUUGGGUCGAUUACCAUAAGCUUAAAGACUGCUUCAGAAAACAGGGGAAAGUUAUUAAGCUGUUUGUUUCUCGAAAAACAAAUCAAGCAGGAAAGCAUUUUGGCUUCGUCACCAUCCUCUCGAAUCUGUCAGACAAAACUCUGCUAGAAUGCUUAAAUGACAUAUGGUUUGAUUCCUACAAGCUGAGAGUUAAUGUGGCUAAGCACAGAAGAAAAGAUGUAGUGACGAAACAGAAAAUAAUGGGAACCGGGAAACAAAUACCCAAGCUCAACAACAAAGCCAAGGCCCCCAUCCGUGUAAGAGACAACCGAAGCUAUCUUGAGGCAGUAAGAUCAGGGAGUCAAGUGCAUCAAGCGUCUGAUAAUGCCACACCACGUCAUCAUAACUUCAUUUCUUUCAACACUACAGAUGAGGAAAUUCUAUGGUUAAGAAAUAGUCUUAUAGGCAAGAUAUCUCAGGGAGUAGAUUAUGCACAAAUCAGACAUGGAUUAAUUCAGCUAGGCAUUUGCUUCUCUGCUUUCCGUUUCCUAGGGGGAUCACAGGCAAUCAUAAGCUUUGAUGGUGAGAAAUCUAUGCAACAAGCCAUGCAGAAAGGUAUGGAAUGCUGGAGGCUCUACUUUGAUGAAGUUCACCCGUGGACUGAAGAAGAUGUGACAGAGAGUCGUCUAGCAUGGAUCUCUAUCUCUCAUUUGCCUAUCUCUGGCUGGAGUUUGAGAUGUAUCUCAAACCUUCUCAUGAACCGUGGACGGGUGAUAGGUUUUGACAAAACCAGCCUAAAAAUCUCUGAACUUCACAGUGUGAAAAUCCUUAUAGGUACUCACUUGCCGGAGAUCCACGACUCUAUAGCUCUCAUGCUAAACUCCAAGUUAGUACACAUAUAGCUGGAUGAGAUUGACCUUUUAAGAUAUCCAGAGGCAAAAGGAAUUUCAUACUCGAUGGCAGAAUUUCAAACCACAUUACUUCAGGGAGAUAGUGCUGACAGUGACUCAGAUGAUGAAGUGUACACUGAUCUUGCUUUUGACUUGGCAGGAGAUGACAACAUUUGCAGGCUAGGUAUCACUGAUAAGAAUUGUGGAUCUGAUGACAAGGGACACACGAUGGAGGUAAGGAAGCACAACCCAUAUGGGACACAUGAGGUGUACGAUCAUAGCUUUGCGUCCACAAUAAAUGCCAUUGACAACACAGAACGGCUACAUAUCGUUGUUGACGAUCUCUUUUACGAUGUGAAUUCAGCAAGCCCACUAGAGCAUCCAAGCAUGGCUUUCAAAAGAGACUCCUUCUUGCCACAACCUUAUACCCCUGUUAGCAGUGAUGAUUCUUUAGAAUCCCACUUCAAAAUCCAAAGCCUACCUCUUACAUCUAACCAACAACAGACCCCAACAGCCAAACAACCAAGACUAAAGAAAAUAUCCUCUACUAGGAGUCUCCUCUCCUUGCACUCUUCAGCAAGCAUGUCUUCUAUAGACUCUUACAUCAGGGUGAAUAAUACCCGUAACCUGAAAGAAUAUGCAGCGGAAUCGUCCCACAAUGAAGUCAACAAAAUGAUCCGUUUGGGAGAAGCUUUGGGUCUUGGUAAUUCAGCUCUCUUGGAACAAUUUUCUGGUCUUAUCAUAAGACAGCUAGAAAAGGAGAAGGAAGAUUGGCAGAAACAACAAUGAAUAGUAAGUUUUCAUCCCCUGCAGAUAGGCCUUUUAAUUCUGUCAUGAAUAUUCUUUCUUGGAAUUCCUGUGGCUUGGGCAUGAUGAGGAAACGAAGAAGAAUCACGAAAUUAAUAGCAGAAUAUAAGAUUGAUAUAUGUUUCAUGCUGGAAACUAAGCUAGCUAAUUGUUCCAUUGGUUUUGUAUCUCGUAUUUGGAAUGAAAAUCAUGUGAGUUGGUUUAGUAAUGAUGCUCAAGGAUCAAAAGGAGGUCUGCUUGCUAUGUGGAAAAACACUAACUUUGAAGUCUCUAAUAUUGAAUAUGGUCAUGGUUGGAUCGGUUUAUAUGGUAAACAUGUUCACAGUGAUUUUCAUUGCUUUGUUAUUGGCAUCUAUGCUCCUUGUAACUAUCAGGACAGACAAAAACUUUGGGAGGAUCUCAUUCUUCUGAAGCAUGCUUUUGAAGUUCCAUGGAUAAUAGCAGGAGAUUUUAAUGAAACGCUCUCUCAGAAAGACAGAAACAGUGGAAUUUGUCAUCCUGCAGGCUCAAAUUCUUUUAGCAGAUUCCUGCAGUCUUGUGAGCUCACUGAAUACCCUUUAGCAGAAGGUUAUUUUACCUGGUUUAGAGGAAGGUCCAAGAGCAAACUAGAUCGAAUGUUCGCAAGCUCAACCUACCAUCUUCACUUCCCCAGUUUAUCUCUUCGACGACUUCCAAGAGAGUUCUCAGAUCAUUGCCCUCUAAUUCUAUGUAGCUUCUUGCAAGACCAUGGAUGGCGUCCUUUUCGUUUCUUGGACUGUUGGACUCAAUACCCAAAUUUCAAGCACAUUAUUGAAAGCUUCUGGAAUGAUGCAUGCUCCCUUCACCCUGGCCGCUUUAAAUUUCUCAAAAAGCUUAAUCAUAUUGCAGUCAAAUUGAGGCAAUGGAAUAAGCUUGUAUUUGGAAAUCAAGAAGCUGGCCUUCAACGAACCCUUUCAGCUAUCAACAUACUAGAGGAAAAAUGUGAAGAAGAAGGUUUAACCGACCAAGAGCAGGAGCAUUUAGACUUUUUGUUGAAAGACCGCUGGGUUCGCAACAAUCACAUUGAAUCUAUUUGGAGGCAGAAAUCAAGACAGAUGUGGUGCAAAUUGGGUGACAGAAAUAACAAGUUUUUUCACAUGAUUGCCAAUUUCAGGAAGGCUAAAUCAUCAAUACUUAAAAUCCACCAUAAUGGCAACACUUUUGACUCUCAGCAGGGAAUUAAGCAGGCUGCUGUGGAUUAUUUCUCUGAGCUGUAUGACUCUCCCUCUGGUAAAAAGCCGCAGUUAAAUCCUUUGGGUUUCAAAUGUCUCUCUAAAGAAUCCUCUGAAUGGUUGGAGCAAGAAAUCACAAUGGAAGAAGUGAAGCGCGGUGUAUGGGGUUGUGAUGGGUCAAAAUGUCCUGGACCAGAUGGUUUCAACUUCAAAUUCUACAGAUUAGCAUGGGAUUUUAUUGCUCAAGACAUUCUCGAUAUAGUCUUAAGCUUCUUCAGAACAGGAAGGCUUCCCAAAGGAAUCAAUACAACCUACGUAACUCUCCUCUCUAAGACAGUCGAACCCAUUGAGUUUAAAGAUUUUCGGCCCAUCAGCAUGAUUCAUGGUAUUUAUAAGAUCAUUGCUAAAAUCCUUGCUUCUAGACUGAAAGUUGUUAUGCAAGAUAUCAUUAGCAUUAACCAAUCAACGUUUAUAGCAGACCGUAACAUUAUAGAUGGCUUUAUGAUUGCAAAUGAGCUGGUGAAUGAUCUAAAAAAGCAAAAAGCGGCAGGUUUGAUUUUCAAGAUUGAUUUUCAUAAAGCUUUCGACUCAGUCUCCUGGGAUUACCUAGAUGAUAUCAUGGGUUAUAUGGGGUUUGGUAGAAAAUGGAGAACCAUGAUUUAUGAAUGUCUUUCUUCAUCAAAACUCUCGGUUUUCAUCAAUGGAUCUCUUUCAAAAGAAUUCUCUGUUCGGCGAGGGCUGCGUCAAGGAGAUCCGAUUUCCCCUUUUCUGUUUGACAUAGCUGCUGAGGGCCUCUCUGUACUCUUUCAAAGGGCAUCUAGUGGGAAUAUUAUCAAAGGGCUGCAAUUUGCAUUAGGAAUUUUUGUCAGCCAUCUUCAAUAUGCAGAUGACACAUUAAUAUUCAUCCCAGCAGAUAUUGAUCAGUUAGUUCAAGUCAAAAGAAUUUUAAGAUGGUUUGCUCUGUCUUCAGGCCUUCAUAUAAACUUCCAUAAAAGAUCCAUUAUUGGUAUCAAUGUCGAUGAUCACUUGUGCUUGCGCUUGGCUACAUCUAUUUUCUGCAGAUCAGACUCCCUCCCAAGCAAAUAUCUUGGCAUGCCAUUAGGAGCCAAUCCAUCUCGUAUCUCCACAUGGAAGCCAGUGAUAGAGAAGUUUCGUAAAAGGCUUCAUAUAUGGAAGGGGAGACUACUAAGCAUGGCUGGUCGUCUAUGUCUCAUUAAAAGUGUCCUUAAUUCCCUGCCUAUAUAUUUUAUGUCUGUAUUCAAGAUGCCAAAAGGGGUAGGCAGGCUUCUUUCAUCCAUCCAAAGACGUUUCUUGUGGUGUGGAUGUACCAAGCAAAGAUCUUUCUGCAAGAUCCAAUGGAGAAUAGUGAUGCGCGAUAAGAAACAAGGAGGCCUCGGUGUAGGCUCCCUUAUAUCAAAAAACAGAGCCCUGCUUCUAAAAUGGAUUUGGAGACUCUCUUCCCCAGGUACAAGCUUAUGGAAAAUGAUUAUCUCUUCAAUGUACAAUCCAUCUUAUGAGAAUGGGAUCCCAAUUUUCUACAACCAACCAUCCAAGAUAUGGAAGGAUAUUAUGUCCAUCGUUCAAACCGACGUUCACCAAGUCUUCACGAAUCAUUGCAAAUUCAUGGUGGGGAAUGGCAAUUUAACAUCCUUUUGGCUAGACAGCUGGAUUGGUGACGACCCUCUCAAAACAGCCUUCCCAAGGCUAUAUCUUUUGUCUUCCUCUAAAACUGCUUUGGUGGCUGACAUGGGUAGAUGGAGCAAUGGAAUCUGGCUCUGGUCCCUACAAUGGCGCAGACCUCUUUUUCAUUUUGAACAAGAACAACUAUCACUUUUAUCAUCCUUGCUGGAAUCCAAGCCAAUGUUCUGCCACAAGAUGGAUAAGAAAAUCUGGACCCUCAACAACGAUGGCCUCUUCAGUGUAAAAUCUUGCUCCAAAAUGAUGGACCAGUUACUCUACGGUGGAGCCAAACCAUUCCAAUCUUCUGUUUGGAUAAAACUAACCCCACCAAAAGUGCAGCUUUUCCUUUGGCUCCUUGUCCAAGACAAAGUAACCACAAGAGAUUUCCUAUUUCAACGCGACUACCUCUCCCUUCAGGAGUCAAGAUGUGCUUUCUGCAAUAAAAGCUUGGAAUCUUCAAGUCACCUCUUCAUUCACUGCCACUUCUCUUGGAAUAUAUGGAUGAAACUGUUUUCUAAUCGGGGCUUUUGCAGUGUUUUUCCAAAAUCUGUUGAUGAUAUGUGCUACCAAUGGUCUUCUAUGGUUAAAGGCAAGCAACAAAAUCUCUCAUGGCAACUUCUUUUCUCAUGCGUUGUUUGGAAUCUUUGGCUUCAUCGAAAUGAUGUUAUUUUUAAUGACGCUGCCCCUAACCAUCAAAUCUGUUUCUCCAUGGUGCGCCAAAGUAUUGCUUUAUGGUUGAGGCUUGACUCCAACUCUUUCGAGCUUAACAUAGAGAAUGUUUAGUCGGGAGGAGUUGGUUUCUUUUGAUUUGUCUGUUCUCCUUUUGUUGUUAUCCCCUGUUUCAUGAAACAGUUUUUGUGCUUCCCUUUCCUCUGCUUGUUCUUCUGAUGUAAGUUAGGCUACUAUCUUUGUAGCUUUUUCCUUUUAAUAAAAUUUCGACUAUUAACAAAAAAAAAAAAAAAAGGUAUCAGUAUGAUUGGAGUUUGGAAAUUGAUGAACAAUGGGGAUUGGAGUUGCUGGUGAUGCAUGAUUUUGAGCUAGAAUUGCCCCUCUCGAUACGAAACCAGGUGCCUGAUAGAUAAAAUUAGGUUUCAAUACGAGUUCGAAAUAUACUGCAAAUGAGGGAAGUAAUGAGGAGCUUACAGGUGAAAACAAGACCCCUCUGAAAAUCUUCCCAUUAACAGUUGCAGUCAUUAGAAGGCCUAAGUCGAAGGCUCCGUCAACUUUACCUCGAACUUCAGCACCAACCUAUGGAGAAAGAGAAGAAAGUGAAAAGCAAGUAUUAGCAGAACAGGAAGGAAGACAGACAAAAAAAUUUGUAAUUGACAAUGUUUUGCAUUGCAUAUAUCAACUUAAUGAUUUACCAGGUUUUGAGUACACCCUGGCUCCAUGGAUCUAUGUUCCACUGCUGGGAAUGGUGUUCCUUGCCUGCCAAACCCUGCAUGAACAUAUUGUUCUACUCUUUUAUUCUCUUGAAACUUGGAGCCUGUGCCGGGUUUUUUGGAUCACAAGUCUAGGUAGUUUCUGAUUACAUGCAACACUAUCAGCCUGGUAAUUUCUUGGAAUUUUGUAUAAUUAAAUAAUCUAAUCUUAAACCACUACUCCAAUUGUUGAUAUAAAAGUUUAAAACCGAUCUAAUUAAAAGAAUUCAAAAUUAAGUGUGAAAAAUAACUAAAAUAAAAAAUUAAUUCAAAUAACAAAAACAAAAUCUUUUGCAUCUGAUUUGAGAAAAUUUAUGUGGUGGAUGACCGAGCCUGUAAAAUUAUAUGAUAAAAUUUAAGUAUAAUUUAAAAAUUAAAUUUAAAAUUAUUUUUAUCAGGUUUUAUGUCUAAUGUGUUGAAUUUGUUUAUGGAUUUCUAUUCAGGCUUAAUCAUAAACGUCUUUGUUUACACGUCAUAAUUAAAGCAUAAAAUGUCGUGUAAGCCGAUGCUUGACUUUUUUAAAAAAUAAUUUAGUUUCGGUUGACUCACAAAAUUGAGACAUCUAGCUAGUCACUCAUGGCUUUAGACGUACCUCUUGUAAAGAUAUCAACGGCUUUACGUCUACCAAGUGUCAGAAGAUUAGAGAUUGAUAUUGUUAGAAUGUUGUUAAUAUUGUUUGUUAGCUAAGAGAGUUUGUUAGUAUUGUUUCAGUGCUAAGAGAAAGAACAGAUACCGUGUAUUACCUUUCUAAUAUAGCCUAUAUAAACUGAGGAUUAGUGAUGUGAAAAUAAUGAAAGAAAAAGUAAUAAUAAAACAGUGCGAGACUUCAUCUUCUGCUUCUCUGUAACAGAAUUAUUCUAUAUUCUUCUUCCUUUCUAUUCUCUGCACUUUCUUCAUUUCUGCUCCUUUUCUGUAUAAAUUCUACCGUCUAUCAUGGUAUCAGAGCAGUAACUGGUCCGAUGGGAUGUCUUCUGAUUGUCAAGAAUUAUACUGGCGAUCGUCUAAAUUUUGGUUUGGCUGCUAAGCAAGCAAAAUCUGAAGGUUAUAAAGUAGAGACUGUAAUUGUUGGAGAUGACUGUGCUUUACCUUCACCUCGAGGCAUAGCUGGACGAAGAGGGUUGACGGGGACUAUUCUUGUUCAUAAGGUUGCUGCAGCUGCAGUUACUGUUGGCCUUUCUCUUGAUGAAGUUGCUGCAGAAGCGAAACGUGCAUCUGAAAUGGUUCUAAUAUCUUGCUAAUCUCUGUUUCUGUAGAGAGAGCAAUACGGUCUCUUAAGAUUCAUACUUCUCAACAAGCUUGCACAAAGAGUCACUAAAUUGCUUUUGGCCACUUGCCAGAGCAAGUACGAUAGUCUUCUCCAUCAAAUCCUGAAGAAGAUCAAUAUAUAACAAAGAGUCGCCGCCAAUGUAUUACCAGCAGCCAUUAAUCUCUGUUUCUGGCAUUAUUAUCUCCUUAUCUACACAAUUCUUUCAUAAUAAUCGAUAUGUCUAUCAUUUGUUUGAUAUAUUGUCAAACUGAAAAAUUCUUCUUCAAAUCUUCAACUUUCUGCAAGAUUCUUCCUUCUCAAUCUUUGAUUCUCUUCUUUUCUAUCUCUUGCACUCUAAAAAUGGCGACUACUUCUCAACUUCAGAUAGUUCAACUCUAAUAAGAGAAUAUACACAUAAACGUUUUCUUCUUCCUCUACACUACAUAAUUUCUCUCUGCUUCUCUUCAUCUCUAUUCUCUGCUUUUCUUCUCUUCAUCUAUAUUGCUUCUAUUCUCUGCUUUUCUAUUGCAGUAUCUCCCUCUAAUUCUAUUCACUUCUUUGUUCAUCUCUGUGACGAUUCUUGCUAGCUUUUCAAAAUAUUUCUUCUAUCUCCAUUGCUUCCAAUCCAGUGUUCCAUUCCAGGAUGAAACAUCUCCAGAUCGAUUAUCACUUUGUUAGGGAACGGGUUAUCAAGGGUGAUUUACUGGUCCAGCAUGUCUUCUCUACUGAUCAGUUUGCUGAUAUCCUCAUCAAAGGUCUUUCCAUUUCUUUGUUUCAGCAUCAUUGUUCCAAUCUCAUGCUUGGCUCCUCCAAGCCUGCGAUUGAGGGGGCAUGUAAAGAUAUCAACGGCUUUACGUCUACCAAGUGUCAGAAGAUUAGAGAUUGAUAUUGUUAGAAUGUUGUUAAUAUUGUUUGUUAGCUAAGAGAGUUUGUUAGUAUUGUUUCAGUGCUAAGAGAAAGAACAGAUACCGUGUAUUACCUUUCUAAUAUAGCCUAUAUAAACUGAGGAUUAGUGAUGUGAAAAUAAUGAAAGAAAAAGUAAUAAUAAAACAGUGCGAGACUUCAUCUUCUGCUUCUCUGUAACAGAAUUAUUCUAUAUUCUUCUUCCUUUCUAUUCUCUGCACUUUCUUCAUUUCUGCUCCUUUUCUGUAUAAAUUCUACCGUCUAUCACCUCUAACUUCGCUUACUAUGCUUAUUAUGCAAAGCAAUUAUUUUCAAGCUUGUGGAACGGGGUGUUCCUCCAUCUUCUUGUUUAACUGCUUUCUUCAUAAACUUGGGAAGUCAUGUGUUAUGAACAAUUGAUUUGAUCUUGUGAAAUAUAUGGCAGAAGAGAUUAGAAAAUGACUUCUAUUAUCAAUAAUUUCUUCUUCCUUGUGAAAUGAUUUCCCGAUACAGCUCUUAAUUUCAACACCUGCUUGCUCUUCUUUUCUUAGUAGACCUGGGAAGCAAAGAUUCCUAAUUAUCCACAUCAUCAAUCGCGAUCCCAUCAAAAAUGAAUUUGGUGGAAGAAAGAAAAACAAAUUGAAAGAAAAAUUAUCAAUUAAGAUUUCAUGUCGUCACAAAAAACAAUUACGAGCUUCAUAAGAUAAUUUUAGCUAGUUUGUCUUAAACUCAUUAGAACAUCCUUUAAUCUUCAACUGCUGUCAUUUGAGAUUUCAUGUUUGUGUUUUCAAUUAAGAUUACACAUCCAUUUGUCAGAAAUACGCACCAAUAUUCCUUAUUACCUAACCUUAAUCCUGUAAUUCUGAUUCUGAACUGCUCUUUACACUCCUUUUCCAUCGAUCAAUACAGAUCAAUCUUUAUUAUUUGCUCCAGGUUGCUGCUGCUGGUUACUCUGUCAUGGAUUAUUAUUUUUCAGUAGUCAGUUAUCCUAGUGCUUGCUUGGACAUGCUCAACAAUGGAGUUUCUCUAAAUGUAAUUCCCACAGUGAAAUCUUCUGUCAAAGUCAUUUCAAGCCGGAAAAGAUCAGGAAAAUGCAGUCUUGAAACAUCAAGCGAAUAGUGCCCAGCAGGAAAAAUUCGUUUCUACUAACAAAUGGAAUGUAAAGUUGAUCCAAGGAUGCUACUAACUUACAAGAAAUUAAAUCAUCAAAGAAAAAAUAUCCACUAGAAGAAGUGUUCUUUCCUUCUAUUUAAAAAGAAUUCGAAAUUUUACUAGACCCUAAUAACAUGAAGUAAAUCUGUUUUUUUUACUCUUGGCUUGUUCUCAAAAAUUUUAUUGAUAUUAAUUAAAUAACAAAGACAAUGAUGUAGCUAGUAUGAACUAUGAAAAUUGAGAACGAGAGGGAUGAUCAGGAAUGGAUUAAGAAAAAUGGGCUUGAAAGAGACCCAACAGGAGAGAAAAAUCUAAAAUAAACUCUUGAUGUCUUUCAUAACUCAAUUUUUGACUCUUUUUAUUUUAUUAUUAUUACUAUUAUUUUAUUUAUUGAAAAAUGAUAAUAAAAAAAAUAAUGAUGAAAAGAAAAUAAAAAAUGAAGAAUAAAUUAAAAUUAGGUUAAGGCAACAUGAUUGGAAGUUUUGGGGAUUAAUUAAAGUUUGGAAUUAAUUCAAUCAAGGGUUUAAUUGGAGAAUUGAUAAGUUUUGAGAUUAAUUGAGUUUGGAAUUAAUUGAAUUAAUGAAAAUCAAGGAUUUAAUUAGAGAAUUGACAAGUUGUUAGACUUAUUUGAACUUGGAAUUAAUUUAUUCAUGGACUUAAUUGAAAAACCAUCAAAGUAUAGGGCUGAUUAUGGUCAAAUUUGCAAGAAAUUAAAACCCAAGGACCAAUGUGUAAAUGGCGCUGAGAUUCAGGGGUUCAAUUACAAUUUACCCAAGGACUGGACUGCAAAAAGUCAACAUGUCUAGGAUGAAAACGCAAAAGGCCAUUAACAUCAGCACUGUUCAUCUUCUUCACCCGAAAACGCAUGCCUUUAUUGCAUUAAAAUCCAUGCAACCGCAUGGCAUUCUCUGGUUAUAAAAACCAGAGAAGGAGAACGAGCACCAGGUUAGAGAGGGGGAGAGGAGAAAAUAAACAGACUUUCAUUCCUCUGUUUCUUCUUAAGGAAACAGAGGAGGUUAAAGAAAAAAGCAACAAACAGGAGGAAAAAAGAGCAAAACCGGGGGGAAAAAGGGAGAGAAGACAGAGAGAGUGAGCGACCGAAAAGGGGAAAACAAAAGGAAAAACUGAGAGACAGGGGAGAAAAGGCAGAACCGAGGGGACUAAAGGGGGGGAAUAAAAGAAGAAAACAGAGGAGACAAAAACCGGGGAGAGGGGGAGACACAGAAUCAGUUUCAACCAUCUCUUCACCAUCUUCAACAACUCUUCAGCCUCCAGGAACCCAGACAGGAGAAGAAACCCCAUCGACUUGCUUUGGGAAGACGCAGAGUUACAGAAUAGAGAGCGGAGAAGCAUACGAAAAAAAGAGGGGGGCAAGCUUCCAUUCAACCGACAGCACCUAGCAUCUUCAUCACCAUCGUUGAUGUCCUGAGCAGAGGAAACACAGAAGGAAGACCAAGGAAAGCAGUAGACAAGAGUCACCACCAGCGUCACCACUGUUUUUGUCGCCUCCAGAAGCAGCAGCUUCAGAUCUCCAUCUUCAGUAGCCACUGCACCAGAAACAGGGCACUCCAGGAGAGAAAUACAGGGAAGAACCGGGGAAGAAAAGGAGAAAGAGAAGGAAGAAGAGAGGAAGAACAAGAGGUGGCAGCGCCGUUCGUCCAGCGCAGUGCGCCAUCGUCUCCGGCUACGCCUUGCUGCACCAGGUAAGUCUUCUCUCGUCUCUCCCCUCCUGCGUUAUAUUUCACUUGCCACUCUAGCAAGUGAAUUAUAAUUAAUUCACUACCCAACCGGGUCACUGGCUUCGGCCAGUGACCAGACCAGGAAUGUUGGGUCUACCUAGCCAUGUAGGCUGGAUCAGACCCAGCCCCACAAAAAAAAUAAAAAAAAUAAAAAAAAAAACAAAAAAAAACUAGAAAGUGUAGAAAUAAAAAUUUUACAUGUCUUAGGAAAAAUGUAUUUUUGUCAAUUUAUUCACUGAUAUUAGGAUCAGAAAUAAAAAAAAAUAUAUACUGAUUUUUUUUUAGCUAUGAAUUUCUACACCAGAGUUGGAAUUAUUCAUGGUGGAAUUUUUACCAACGCUAGAUUUGGAAUUAUUCGUGGUGGAAUUUUUAAACUCUAGAGUUGGAAUUAUUUGGGGUAGAAUUUUUACCAACACCAGAGUUGGAAUUAUUUGAAAUCGAAUAUUCACUGACACUAAAGUCAGGAAUAUUAUAAACAAAUCAUCAUAGCAUAAGCGAAUAAAUGUUUAGUAAUUUAAGACAAAACCAGCAAUGCAGUCUGCCUCAGGCAGAACAUUUAAAGGGUGAUAAUAUCUUCCCUUUUACAUAACCAAUCCCGAACCAUAGAAUCUCUGUUGACUAGUUAGGGUUUCUAGUGGCGACUCCUUAAACAAGAUUUUUUUCCCCUAAAAGAACAAGAUGCCAGAAAUCUAUUUUUUAUUCUUUUUCCAUAAUGAAGAUUAUUUUUAGAGCCGCCGGGUGCGACAAUGUUUAAAAUAGCCUAGAAGUAGGGCUUAGAUAGCUAGGGCUGAGAAAAUUGCCAAAAUAGGUAAAUACUGAUUAUUCAAUAAAUAAAUAAAAUAUUGCCUUGUUUUAAGUUUAGACUUAUGUUCUUUCAGCAAACAAAAUUAUUGUAGAACCACAUUCCACCUUGCUGGUAUGAUCCUGUGGUUCUAUCAAUUAUUUUAUUAAUUGAGAAAAUACUGUAAACUAUUACAAUUGUGAAUAAAUUCCAUAUUAUUAGGGAUAUAGUAAUCACAAGAAGCCAAGAAAUCUAAGAGCAAAACGCAACAUAAUUAAGACAUAACAAACAAAUAUGGAUACAAGCACAAGAACAAACACAAGUCACAUCAAAACAGAAAGGCUAAGCAACAAGAACCGGACACUUCGACAGAACACUUCUCACAGGCAAAUUGCUAAACAUGCAGUGAUCAACCCUUGAUUUGGAAUGCGACUGCAUCCCCAUAGAGGAUCACAACAAAUUCAGAAAGCAGCCCACACGCUGAUAAGACCCAAUCACCUUUUGAAUCUGGACAACUUGCGAAAGUUUAUAGCCAAAAAGCAGUAGCAAGUGUCAAUGCACUCUUCAAUGAAGUAAAACCACCUGCGUCGCCAAUGCGGAUUUAUGCACAGUACUGCUGCAAUUGUCAACACCACAAUUAUGUAAAACACACCAAAGCUGGCAUAGAAACUGUCCAUGUCUAUUAAUCCAUCAUCUCCAUUGGAAUUGUUAGGCACUCUCACUGAUGGUGAUUCUGUUUUGUCGCAACUGUUUUGCAAUGGAGGUCCACAAAGAAGAGGAUUCCCUUUAUAACUGCUCUCAUCAAAGGUAGCAAAUUGAUAUUUCAUCUCCGGUGUUCUUCCUGACAAAUUAUUGUACGACACGUUGAAAACUGCUAGAAAGUUCAGUUCAACGAGUUGUGCAGGAAUUCUCCCAUUCAAGUUGUUGUGAGAAAGAUCCAAGCUCUCUACGUGCUUCAGAUUGGAGAAAGAUGAAGGGAUCAAUCCCGUGAGAUUAUUUUGUGACAGAUUUAGAGCGAAUAUGUCACUUAAGUUUCCCCAUUCUGUCGGGAUUUCUCCAGUGAAUCUAUUACAAGACAGAUCCAUAGCAGACAUGUAACGAAGGAUAUCGCCCUCGUAAGUGUAGAAAUUUUUCUUUGCUGUAAGCUCUACAGCUAUUUUUACAUCAAUCUCUGGCCACAUAGUUUUGCUAUCAAUAUGAAAACCUCUGUUACCCAAUUUUCUCCCCCCUAUGGAUGCCAAUAUUUCUUUCUGGCUUCCAUCAUCUUCUGACACCGUAUCUGUGACGACCAAAGUUUUUUCACCCGAUGCCGUAAAAUUUAAAUUGCUUAAACAUAAGGGUAACGGACCAGAAAAAUUAUUUUCUGAAAGAUCCAAUAUGCUUAAUUUCCUUAACAAGCAUACCUGAACAGGAAGUUCCCCAUUGAAUUGAUUAGAUUUCAGAAGAAGAAUGCUCAAUUUCGAUAGUCUAUCAAUCCAAUUUGGAAUUGGCCCAGUUAAGUUGUUAUUGCCAAGAUCUAAUGUCACCAAAUGAGAGCUAUUAUAAAAAGCAUUUGGCAGUGGACCACUCAAUCGAUUUCUGUAUAGGUGGACAUAGCGUAAAUAUGGUGUUUGGAAGCCCAACGACAAUGACCCAGACAGAUUGUUUUCAGAAAGAUCUAAAAAUUCAAGCAAAUAACAUCUGAAAAGCUCUAUUGGAAUGGUACCUUCAAAAUGAUUUCUGGACAAGUCAAUUCCCUGCAAGAAUAUUGAAGAGUUCCCAAUUCCCUUUGGAAGCGUGCCUGACAAAAGAUUGUUACUGAUAUCAACCAACCAAAGUGAUGAUGCAAGAGAAAAGGUGCCAGAUACUUGUCCAACAAAUUUGUUUCCAUCUAGAAAGAGGUAACGCAGGUGAGUCAUGUUGAAAACAAAAGGCGGUAAUCGCCCUUUGAAAUUGUUAUUGGACAGCUUCAAAAACCACAACGAGGAGCCUCCUGUAGGCAAGUUAUGCUCAAGUAGUUCACAAGUCAUAUGAUUGUUGGAAACAUCCAAGUAUGCGAGAGAGCUCAUAUUCCCAAAAGGAGGAAUGCAACCUGUAAGGUUGUUGUUAGCCAUCAAGAAGUUCUUCAAACGUGGAAAAAUCAAACAUGUGUUUCUUGCAAUUUGACCAUGGAUGUUGUUGUCAGAAAUAUCUACUGUCCGAAGGUUGGGUGUUGGAUGUUGUGGCAACUGCAAAGGACCUGUAAUUGAGGUGUCUCUCAAAUAUAAUCGAUUUAACAUUCUAUUAUUCUCAACCAGCCAUGAUGGGAAAGGUUGUCCAAUGAAUUUGUUGUGGGAUAGAUCAACAAACAUCAAAUCAUAUUGGCUAUGGAGGAAGUUUGGAAAUCCAGCCUUGAGUGGUUUUGAAGUACAGUUUGAAGCACUGAAAAAACGAAGCUGGAACUUGGUAGCUGAAGGCUGAAAACUGGGUGCAGGUAUUAGCUCAUUGUUAUCGCAUGCAAUGAACUUGAGGUUGGAGUGGUUCAUAAAUGAACCAAAAGAUAUUGGAACUUGAAAGUAAUUAUUUGAAACUGAGAGGUAUUCAAGCUGCGUAAGAUGGGAGAGGUGACUAAAGGCAAUAUUUCCCUCCAAUUGAUUGUCAGAUAAAUCCAAGAAUUGUAGAAAUGAUAGAUUUCCAAGACAAGGAGGGAGCAAGCCCGUUAGUUUGUUUCCUGAGAGAAAUAGCUGUUCAAGAUUCGUCAGUUCACACCAGCCUGCACAUUAUAUCCAUAUGUUCAUGUCAAGGGAAUAGGAAUAUAUCAAUUAUGUACUAUUCGUUGAGAGAUCUAUUCGAAUACAAGUUUAUUAGCGAUUUAAUUUACCUUGGUGAGGCAGGGUGCCAUUUAGCAUACAGCUUUCCAGAGACAAAAUUCUGAGAGCAGGAAACGGUCCAAUAUUUAGAAGAAAACUUGCUGUCAUGGGAGAAGCUCGAUCCAGGAAUAGCUCUUCAAGUUUGGUGAAAUUCUGCGGUCCUAAAGGAUUAAGAAAGGUGCGUUCUUAAUAUCAUUUGAGUUGAGAUUGAAGGAAGCGGAAACAUAAAGGGAUUGGGUUAUUAAAAAAAAAUUAUUAUGGGAAAUUAAAAUCAUUUCCGACAUAAAUUUCUAUUUUAUUGAUCCAUAUGUAUAACCAGCUUAUAAAAGGAAAAACGGAGAAAUUUUUGUUGAUAAAAUUACUAAAUAUCGUCAUAAACGUAAUGGUUUAAUAACAUGAAAAUUCUUUUAUUCUUUCAUGGGAAAUUUUUAGAUUCAUCAUUUGACACAUAUUUUUGCUAUCCGAAGAAAGGAGCUUGAGAUUUGAGUGGUUCAUAAAUGAUUCAACUACUUAACAAAACUGGGACUUGAUUGUAAGACACAUCCACCAGUUGUAAUAGAUGACAAGUUUCUCAAACAAGUUGUGAUGAGGGACACGUAUCUACAAGUUUAAACUCAGAAAGAAGUCUGAAUGUGUCAAAUAAUCUUUUAAUUACCUUGAGCAGGUCCGGUGCCAUGGAAGUCAGCUCUGGUCAAGGAUAAAACUUUAAGAGUAGACAAGGGUCCAAUGUUCCGAAGAAAGCUUGUUGGGAGAGAAGAAUAAUCGAGGAACAUUUCUUCAAGGCUAGUCGAAUUACACAAUCCUGUGGAACAGAUAAGAUAAAUCCAUUAAUGAAAGUGAUAUAUAAAUAUCAUGUUUUAGGCUCCAAACUGUAACUGACCUUUACCAGAGUGUAUUCCUUUAAAUUUGCUCCCAGUAGCAUAUAAGCUCUUGAGGGAUGGCAACGCUCCCAAUGACUCUAUCAAAAUGCUUUCCUUGAAGUCAAUUAUUUCCAGAUACAAGAUUUCUAAAUUCCUCAAACCUGUGAUGGAGAGCACAAUUAAUAAUAAUGGCUUUUUUAUUUUUUAUUUUUUAUUUUUUCCUGAUUCCAAGUGGUACAGAUAUGUGUGUUCUACAAUUUGUUUUAUUUAUGUGUUGUCAUCUGGAAUAAUUUGGAGCACUAUCGUAGAAUGAGCAGGGGUGCAUGCAGAGUAAUUGAUCUAGCAGUUUCCGGCUGCUGUGUUCUACAAAUUUUUGUUCUUGACUUUUUGUUUGCUCUAUCUAGUUGGAAGUUUUAGCUCAAAAUUGUUGAUAUAAAUAAUUUCUAAUGUUAAAGAUUAAUAUAUAAUUAUUAUUAGAAACUUACCCAACAAUUUAAGUCUUUGAAUUAAAUUAAUUUUAAUAUGAUAUUAGAAUUUUAAUAACCAAAUGUUUAUGAAUUUAAAUCAUCUCACCUCCAUUCCUUUAAUAUUUUUUAAAAAAUAAUCAGCACUAGCGAAAGGUAUACCAUGUAAGAAUCCAUAACUAUUUCACUUGAAAAAAUAUGUUAAAGGAAUUAAUUAUAUAAAAGCAUUUAUAGGGCUUCAUUCAUCUGCUUGAUGAUUAAUGCACAGCUAAUUAUUAAAAAAGUUAACAAAAUAAUAAAUUAAGCCUCUCUAAGGAAUGUCAUCGAGGUAGGAAUGAUUUACCAUUGAGACCAAUUGAUCCUGUAAACUUAUUUUUUGAUAGAUGUAGAGAUUUGAGAGUUGAAAAACCACCGAGAGAUGAUAAAAUACUAUCGUUAAAUUUAUUGUCACUCAGUUCAAGUUCCUGCAAUUCCCUCAACCCUGAUGCUAGCUCGUGAAAACCUAUAAGAAAAUUGUCAAAAGCAAAAAAAUUAACAAAUAUAUAUAUUUCAACCAUCCAUUAUCCAUAAAAGUUCAAUGAAAUAUAAAUUUAUGUAUUAAUUUUUUAUAUACCAAUUGUUCCUGUGAACCUAUUGUUUGAUAGAUGUAGAGAUUUGAGAGUUGAAAAACCACCGAGAGAUGAUAAAAUGUUGUCGUUAAAUUUAUUGUCACUCAGAUCAAGUUCUUCCAACUUUCUCAACCCUGAAGCUAGUACUUGAAAACCUGAAAGAAAAUUGUCAGAAUAAAAAAGAUUACACCUGAAAUUUAUUUUUCAUUGAACUUUUUUGGAUAUUGGGAUAUUGUAUGAUAUAUAUACCCCAAUAUCCAUAAAAGUUAAAUGUAAAGUUACUUGAAAUAUAACUUGAAGUGUUAACUAAAAACAAUUGAACCUUGAUUCUCUAAGACACCAUCUAAUCGGUUGUCGCUUAAGUGGAGAAUCUCCAAUUCUUUGAAAGGCAGAAACAAAGAUGCAUUGAGAUCCAAGUCUUCGAAUGGAAAAGAACUUACACCUGAAAGAUGAAGUUCGAUCACUCGGUUUGUGGUGCUGUCGCACACAACCCUACCCCAGUUACAGCAAUUAAAAUGCUCUUUAUCCCAACCUUUUGAUAGAGGUAGUAUAGAUAACCCAGCAGUUGCAUGACUGAACCAAGCUUUUAUCUCUAAGAGACUAAUUCUCUCUUCCUCUAAACAACAAUGGCACCGCUCGUUGACGAAGGCCAGUGCCAUGAGCAGCAUCCACACCCACAUUUGCCUCAUCUUCAUAUUGACUCUCCUACUUGACAAAAUACAAUAGCAAUCAAGUUGUCUCUUAUAUACAAUUUUGUCCUCUUCAUGCAUUUGAUCGGACAGUGACAGUUAUCUGUAUCAUUGAAUUAAUUAUCCAAGGUAGACUUGGGCUUAAUUGAAUGGGAGAGUCUUCACGGACAGUGCUAGCCGUGGGCCCGCACCACGGCACAGAUCAACGUGGUUGUUGAUAUAUAUUUUUUUGUUAUACUAUCUUAUUAUUUAAUUCUUUUUUGUUUUUAUGUUUUAUGUUUCCCUGAUCUACUAUUGCAUUUAGUACCUUAACAAUAUGCAUUCAUUGCCAUCUAGAAUUUCAUUCAAUAGAGCGAUUAAUCAAGAAACUUAUUAUUGACUUUCAUUUAAAUUAGAAUACAUGAAUAAUUUAUGAGUUUGAAAAAUGUUAUCCAUCCAUAUUAAUUACACAAAUUUUAAAAUAAAUUGCAAUUAAGUUUUUCCAAACAAAUAUCAUUACAUAAGGAAUACGUACGUACUCAAGACAUAGGAAGCCAAGUUUCCAAGAUAAUCCAUUAUUCAAUUUUGUGAAUGAUGAAACUUUUCAAGAUAAUCCUUAUAUAAUAAGGUUUGAUCAAUUUUUUCGAGAUUGUGUUAUCAUAAAUCACAUAUCGUUUAAGUUUCCAGCUUAUAAUAAUAAUUUACACGAAUUAUUGGUGAGAAAUCUCCAAAAUCAUUUUAAAAAAGACAAAUCUAUAUGUCUUAUAGUGCUAUCUCUUUUUUUGUGUUUUCAAAUGUUUUUGUAUUAUGUGUACAUUAUAUCAUCUCUCAUACACAAAAUAUGAGACAUAAUAUUUUAUUUUUAGGAAAAAUCUAAUAAUCCCAUAAAUGAUCAAAUAUCAAUUUGCUUUCCCUAAAUAAUAUCACAUAUAUUAUUUCAAAAUAGUUUUAGAAAUUUGUUCAAUCAAGUCUGUACUUAAUUUUUCUAGGUUUAUAAUUGUAAUCACGUGUAUCAACUUCACUUUAGUUCUUAAUUUCUAAAACUUAAUUACAAUCAAGUCACAUUUAAUUAAUCAUCUCAUUUUAAUUUUUGAUCAAUGAUUUUUAAUGUGUGUGGCCAAUUGAGUUCUUAACAAGUUGGCUCAAAUAUAAAUAACAAUCAUAAAUAAAAUACAAUUAAACAAUUUAACAAUUUAACUUAUCAUUAAUUUAACAAAUUAAUUAAUUAAUAUUUGAAAAUCAAGUGCAAUAUUUAAUAACAUGUCAUAACCCUCUAAAUAUUAAAAAGGUCAUACAUGUUUUGACUUAACUUUUUAUUGACUAGUUUCUCAAAGUAAUUAUUAUCCCUUUAUUAAGAAUAUUUUAAUUUAGAUAUUAGAGCACAAAGUAUAUAUGUUCUAUCAAAUCAAAUUUAUUAUCAACAUCAUAGUCAUAGAUUAUUUGAAUAAGAUUUGAAACUCUUUACAAAUCUUAUUACACCUUGCACAAUGAUUUCAUAGUCAAUACUAUUUGUCGCACGUGUAUGGCAUCGCGGCGAUCGUCCACCCUCAAGGAAAAAUGUAAUGGACUAUCUGGUAAAUGUGGAGAGACAAGGAAUUCUUGUCACUUAUCAAUGGAAAAUUUAAAUAGGAGUCGCCACCUAGUAUUCUAGUCACUAGGAACCCUAACUGGUCUUAGAGAUCGGAUACGGAGACUGGUUGCGUAAAGGGAAUGUAUUAGCACCCCAAAUACUCCCUACCUAAGGUAAGCUGCAUUGUUUUGUCUAAUAAAAUCUAAAGUCUUGUUGUGGUUUCUAAUUGUCGGUCCGUUUACAGUUUAAGAAAAGUCCUCUGUAAGGAGAUCCUUAUCUUAUCAGGUAAAACCUAAUUAUUUUAAGUUGUCAAAAGAAAAUACCUUUUUAAUAUCGGGAAUACAUUUUACGUAUAAAUUCAUAAUCUUUGAUACUAAAAUCAAACAAAAUAAAAAUUUUUUUUGUUUUUGAAAUUUUGGUCAAUGUUCUCUUCACUUUAAUAAACUGGUUAUUAAAGCCACAAUGCAUGCUAAAUUUUUUUUUUUUCUGGUGUAUGAAAAACACAAUAUGAUUUUUUUAGCUUUUGAGACACUUGUCCAUAUACACAAAAAGAUUUUUUCUUUUUCUCAAUUUUUUUUGUAUUUUGGAAGUUUUAACAAAAAUCGGGUAUUUUAAUAUCGAAUUUGUAUGUUUACGACGCAAAAUACUGACCGAUAUUAAGCAAAACAAAAGACAUAAAUCAAAAGGAGGAAAUCAGAAAAUAUUAAAAAUAUUUUUUUAAAAUGGGCCGGACCCAGCCCAGAUCAAUGGGCUGGGCCGGACCCAGCCCAGAUCAAUGGGCUGGGCCAGACCCGACCCAAAAAACUAAUGGGCUGGUUACUGUGUAUAAGCACAGUAACCAGCCCUUCACUCUUUCCUGCAGAACGUGAAUUAUUCAUGUUUUGCAUGCAAAUACAGGCAGGGACAAGAAGAGGAAAAUGAAUGAGGCAGCAGGAGGUUACCUAGGGUGGCGUCGAGGCGGUGUUGCUGGCAGCGGCAGUGCUACUAUCGUAGUGGUAGUGUUGGUGGCCGGCGGUGCUUCUCCUUUUUCUUCCUCUCCCUCCUUUGUUUUUUUUUUAUUAUUAUUUCUUUUUCUUUCCUUUUCUCCUCCUCUUUUCUGCUAUGUCUUGUCUCAUCUCUUCUCUUCUCUCUUAUGUUCCUCUAUUUUAUUUUUUUCUUCCCUCCCCUCUGUUUUUUGUUCUUUUUUCGGGUCUGUUUUUCUUCUUCUCUUUCUCUCUUCUUCCUUCUUUUUCUCUGCUCUUUUCAGUCCUCUUGCCUAUCUGCUCUCUUGUCUCUCUUUCUCUCUCUCAGUUUCCCCACCUUUCAUCAUGCUCUCCCCCUCUGUAUUUAUAGGUGAAAACAAAGGGGGGGGGGAGAGGUCGAGGUGGCCACUGUGUUGCCACCCCAAACCGCCCAAGGGGUACGUCCCCUCCAUUCUUCCACCACGUGGCAAGCAAAUGGGUUGUAUCGGCAUCUUUUUUAGCUUUAAGAGAGAGAGGGAGCUAGUGAAAACAGGGGAAUAAAACCUUCUUCUUCCCCUAAUUUCUACACAUCGAAGGGAAGAAAGGUUGUAUCGUUCAAAAAGGCACCAUUUUGGGCUUUCUCUCUUUCUUUGUUUUUAUGAACAGUAUAUGAAACGACGCUGUUUUGGUCAAAAUGCGUCAUUUUAUUUAAAUGGAUUUUGGUGCCAAAACGUGUCAAAUUCAAAAUCAGGCCUUCAAUUUGCAUGUGUUUUACAAUUUAGUCCUUGGUCUCGGAUUUCUUCAAUUAAGUCCCUAAUUGGCCAUCAAACUUCAAUAUUUAUGCAAUUAAGCCCCUAAUUUGACCAAAUUAAAUCUUAAAAAUUAUAUUUUGACCCCAAAACUUUAAUUUAUUUCAAUCAAGCCAAAUUAACUCCAAAAUUAAUUUUUCUUGCAAUCAAAACCUCCAUAAAUUCAAUUAAACCUUUAAGAAAAUUUAAUUGAGUCCAUAAACCUCUGAUUUUGGUCUUUUCUUUCUCAAAUUAAAUUUUCUUUGUCAACAGGGCUAUCAUCAGUCAACAAAAUAUUGUCAAAUUUUAAUUUUUGUAUUUUUAAACCUUCUCAACCAAUUUUUAACCCUUUUUUAGUGUUGCUGAAGACUGUGAAGAUGAUGGUCAACGCCGGUUCUCGUCUCUACGCUUUCAUCCGAUGGGCUGAGUUUGCGUCUCCUUUGCUCCUGGUUUGAGAUUCUGUCAACUUCAGUUCUGAGAUGAAGGGACAAAGAAGAUGGUGGGGCUGCUCCUUGUCUUUGCGUCGUUUCUCUGCUUUUAUUUUUCUCAGUUUUUUCGUUCCUCGGUUCUGCUUCCCCCCUCCUCUUCUUUCAUUCCCUGGCUUCUUAUAGAGCCAGAGAACGUGGUAAUCAGGGUGAGCCACGUUCCCACGAUAUGCAGUUACAGAUGUCCUGCUGAAACGGUCUUGAGCGACGAAGAAGGUGGAGCGUUUGAACUGGAAAUGGCAACUUUCGUUUUGGACCUUGAAUUUUAGAAAGUUUUGUAAUUAAGUCCCUAGUUAAAUUGUAAUUGGACCCCUGCAGUUUGGCAUCUUUUACAAGUUAGUCCUUGGAUUUUAAUCUGUUUGCAAUUGUGCCCCCAAUUAACCCCAAACUUUGCUAUUUUUCCAAUUAAGUCCUUGAUUUCAUUAAUUAAAUUAAAUCCAAGUCCAAUUAAGUCUUAAACUUAUCAACUCUCCAAUUAAACCCUUUGAUUUGAUAAAGUAAAUUAAUUCCAAACUCAAUUAAGUCUCAAAACUUAUUAAUUCUCCAAUUAAACCCUUGAUUUAAAUAAUUAAACUAGUCAAGAAUUUAAUUAAAUCUUUAAACUUCCAAUCAUGUUGCUCCUAACCCAAAUUUUAAUUCAUUCUUUAUUUAUUAAAAUUUUUACUUGUUUUUCAUUUUAGUAAAUAAAAUAAUUAAAAUAAAAGGUAAAAAAUUGGGUUAUGAUAAUUAUUUUUAUCAGAUUUUAUAUAUGAUGCAUCAAGUUUUUUAAUGUUAAUUGAAAAAAAAAUUAGGAUUACAUCCUAGUCGUAGAUAUGAUUAUUAUUCAUUUAAUGUUAAUAGAAACAUAUAUAUAUAUAUAUAUAUAUAUAUAUAGCAAAAGCAAAAGGUUUGAAUUGGUGGUUAAAAACAAAUAUUUUUUUAUUUUGCGGUUCCACCAGAUGCACCAAGUAAAUUAUUGUGAGGGUGCUCCCCUUCAGUAAAACUUUUUUUAAAAAUAAUUUAGUUUCGGUUGACUCACAAAAUUGAGACAUCUAGCUCAUGACUCAUGGCUUUGGCUUUAGACGUAGCUGUAACUUCGCUUACUAUGCUUAUUAUGCAAAGCAAUUAUUUUCAAGCUUCUGGAACGGGGCGUUCCUGCAUCUUCUUUUAUGGCAGAAGAGAUUAGAAAAUGACUUCUAUUGUCAAUAAUUUCUUCUUCCUUGUGAAAUGAUUUCCCGAUACAGCUCUUAAUUUCAACACCUGCUUGCUCUUCUUCUUUUCUUAGUAGACCUGGGAAGUCAAGUUUCCUAAUUAUCCACAUCAUCAAUCUCGAUCCCAUCAAAAAUGAAUUUGGUGGAAGAAAGAAAAAAAAUAAAAAAAUAUCAAUUAUUUUCAAGCUUGUGGAACGGGGUGUUCUUCCAUUUUCUUGUUUUAACUGUUUUCUUCGUAGACUUGGGAAGUCAUGUGUUAUGAACAAUUGAUUUGAUCUUGAAAAUGACUUCUUUCAAUAAUUUCUUCUUCCUUGUGAAAUAAUUUCCCGAUACAGCUCUUAAUUUCAACACCUGCUUGCUCUUCUUUUCUUAGGAGACCUGGGAAGUCAAGAUUCCAAAAUAUCCACAUCAUCAAUCUCGACCCCAUCAACAAUAGUGCCCAGCAGGAAAAAUUAGUUUCUGACGGUGAGAUGAUGCCAAAAUUGUAGUCAAAGAGACUUGGAACUCCCUGAUGAUGGUCUCUAGCUCUGGAGGUUUAUUCUGCCAAAAUUGCAUGGGCCGUUUUACAGCCUUCGUAAUGGGCUUGGCUACUUUGGGUAAUUAAAAAAACCCAAAUCGAUAAUGUUUUUUUUUUUUUCCUUUGGUAUCCGUUUAAUCAAUCUUCUGGUUUGAUCCUUGAUAGUGCUGUGUUUUGAUGCUUGUCGAUUAGCCACAAUAAUGUUAAAUUUACAAGGACAGAUCCAAGAAAAGCAAUGCAGGCCUGUAUUGGUCUCUGGGAGUCCCCUGAUAAAGGCUGCAAUCAUUGCUUGAACCCUUGUAAAGGGGCCUUUACACAUGAGGUCCACUGAAGAAGUACAACACCGUUUUUUUAUUUAAUUCUUAUGGUUUAAAUCUACUAAUAACUUAGUCAUUUUGCAUGCUAUUUUUCCACUUGUUUUGUAAAAUAGAGAAAAGAACAAAGUAAAUCUUUUUUUUUAGUUUAUGGCAUGUUCUCAAAAGUUUUAUUGAUAUUAAUUAAAUAAAAAAGACAUUGAUAUAGCUGAAAAUUGAGAACGAGAGGGAUGAUCAGGAAUGGAUUAAGCAAAAUGGGCUUGAAAAAGACCCAACAGCAGAGAAAAAUCUGAAAUAAACUCUUGAUGUUCAAAAUAGCCCACAAGCAAGGAAAAUUACCAAAAUAGGUAAAUACUGAUUAUUCAAUAAAUAAAGAAACUUCCUAGAAUAAGUGUGACAUCCUUUAAUGUUUUUACCUUUUAGAACAGUUUAUCCAGGUCGAUUCCACUUUGCUUCAACCGACCACAAUGAUCCCAUAUCCAUCUAUACAAAAAUCAAUUAAGCGGUCCAUUGACACAUUAACUUCUCUGGCUCCAUUCCGUCCUGGAUUAGCAAUCUUUCAACAUUGAGUGUUCUUCUUCUAAAAGCUACCUGAUCUUGUCAACCUAUGACAGAUCUAAAGACUUGAGAGCGGAAAGCCCAUUAAAACAUGAUAAAAUGCUUUUAUCAUUAUUAAAUCGGUUCCCACUUAGGUCAAGUACCUCCAGUUUUGAUGGUAGGACUUCGAAGCCUGGAAGAGAAACAUCAAAGCAAGAUAAUUGACAUUAAACACCGACCUUGAUUCUCAAAAUAAUAUAAAUUUAUUCUAUGAUUAUAAGAACAGAAAGAUUGAACCGACCAUGAUUCUCAAAGCAACCAACUAAUCCAUUACCGAUCAAAUCAAGACUUUGCAAUUCGUUAAAAGGCAGAAACAAAGAUGCGUUGAGAACCCAAUCCCCCAAACUCUCAUCCCUUGCACCAAUAAGAGAGAGUCGGAUCACUCGCCUUUGAGUGUUAUCACACUUGAUCCCAUACCACUCACAACAAUUACUACUGUACUCCGCCCAAUCUCUCAUGUAAAUGCUGUUUGGAUUGAUCAAAGGUUUGAUCUCCAUGAGACCAAUUCUCUCUUCCUCCAAACACCCAUAAGAACGACCACACCAUUUCGCCAUCCAAAGUCAAUAAUGUGACCAAAAUCCAAACCCACAAUAUCUUUUUCACCACCAUCUUAUAUUGUUCUAUAAACCACUACGUAGAAUUUUGUUGUUUGUUAUGUGAGUUUGGGCAACCCACAUUUGGUCCCAUUUAAAACACACUUUGGCCAUUUCCAUGAUUUUAUCUGCGUAUCCUGUGCAGGUUCCAUGAUUUUAUCGGGGAGUCAAUUUAAGUUAUUUUCCUGCCACUUUCUCAGCAGUUAUUCUCGUAGAGUCCUAUUUUGUGUUAAACGUUGGGUGCGUAUAAAGUAGUCAAAAGUAGGAUAUCCCGCUUUCUCCAUUGCUGUUCUGCAACAAUAUUUUGGUAGCCUUAUAGCACUCACUACUGGAGAAAUUGAGCUAAAGCAUAAAAUGUCAUGUACGCGGAUGCUUGACUUGCGGUGUGCCAUCUUGACUCUUAAACACCACCGAGCAGUAAUUUCAUGGUGAUUUCCUUAUUAAUACUGGUGGUCUUCCAGAAUCUUUAUCCAAACAACCCUUGCUAGACCGGGAUCGGGGUUGAUCAGGGAUAAGACUCGUGUCAUGACUUUUGAUGAGAUCACUAGGGCUCUGUUUGUUUGCAGGAAAGUGAAUUCCUUUUGGAAAGUGAAUUCCGGGGAAAGUGAAUUCCUGGAAAGUGAAUUCCGGGAAAGUAUUUUCCGAUGUUUGGUAGUGUUAUGGAAAAUGAACUGGAAAACACUUUCCAGUGUUUGGUUGUAUUAUGGAAAAUGAACUGGAAAAUAAUUUAUUAAUGAAUUAAUUUUUUUUUUAAAUUUAUCUAAUAUAUAUAUAAAAUAUCUAAUAUAAAAUAUUUAAUCACUUACAAUAAAAAAAAAUGAAAUCUAAAAUGUAUAAUGAUGAAUUUUUUUUAUUAUAUUCUAUAUUCAUACAUAGCUUAUUUUAUAAAAUAUAACUAUAUAUAUCAUAUCAUAUUAUAGAGAAAUAAGCUUGUGAAAUGUUUUUUACUAUUCCAUGAAACUAUUUAUAAUUCCAUUACGUACGAAAUAUAUCUGACAAAAAUUAUAGUUUUAAUAAUAUUUUUAGCAUGUAACAAAAUUGGAUAAAAUAUUAAGGUUUAAAAUUUACUCUAAACUAUUUUUUUUUAAUGUUAAAAAAAAUAGCACACUUAAAAAAAAAAAAAAAAGAAUCCUACAGGCAAGUGAACAGUGCAAGAGAACUGCACUGUUCACUAUUUUUCCAGUAAACAGUGUACGCAAUACACUGUUCAUGUUAAUUGCACUAUUCAUUGAACAGUGCAAUUAACAUGAACAGUUAAGAAAAAAUGGCUGCUUUUCACCGCUGGCCACUGUCGGAAAGUGUUUUCCUUUCUUUAACAAAAGAAAACACUUUCCUUUGGCAACACUGAUUUAUUUUCCAUUGACUGAAUUCAUUUUCCAUUGACUUUUUUUCUUGUUGUUGCCAAACACUGGAAAAGCAGGAAAGUGAAUUCCAGGAAUUCACUUUCCUGCAAUCAAACACGGCCUAGAUUAACUUUCAUUUUUUGCUAAUUUGGUUGAAGAAAGAAAUAUUUAGCCUGAUUUACUUCCAUAUUCAUUUUCUUUUUAAUACAUACAUGCUUGUAACAAGACAGGAUAAAAGCCAUGUAAACAAGGUAAUUAAAAAAUGUCUUCCGGCAAGUUUGUUUGUUUUUCCCCUUUAUUAUGAUAUAUAUACACGAAAGAAGAAAAUGCAUUGAUUAAAAUGCAUAGACCACCGUGUGGGCCAAUAAAAUGAAAACAAAAGACAAUAUCAAUGGUUUGCAAAAAAAGAAAAAAGAAAGUUUUCUGUUAAAUUUAUCUUUAUGUUAAUUACUUGAUUAACUAAACUUAAUCAUGUAAUAUUGAAUUAUUUGAUGAAAAACUUAUUUAAAACAGUAUUAAUUGACAUAUUUUAAAGUAAAAUAAAAAACAAACCCCGCUUACUUGCUUAUUUUUAAUGUGAAAAAUUAUUUUUUAACAUAAAUUCUUUAACAUAUUAACAUAAAAAAGUUCAAUAUAAUUAAAAUAAAUUGUGAUUAACAUGCUUUCUGAACCAAGCUUUUAUAUCUAAGAGACUAAUUCUCUCUUCCUCCAAACCACAAUGGCAAAUUGUGCCAUGAGCAGCCCUUUUGUCUUCUGGGCUGGAACAUCAGCCCAGCCCACGCGGAUGGGCUGAGUCCAGCCUUGUAGCUGGACCAAUACAGGCCCAGCCCACAUGAUUGGGUCGGGUCUGGCCCAGUUCAAUUUAAUGUUGGAACAUCAGCCCAGCCCAUGUGGGUGGGCUGAGUCCAGCCUUGUAGCUGGGUUAAUACAGGCCCAGCCCCCACAAUCAGCCCAGUUCAUUUCUUUUUUAAAAAAAAAAAAAAAAUUAUUUUCAAAGAAAUUGCAAUUUCCCCGUGUAUUUAUUUUACGUCAUUUUGAUUAAUAUUGGUCUGUAUUUUUAUAUCAUAAAGAUAUAAAUUCGGUAUUAAAAUAACCGGUUUUCAAAAAAAAAUAUUUUUGUUUUCAUACAUACGGCCUAGUUUCUCAAGGCUAAAAAUAAAUAAAAUCAUAUUGUAUCUUCAUACAACAAAGAAAACUUCAAUAUAUAUAUAUAUAUAUAUAUAUAUAUAUAUAUAUAUAUAUAUAUAUAUGUGAACAUGUGUUUUGGCUUUAAUAACCAGUUUAUUAAAGUUACGAGAACUCGGCCAAUAUUUCAAAAAAAUCAAAAAAUAUAUUUUGUUUUGUUUUAUUGUCUGGGAUUAUGAAUUUAUAUAUAAAACGUAUUCCUAAUAUUAAAAUGGUAGUUCUUUUAUAGACAUUAGAACAGUUAUGUUUUACCCCCAUAAGAUAAAAACCUCUUUACUGAGAAUGACUUUUCUUGAACCAUAGACGGACCAACAUGAUAAGACCUUAUAUUUUUUAUCAGACAGUGAAACAAUGCAACUUACCUCAGAUAGAGCGUAUUUGGGGUGUUAAUACCUUCUCUUUACGCAACCAGUCUCCGUAUCCAAUCUUUGAGACCAGUUAGGGUUUCUAGUGACUAGAAUACUAGGUGGCGACUCUCCUUCUAUUUUUUCACUGCUAAGACACAAAAAAUUCCUUGUCUCCCCAUUUUUGCUGGAAUAGAUACAAUUGCACCUAAUGAGGAGAAGUGGUGGGCGAUCAUCGCGACGCCGUACACAUGCAACACAUGUAAAACGGUUUCUAUAUAUAUAAAAGGAAGAAAGAAGAAAAUGCAUUAAAUAAAACAUGGAUAUCUUUGAAUGAAGAAAUUUAGGACACCGCUGACGUAUAUAGACAAAGUAUGCCAAGAACGAGGGGGGGCAAAAACAUUAUCAAUGGCUUGAAAGAACAAGACAAAAUAAAAUCAUUAGUUUUGAGCUUCAGAAGACAAUUUUAGCCAUUUAAUUUUGUCUUCAACUCGUUACAAAAAGCCUUGUCAUUUGAGAUUUCAUGCUUGUAAUGUUUCUGUUUUCAAUUAGUAUUACGCUUCCAUCUGUCAGAAUACUGUUGAACUUGACAAGAACUUUGAGCAAAUUCCAAUUUGAUUUUUGUAGCGAAUUAUAUCACUUAAUUGUUUGCUUAGGCUUAUUUUUAAUGUUCAAUGAAGUUUCACCAAUCAGUCAUCAAAUUCUGUAAAUGUUGCAGAUGAUUGCUAGGAAUAAAUCACAGUCAUUAAAUUUCUUCAUUUUGGUCCUUAAAUUUGUUUGCUAUGCUGUAGUUCUUUAUUUUUCGUGGAUAAAUUAUUUGGUACAGAGUUCUAAUUAAUAGCCAAAAAAGAAAAUAGCUCUGAAGAUAUCAGAACAACUGAAAAGAGAAGCAAAUAAUUGAUAAGGUGGGAGAAAAGAAUAGCAAAAUGCAUAGGCAAAUUUCUACAGUAUCAACUGACAAUGUGGAAGAAGAGAAUAUCAACCUGAUAGAUCAUAUAUGCGAGGCUUAUGUGGUUUACGAACACCUGAUUUGCAGAAGCUGGGGAUAAUGUUGAAACUCAAAUACACUCCUAUACAAUGAAAGGUUUUCUUGAAAACUAUCAUAAUUAAAGCAUAAAUUCAAUGAAAACUAAAUUUGCUGGAGGGGUUUCACAGAUUUUGACCAGAUUGAAUUUCACGAGGCGUCUAGCGUGAAUGAAUUAGGGUUUUCUUCUAGCCUUGAAAUUAUAGAGGAAUAGAGAAAAACAAAAACUCAUAUUUUUCUGAAAAGUCUAUAAUUCAAUAAUCUAAUCUUAAAACAAUACUUCAAUUGUUGAAAUAAAAGUUUUAAACCGAUCUAAUUAAAAGAAUUUAAGAUUAAGUGUGAAAAAUAUAAAAAAUACAAAAUUAUUUAGGAAAAUAAUUAAAAUAGCAAAAAUAGAAUCUUUUGACCUAACUUUGAAAAGAUCCUGUGGUGAUGGAGUCUAUAAAAUUAUCUAAUAAAAUUUAAGUAUAAUAUAAUAAUUAAAAUUAUAAUUAUAAUUAAAGCAUAAAAUGUCGUGUACGCCGAUGCUUGACUUGCGGUUUUCCAUUUUGAUUUUUAAAUACCAGAAAACGGUAAUUUCCUUAUAGAAACUGGUGGUCUCCUCGCGACCUUUUUUCUCAAAUAACUGUUGUUAGAGCAUGAUUGAAGUUAGGAUUUAACCCGUGUCAGAAACUUAAUGACUCUCCUCACUAACAGUAAUUUAUUAAAUAUUUUUAAUAUACUUAGUUCAUGUGAGGUUGUGUUUUCAAAAUCUUCCGAGAAAAAAGGACUAAAUGAUGACACACACGACAUUAAUGCAAAAAUAAAAGAUAGCACUACUGGCCAAAUUAAAUUUCACGAGAUGUAUAAAUUCAAACUAGGAUUUUCCAGCCUUUAAUACUCUAUGGAGAAAAAAACUCUAAUAUUUUUAUAAAAAGCUUAUAAUUUAAUAAUCCAAUCUUAAAACAAUAUUUCAAUUGUUGAUAUAAAAAAUUAAAACUGAUCUAAGAAAACUAAGUGGAAAAAAUAAUAAAAUAUAUUAUUUUCAGAAUAUAUUAACAAUUUAUUUCUUGAACAUGAAUACCAAGAAUAGACAGAGAGACACAGAGGAAUCAUUCACAUUUGCACUUGAAAGAAGCCAACUGUAUGCAAAGAGGGCCAAGAAGAACAAAUGAAUUAGUUUGCUGAAACAGACAAUACAAACAAAAGGAGAAGAAUGAGAAAUCAGAUGGGCAGUGUGAUGGUAUUUUCAGAACUAUGGUUGUGCCUUUUGGAAGAGAAUGUGCUUCUUCUCUGACCAUUGUGUACAAUUAUGGUCGUUGUUUCAUCAAAAUCAGAGGGCUGAUUCUGCCUUCUCCUUUACAGCUUCCAAAAGAAAAGGUGAGAAUGGGCUAUUCUUGCUUUUGAUAUUUGAAAUCAUAACAUGCUCCACUGAUUGACUUUUGGUGUAACAUUUUGAUCCUUAAACUUCACUUGGCCGUAAUUUCCUGAUGAUUUCUUUAUGGGAAACAGGUUGUCUUCUCGCAAUCCUUUUCCAAACAACCCCUGUUAGAGCAUCAUUAAAGUUUUGAUUUGUACCAUCAUCAAAAAAUGACUGUCAUCAUCAUCACAACGUACUUCCAUUUCAAUUAAUUCUUUAUAUUAUAACGCAGCAGAACAUAAAAUAAUGGGUGAAGAUAUUUUAGCUGAUAAUGGGUGAAGGGAUAUUUUUUUUCUAAUUGAAAACGACUUGUCAGCUUUAGAAAAUGCAUGCAGGGCCCAGUUUAAUUUCAAUUUCUCAUACUCUCGUUAAUGCAAGUUUGGACAGCUUGGGGAUGUGUCGUCCAUCCGGUUUCCUUUUUUGAUCGGGAGUCAAUGGGAUUAGUAAUUGACACUUCAUCAUCAAAUCAAAAUUAAAAAUGUUAAUGAACUCACAAUUAAUUGCCAUUAAGCUCCAUUGAGUGUAAACAAUGAAUUUAUAAAAUAGUCAAAAGUGGGAUGUCGUGAUUUCAACAAUGCCGUUUCAGAAAAUUGAUAGUCAUGAUGAAAAGAAGAAGACAGAAUUGUUGAGUUGAAACGUGAACGUCGUGUUCUCCUGAUCAAUUGUAUAGUGAAGAUGGUGGAACUGAUGCGGGUGCAUAGCACCAACCAUUACUUCCCUAAUGAUUUCCUUGCGGAAGAAAUUAUUACAUUUUUAAAGUUAAAAGUGCUAAAGCACAAUUCAAAGAAAAUAAGCAGUACUAAACUUAACAAGCUAGUUCAAUGGAGGAGAAUGGUGUGCUGAAACACUAUGAUUUUCAAAAAAAUUGAAGCAUAUCAGAUCCAUGCUGCUGCAUUCGCAAGAAACGAGCACCCAUCAACAAUGUGCUAAAUGUCAAUGCAGAGCUUUAAAUCAUCUACAGAGGCUCAUGAAGAAAAUAGGCAUAAAUGAUAACAGAUAACACACCAGAGCACUCUACGUAAACUGAUAUCUUUAGAAAAUUCAAAGGCAUGAAUGAAAAAGAAAAGCUAGAAAUAUCUAAGUCAGCUCUUAAUUUGUAACAGUCCACAACUUCAUGUUUGGUGUGUACUGUAAACUAUGCUCUCCACAUAAUCAUGAGCUUCAUCUGCAAAAAACCAUUUUCACUUCUUGGGACAAGGGAUCAAAAAAAUACAAACCUGUUGUUGGAUUACAUUCAUAAUUUAUAUCAAGCACUAGAUGCUGCUCGAAGGAAGUCCUUCAAGGAAAAAAAUCAGGAACAAAAAUGCUGAGAGGUCCAUCUUGGAGGUCAGAAAGCUGGAGUUCUACUAGAAGAAGAUACCUCUGGAGAGAGAAAUAAAGGAAGCCUGAACUGCUUAGAGUUUUCUUACCGAAGCUUCAAGUUAAGAUCAUUUUCAUUUCAAUUUGGAUGUAGAAAUAAUGAUGGGAUGUGAAAAUUAUAUUUUCAUUUCAGAGAGCUGGUUGAUUAUAUUUUGAAAAAGGGUAUAUAUGAAAGUUAAAUCCUCUGUUCAAAUGAACAAAGGGAUCAACUUGAGCAAGAGUCAACAAGCUAUCCUUCGAGGUCAAUGGAACAUACCACUCAUAUUAAUCUUCUACUAUUUAGGGGAAUUCAUACAUCCACUCAUCUUAAGCUGGAAAACUUAUGGAAAGCAUUCGCAAUUGUUUCCAAUGUAUCGACUGUAAUCAAUCAAUAGAUCAUCAACUAUUGUCCUCAUUGAAAGUUUCCUGCUCCCUAUAUAGAGAAUGUCUGAUUAAUUUCAUUAAAUAUGCAUGAUUCCACUGUAUGUUAGCUAACCAAAAGAGCCUACAGGCCAAAUAAACAACAGGAAUAAGAGAAACUACUUCCAACGCCAUCAUUUCUCCUUUCUAGUAUCAUCUUUUGUUUAAUGUUUAAUGCUCGUAGCCUCUGAGCACUCCAAACUAAUUUUUAAAAUAAAAUAUCAAGAGAUGGCAGAAAAUGAAUGUGCUCAUCAACUAUUUUCCUCAUUGAAAGUAUACUGUGGUAUUUUAAAUUGCUCCAGUUUUUAAAAAAUAGAAGGCCACAGGCCAAAGAAACAACAGGGAUAAGAGAAACCGUUUUUUAUUUGAGAAAAUACGAUACUGCAAACUAUUUCUUAUGAAUAAAUCCCGUAUUACAAGAAGCCAAGAAUUGGUUGGUUGCUCAGCACAACAUAACUCAACAUAACUGAUACAAACAAUUACUGAUACAAGCACAAGGACAAACACAAGUCACAUCAAAAUAGAAAGGCUAAGCAACAAGAACACUUCUCACAGGCAAAUUGCUAAACAUGCAGUGAGCAACCAUUGAUUUGGAAUGCGACUGCUUCUCCACAGAGGAUUGCAACAAAUUCAGAAAGCAGCCCACACGCUCCUGAUAAGAUCCAAUCACCUUCUGAAUCUGGACAACUUGGGAAAGUUAAUUGCCAAAAAGCAGCAGCAAGUGUCAAUGCAUUCUUCAAUGAAGUAAAACCACCUGCGACGCCAAUGCGGAUUUAUGCACAGUACUGCUGCAAUUGUCAACACCACAGUUAUGUAAAACACACCAAAGCUGGCAUAGAAACUGUCCAUGUCUAUGAAGCCACCAUCUCCAUUGAAAUCAUUAGGCACUCUCGCGGAUGGUGAUUCUGUUUUGUCGCAACUAUUUUGCAAUGGAGGUCCACAAAGAAGAGGAUUCCCUUUAUAACUGCUUUCAUCAAAGGUACCAAAUUGAUUUUUCAUCUCCGGUGUUCUUCCUGACAAAUUAUUGUACGACACGUUAAAAACUGCUAGAAAGGUCAGUUCAACGAGUUGUGCAGGAAUUCUCCCAUUCAAAUUGUUGUGAGAAAGAUCCAAGCUCUCUAGCUGCUUCAGAUUGAAGAAGGAUGAAGGGAUCAAUCCAGUGAGAUUAUUUUGUGACAGAUUUAGAGAAUGUAUCCCACUUAAGUUUCCCCAUUCUAUCGGGAUUUCUCCAGUGAAUCUGUUACAAGAAAGAUCCAAAGCAGACAUGUAACGAAGGAUUUCGCCUUCAUAAGUGUAGAAGUUUUUCUUUGUUGUAAGCUCUACAGUUAUUUUUACACUGAUCUCUGGCCACAAAAUUUUAUCAUGAAGAUAACCUUCGUUCUCCAAUUCUCUCCCCCAUGUGGAUGCAAAUAUUUCUUCAUCUAGUGAGUACUUCACACUAGUGUCAAGCACAGUUAUUUCUUCAUCUUGUGACUCCAUACUAGUGUCAACCAAAGUUUCUUCAUCUAAUGCCAUAAAAUUUAAAUUGCUCAAACAUGAGGGUAACGGACCAGAAAAGUUAUUUUCUGAAAGAUCCAAUAUGUUUAAUUUCCUUAACAAGCAUAACUGAUGAGGUAGUUUCCCAUUGAAUUGAUUAGAUUUGAGAACAAAAAUGCUCAAUUCCGAAAGGCUAUAAAUCCAAUUUGGAAUGGGCCCAGUUAAGUUGUUAUCGCCGAGAUCUAAUGUCACCAACGAAGAGAGAUUACAAAAAGCAUAUGGCAGUGGACCGCUCAAUUGAUUUCUAUAAAGGUGGACAUAGUGUAAAUCUGAUGCAAGGAAGCCCAACGACAAAGACAAAGACCCAGACAGAUUGUUUUCAGAAAGAUCUAAAAAUUCAAGCCCAGAAGAAUUGAAAUAUUCUAUUGGAAUGGUACCUUCAAAAUGAUUUCUGGACAAAUCAAUUCCAUCAAGUUCGUUUAGUGAAGAGUUCCCAAUUCCCCUUGGAAGCAUGCCUGACAAAAGAUUGUUACUGAUAACAAACCACGAAAAUGAUGAUGCAAGAGAAAAGGUAUCAGAUACUUGUCCUGCAAAUUUGUUUCCAUCUAGAAAGAGGUAAAGUAGAUCAGUCAUGUUGAACACAGAUGGUGGUAAUCGCCCAUUGAAGUUGUUGUUGGACAACUUCAAAAACCACAACGAGGAGCCUACUGUUGGCAAAUUAUGCUCAAGCAGUUCACAAGACAUAUGAUUGUUGGAAAGAUCCAAGUAUCCGAGAGAGCUCAUAUUCCCAAAACAAGGAGGAAUGCAACCUGUGAGGCUAUUGUUAGCCAUCAAGAAGUUCUUUAACCGUGGAAAAAUUGAACAUAUGUUCCUUGCAAUUUGACCAUGUAUGGUGUUGCCAGACAUAUCUAUUGUAUGAAGAUUGGGUGUUGGAUGUUGUGGCAGCUGCAAAGGACCUAUAAAUGAGGUGUCUCUCAAAUAUAGUCGAUUUAACUUUGUAUUAUUCUCAAACAGCCAAGACGGGAAAGGUUCUCCAAUGAAUUUGUUGUGGGAUAGAUCAACAAACACCAAAUCAUGUUGGCUAUGCAGGAAGUUUGGAAAUCUAGCUUUGAGUGGUUUUGAAGUACAGUUUGCAGCACUGAAGUAAAGAAGCUGUAACUUGGGAGCUGAAGGCUGAAAACUGGGUGCAGCUAUUAGCUCAUUGUUAUCGCAUACAAUGAACUUGAGGUUGGAGAGGUUCAUAAAUGAACCAAAUGAUAUUGGAACUUGAAAGUAGUUAUUUGAAACUUUGAGGUAUCUGAGCUGCGUAAGAUGGGAAAGGUGACUAGAGGCAAUAUUCCCCUUCAAUUGGUUGUCAGAUAAAUCCAAGAUUUGUAGAGAUGAUAGAUUUCCCAAACAAUGAGGGAGUGAGCCCUUUAGAUUGUUUCCUGAGAUAAGUAGUUGUUCAAGAUUCUUCAGAUUCUUCAGUUCACACCAGCCUGUAGAAUAUAUUAAUAUAUUCAUGUUAAGGGAAUAAUAAUAUAUCAAUUAUGCAAGUGCUUAGUGAGGUUUUAAAGUUUUAGUUGAUUUUUGUUUCAAUAGCUAGGUCAGUUCUAGAUUAUAUUUAAACAACUUUGUUUGUUAGUUUUUUUAGAGAUUAAUUAUCUAGAUUAUUGAUAUUCAAAAUUUUUUUAAUUCAAAUUUUUUUCUAUAAUUUAAGACUGGGAAGUUUUAGAGAUUAAGAAACUCUAGAUUUUUGGUCAAGAAGGAUAGAGUGGAAGUAUCCAUUUUGUGUAUUGUAAUAUAAUCAUCUGUUAAAUAGAAGGAAAACAGAGAAAUAAAUGAGAGGAGAAUGAUUUUGUUAUUUCUUGUGUGCGUAAUCCUCCUACCAUUAUAUAUAUACUUCCCCACAUGCAUUACACGAUUUAUUAUAUUGUUAACUAACUCUACCCGACUCUUAACAACUUCUAACACGUGUCCAUGCAUCUGCUAGUUACCCUAAAUUUAAGACUGAGAAAUUUUAGAUUGAGAAACUCUAGAUUUUAUCCUUUUCUAUAUGUAACAUUAGGAGUAAACUUCUAACAUAUCACCUCCAUUCCUUUAAUAAAAUUUUAAAAAUUGAACAAAAGUUAAUGGUUAAUACACAUCUAUUUAUUAGACAAGUUCACUAAAAAAUAAAUUAAGCCUCACUAAGGAAUGCCAUUCAAGAUAGGAAUGAUUUACAACUUUAUCAUUAAUACUAGUUGAUCCUGUCAACAUGUUUUUGAUAAAUAUAGAGAUUUGAGAGUUGAAAACCCACUUAAAGAUGAUAAAACACUGUCAUUAAAUUUACUGUAACUCAGAUCAAGUUCUUUCAAAUUCCUCAACCCUCAAGCUAAUACUUGAAAACAUGAAAGAAAAUUAUGGGAAACAAAGAAAUUAACAGAUAUAUACAGAUUUAUAUAUCAAUCAUCCCAAUAUCCAUAAAGAUUCAAUGUAAAGUUACUUGAAAUAUAAUUAACUUUAUGUGUUAACUAAAAGAAAAUUGAAAGCAUAGAACCUUGGUUCUUGAAGCCACCAACUAAUUGGUUGAAGCUUAAGUCGAGAAUCUCCAGUUCUUUGAAAGGCAGAAACAAAGACGCAUUGAGAUACAAGUACUCUUCGACUGCAUUGAGACCCAAGUCCUCAUAAUUUACACCUGAAAGAUGUAGUUCGAUCACUCGGUUUGUGGUGUUGUCACACACAACCCUAUGCGGAUCCCAGUCACAGCAAUUAAAAUACUCUUUAUCCCAACCUUCUAGCUGAUCAUAGGACCCAGCUGCACGUGCAUGAUUGAACCAAGCUUUUAUCUCUAAGAGACUAACUCUCUCUUCCUCCACACAACAAUGGCUCCGGUCGUUGACGAAGGACAGUGCCAUGAGGAGCAUCCACACCCACAUUUCCCUCAUCUUCAUAACGCUCCACUUGACCACAUACAAAAGCAAGCAAGCAAGCUGUCUCUUAUAUACAAUUUAAUUUGUCCUCUUCAUGCGUUUGAUCAUAGGAUUUUCCCGUGAUAAACUUUUAGACUUUGGUGGUCUCCUCACGAUCUUUUUUCAGAGAAAUCUGCUUCUCAUUUGUAGUUUGCCAUCUUCCUACUGUCGCACUAGCUUUAAUGAUAUGUCCACUUGAUUAUUAUAAAAGAAAAAUAAAAAUACUCCACGUCCACUAUUGUCAGCUUUCGAGAACGCAUGCAGGACCCAGUUUAAUCUCAAUAUGGAUUUUUAUAAGCAAAUCUUAGAGAAACAGUUUCCUGCAUAAUUACUAGAAUUUUUUGGUUUGAUUUAAUUUGAUAUUAAUGAUUUUUCACCUUUUGUCUGAGAUCAAGUACCUAAUGAAACCUUGAAUGGAGCACCCAUUUGUACGCAUAUGCUUGACUUGAGGUCUGCCAUUUUGAUUUUAAAAUACCAUCAAGCAGUAAUUUCUUGGCGGUUUCCUUAUAGAAACUGGUGGUCUCCUCACGACCUUUUAAUUUAAAAAAAAACUCUUGUCGGAGCAUGAUUUAAAAGCUAGGAUUCAACCAGUAUCAGGGAAUGACUGUCAUCUUUUAAAGAAAUUUGAUCACCCACUUUCACUUGUUUUUCGUUGUGGACCUCCGUUGCGAAGUUGCAGUGAAACAAACUCGCAAUUGCAGCAGGUGCCUAAUAAUGAACAAGAAGAUAAUGGUUUCAUAGAUAAUAUUGGGGGAGCAAAUGAGCAAUUAUAAUAUUGGGGGGGAGCAAUUAUAUUGGGGGAGGGCCGGACCAAUUAUAUUGGGGGCCUUUAAAUUGAAAUCGUAAAAUCGGUCCUAAUAUCGUGAUUUUGCGCGAUAUCAUCCGUUUUUUGCGAUUUUACCUGAUUUCAACCUGAUUUUAUCCAUUUUCGAUUUUUUUAACCGAUUCAACUCGUAAUGCAUGUUUUGACUCGUAAAAUCGUACGAUUUUACGAGUCACGCGAUUUUGACAACCUUGGUGACGAUGGUGGAACUGAUGCGGUUGCAUAGCAGCACCAACCAGUACUUUAAUUUCCUAAUGAUUUCCUUGCGGAAGAAAUUAUGGCAUGUUGGAAAACGAUGCCACCCUAACAAUCCAAGAGCUCAAAUUCAACUUGAAUAAAAGCAUGAUAAAUGGAUAAUUUAGAGGAGAAAGGAUCCAAGAACAUCAUGAAACAGGGGAUUGUUAUAUUUUGUUACCCUAACAAUCCAAGAGCUCAAAUUCAACUUGAAUAAAAGCAUGAUAAUUUAGUGGAGAAAGGACCAAGAACAUCAUGAAACAGGGGAUUGUUCUAUUUUGUUAUGUAACAAUCUCAACAGCUAAUUAAGAGGUUAGAUUGUAGGGUCUAAUUUCAAAUGCAAGACUCUAUUGAUUCUCAUCAUUAUAGUAAUAAAACCAUGUGCAUUUUUAUUAAAUUAAGAGGAAACACAAAAUUAAACAAGAAAAUCUUCAGAGUUCAGAAAUAAAUCUAACAUUGCCGAACAGACUGUGAGCAAACCCAGAUUUGGUGGAAGAUAGAAAUAUGAAGAGAGAGCAGAAAUCUUAGAUAAUUCUAUGAAGAGAGAGCAGAAAUCUUAGAUAACAGUUUGUAGAAUAUUGUUGUUUGUUAUGUGAGUUUGGGCAACCAUAGGUCCUAUUUAUAACACGCUUUGUCCAUUUCCAUGACUUUUAUCUGCGUACCUGGUGCCGAUUCUAUGUUUUGAGAUGUUUUCUUUAUUUCAUUUCUUUUUUUAAUAGUUUUGGAUUCGAAUAUUAUUUCAUUUAUUUGUUUAGCCUUAGGUGUAUUUGGGAAUGUGUUUUUCGUUGUUUUUCAAAGUAGUUUUCACUUGGAAAUGUAUCAACAUGAUAUUGUUUGGCCUUAGGGUAUGUUUAGUAGUGUGGUUAGAUGUCUUAAUACGAACCUUGAAAACAUGGUCAAAACAAUAUUUUAUAAAAAUUUGAUUUUUUAUUAAAAUUAUUUUUUAUAUAUUUUUAGUUAGUUAUAAUGUAUUAAUAUCAAAAAUAAAUUUUAGAAAAUAAAAAAUAUAUUAUUUUGAUAUAUAUUCGAGCAAAAAUAUAUUUUAAAAAACAACCCUUAUUACAAUAAUGGUGAUUUCCUUAUGCAUACUAGCGGUCUUCAUUAAUAUUUCAAAAAAUCAUCAUUAAACCUGGUUUGGGGUUGACUAGGAAUAAGGCUGGGGUCAUGAUUUUUUUUAUUAGGUCACUAGAUUAACUUAGAUCAACUCCAAUAUAUAUAUAUAUAUAUAUAUUCAAGUCAAGCUAAGCAUUAACCGAGUCACUUAGAUUUUUCCCUUUUUCAAUUUUUUUAAACUUGUCCCGGUUUUGAUCCUCAAUCAAAUGGGUUUCAUCUUGAUUUAUCUAUAUGUUAAAUUACUUGAUUAACUAAAUUAAUUCUGUAAUAUUGAAUUAUUUGAUGAAAACAUUAUCUAAAACAUGAUUAAUCUUACUUUUAAUAUUAAAAAUUAUGUUUCAACAUAAACUCUUUAAUGUAAAAAUUUAACAUAAUUAAAAUAAAUAGUGAUUACCGUUUCAGCAAUUGAUUUGAUCUUGGCCUUACAAUUAUUUUCAUUAGUCUGUUAAUGUUUUUCUUCAAGCUUAUGGAAAGGGAGGUUUCUCCAACUUGUUGUGUAAGCUCCUUUGCUUUUUGUUUUUCAUAGACUUGGGAAGUCAUUUGUCUCUUAUAACACAAUAAUUGAUGUGUGAAACAACAUCGUUUUAUAUGGAAAAAAAAUAAAGAGUUAACCGAGUAUUUAUUCAAGUCAUGCCAAUCAUUAACCGAGUCAUUUGGAUUUUUUUUCCUUUUUUAUUUUGUAAACUCGACCUUGUUUUGGGCUCCGUUUGUUUGCAGGAAAGUGGUUUCCUUUUGGAAAGUGAAUUCCGGGGAAAGUGAAUUUCUGAAAAGUGAAUUCCGGGAAAGUAUUUUCCGAUGUUUGGUAGUGUUAUGGAAAAUGAACUGGAAAAUAAUUUAUUAAUGAAUUAAAUUUUUUUUCAAGUUUAUCUAAUAUAUAUAAAAUAUUUAAUCACUUACAAUUGUCAUAACCCAAUUUUUGACCCUUUUUUAUUUUUAUUAUUUUAAAAAAAAAGAUGAUGAAAAAUAAAAAUAAAAUAAAUGAAGAAUGAAUUAAAAUUUGGGUUAAGGGCAACAUGAUUGGAAGUUUAAAGAUUUAAUUAAACUCUUGACUAGUUUAAUUAAUUAAAUCAAGGUUUUAAUUGGAGAAUUGAUUUAAUUAAAAUUUAGAUUAUUUUAAUUAAUGAAAUCAAGAGUUUAAUUGAAGAAUUAAUGAGUUUGAGGACUUAAUUAUACUUUGAUUUAAUCAAAAAUCCAGGACUGUUGUGUAAAUGGCGCUAUAACUCAAGGAUUCAAUUGAAUUUAAUCCAAGGGCACAAUUAGAAAUCAAUUAUUUCUGAUUAGGGUCCCAAUUGUUAAGUUUACACUGUCUAGGGACUAAAUUGAAAAACAGCCAUGCCCAAGGACACAACGGCGCCGUUUUGGAAGCAUUGUUCAUCGUCUCCUACGCUUGCGCGGAUGAAGCCUUGUUCAACAGGGAAAUCUGCUGCAACAAAUCCGGUCAUGGACCAUAUCUCUUGCCCACGAUCUCGUUCGUGGAUUCCAUAACAGUCCUGCAAAUGUAGGACUGGUUGAGGGGAAGCUUCUCUAUAAAAGGGGGGACGCAAGCACACCAGGAAAAAAAACCCAUCAUAAACAGAAGAAAAACUCGGGGAAGAGGCCAGCAACCAAAAACCAGGAACGAGUGACCGAAGACCAGAACGAAACAGAGGCAGAAGACGCAAGAGGAGGAAGAACAACAGGUGACGAACAGAGAGGAGAGGAAUUAAAGGGAGCCGAAAAUCAAAGAAAAAACCCAGAAUAACAGAGAAGCAAACGAAACAGAACCAGAAGAGUAGAGGAAAAGCAGAAACAUAAAGCCUGCCAAUCAUCGUCUUCACCACAGCACCUGAACCAGCAAAACAGAGGAAGAAGGGCAGGGGAAACAGGCCAAGAACCAUAAAAAAUGGAGGACGAACAGUGACAAUAAAAAAAAGAACCACCCGAGAGAACCGGCUUCGUCUUCAUCUUCAGGAGCAGCAGACCACAUGUAAUCUUCCCUUUGCAUUUUAAUUCACUGCUACAAUAGCAGUGAAUUAUAAUUCACUUGCUACUGUAGCAAGUAAAUAAUAAUUCAUUGGCCCAGCUGUAUUCUCAUUGAACAGCUGAGGGUAUGUAGAAAAAAGGAAAGUGUUUUUUUUUCUUUACAUAAGAAAAACAUUUCCCUUUAGCAACGUUAUUAUUUUUAGGUUGACUGGAAUUCAUUUUUCUUUGAUUAUUUUCCCUUUCUUGUCAUCAAACAUAGAAAAAGCAGGAAAGUAAAUUCCAAGAAUUCACUUUACUGCAAUCAAACACGGCCUUGAUCCUCAAUCAAACGGGUCUCAUCUCGAUUUUAUAAAAACUAUCCAAUGAUGUUGAUUCGAGGAUGUUCACAAGCUUUUCGCUGUUGGAAGUUUGCAAGCGAAUCUCGUUUUUACCAUCCAAAAAAACUUCUUUUGUACAUCUUCUCACAUGUCAAGGCACAUUUUGAUUAGGGAGACCGUAUAACUUUAUUUCGUUCAAUUUAUGCUGUUUGACAUAUAAAUAUUGUUCAAUGUAAAUCAACUUUUCAUUGUUUUCAAAAAAAUUUCACCUAGUUUAAAUCGAAACAAAUGCUUGCCAGUAGUUAAUAUUAAUUGAGAUAUGUGUUUGGGAGUGUGAAGUGAAGUGAUUAUAUUUUAUUUAAAAAUAAAAAUAAAAUUUUUUUGACACGCAACCGCCGCGAUUAAGUAAAAAAAAAAAAUAGCGCGAAAAGUGCCAAAGGCCCAAAUGUACGCCAAUUUGCAAUGGCAAGUCCCGUAAUUAUUUCAAAAUCAAAUGUGAAAAAUUGAAAGUCACAAGAAGGCAUGAAAAUAUCCUCUUAUUUGAACUUUUAUCUCGUUUAUAUCCUUUUACUCUUUUCUUCAUGUAUAGACAUGGAAAGUCAUGUUCUGAUUUGUUCCUGUGGAAUCAAAAAAUUUCUUCCUCAAUUUUUUUUAUGGAAUGAAGUGAUUUCCCGGUAGCUUCACCAUCCACUUGCAAUUUAUAUAUAUAUAUAUAUAUAUAUAUAUAUAUAUAACUGCCAAAGAAAAAAAUGCAUUGAUUAAAAUAUUGAUGUGUUUGAAUGAAGAAAGUCAGGGCAGAGAUGACCAACAAAAACCACCGUGUGGGCCAAUAAAAUGAAAAUAAAAGACAAUAUCAAUGGCUUGCAAUAAAACAGUGUUUGUUUUAUGUUAAAUUACUUGAUUAACUAAACUUAAUCUUGUAAUAUUGAAUUAUUUGAUGAAAACAUUAUCUAAAACAUGAUCAAUUGAUAUAUCUAAAGUCAAAUAAAAAGUUUAUACUAUACUUUGCCAUUUUCAUGAUUUUAUCUGCAUAUAUUGUUCAGUUUCCAUGAUUUUAUCUGGGAGGAGUCAAUUUAAGUUAUUUGCAUGCCACUUUCUCAGCAAUUGUUGUCCUAUUUUGUGCUAAAUGUCGGGUGUAUAUUAAAUUAGUCAAAAGUUGCAUAACCCGCUUUCUCCAUUACUGUUCUGUAACAAUAUUUUGAUAGCCCUUUAGCAUUAAUACUAUUUAAUUUGUCCUCUUCAUGCGUUUGAUCGGACAGUGACAAUUAUCUGUAUCAUUGAAUUUUCUAUGCUGAAUUAAUUAUCCAAGGGAGACUUGGGCUUCAUUGAAUGGGAGAAUCUUCACGGACAGUGCUAGCCAGGGGACCGCACCACGGCACAGAUCACUCGGUUUGUGGUGUUGGAUUAGGGUGUUUGGGAGUGUGGUAGCGGUUGCUUUUCAAAUAGCUUUUCGUGCCGAAAAGCAUGCCAAUAAUGUUUUUUUAUUUUUUAAAAAUCAUUUUUGACAUCAGCACAUCAAAACGAUCCAAAAAGUACAAACCGCACUCAAUUUUAACAAAAAUAAAUAAAUAAAAAAUUUUUGAAUUUUUUCAAAAAACCGGUUUGGCCGCAUUGCCAAACAAACCGGUUUGUGGUGUUGGAUUAAAGGAUAUUCCAACUUCUUGUUUACUGCUUUACUUUUCUUCAUAGACUUGGGAAGUCAAGAUUCCUAUAAUCCACAUCAUCAAAAUAAAUUUUAAUUAUUUGAGCGAUUCAUUUGAUAUUAACCCCACAAUUAUUUUAAUUAGUCUGUUAAUGUUUUUCUUCAAGCUUGUGGAGCCGCAUGUUCACCAACUAUUUUGUUUUUUUUUUCUUUGUAUAUUUAAAAAGUCAUUUAAUUUAAGUUUUUAUGGUAAUUUAUUUUUGUGUUUUAAAAGUAUUUUUAAAUAAAUUUAAUUUUUUUUAUUUUUUAUUAACUUCAAAUUAAUAUAGUUUUAGUAUUUUUAAAUUAUUUUGAUGUGCUGAUAUUAAAAAUAAUUUUUAAAAAAUAAAAAAAUAUUAUUAAUAUAUAUUUUAAUAUAAAAAAUUAUUUAAAAAACAACCACAAUUAGAUGUUGUAGUGCUUGUUUUUAUUCUUCGUAGACCUAUGAAGUCAAAAUUCCCAAUUAUCCACUGCAUCAAUCUCUAUCCCAUUAAAAUGAAUUUGGUGCAAGAAAAUGAAUUUUAAUAUUAUUAAUAUAUAUUUUUUAAAAAAUAUAGCGUAUAAAAAAGGAAAUCCUGUAUCAUAUCUUUCACAAAUCUUAAAUAAUUAAUGAGAAAGCAGAACAAGGAUAAAACAACAUUGUUUUUUAUAUAUAAAAAAUAAAUAAUUAAUAGAUUGCAAUUAGGUAUUUAUUCAAGUCAGGCCAACUAUUAACCGAGUCACUUGGAUUUCUCAUUAUGCAUAUUUAAGAUUGCUAAAAAAAAAAAAUUAGUUUAAUUUCACAUAUAAGCUAAUUCGAUAACACUUUUUAAUAUAAAACCAAAAAAAAUGAGUGCUAUCGUCAUCAACUUUAUUUGGUUUAAAUUUAUGACGUUUGACAUAUAAAUUCUAUUCAAUUUAAAUCAACUUUUCAAUAAAUAGUUAAUGUUAAUGAGCACAGUAGCGAGAACUAAGCAGUGUUAUGUGUAUUUGGGACUGUGAAUACUGUACACUUUGGCUCUCUUCAUAGAGUCAAUUGACUUUCACACGUAGGGCAUGUUUGUUUCCCGAAAAACAGUUUUCGGGAAACCAUUUUCCAAACUUUCCUGUGUUUGUUUGUUAUUAGGAAAGUUGGUCAACGGAAAAUACAUUUCGGUCAACGGAAAACACUUUAUAGUCAACGGAAAACACUUUCCAGUCAAAGAAAAAUUUGACUUGGUUUUCAGGAAAGUGUUUUCCCUUUAGCUGUGUUUGUUUUCCGGAAAGUGGUUUCCGGAAAAUCACUUUCCAAUCCGGUCAACGGAAAACACUUUCCAGUCAAAGAAAAAUUUGACUUGGUUUUCAGGAAAGUGUUUUCCCUUUAGUUGUGUUUGUUUUUCGGAAAGUGAUUUCCGGGAAAUCACUUUCCAAACUUUCUUUUGUUUGUUUGCUAGUAGGAAAGUUGUUCAAUGGAAAACACUUUCCAGUAAAAUGAAAGUUUGGCUUGGUUUUCAGGAAAGUUUUUUCCUGAAAAAUUUGAGGGGAAAACACUUUCCGGAAGUUGUGAAAAAUUUAGAAAUAUCAUUAUUUGUUGAUUAUAUCAAAUUUGAUCCUCAAACUUUUGAUUGCUAUAUAUAUAUAUAUAUAUAUAUAUAUUGAGUAUUUAUUUUUCAAUUUCAUCUCUUAAAAUUUUAUUUUUAUAUUAACUUUGGUCUUUAUUUUUAUAUUUGCUUUUUGCUUUUUCCUUAUCAUUUUUUUAUUGAAAUUUUGUAUCUAUCAAAUUUGGUCUUCAUUCUUUUGAUUGUUACUUAUUUUAUUUGAAACAAUUUAUAAAAUGUUGAUUAUUAUUAUUUUAAUUUCUUCAUCUUUUUUUUAAUUUUUUAGAUUUGAUCUCUAUUAUUUUGAUUAUUAUUUAUUUUAUUUGAGAUAAUUUAUGAAAUUAUUUUUUUUUUUCAAUUUCAUUCUCAUUCAACUUUUUAAUUUAUAAGAUUUGUUUCUCAUUAUUUUAAUACACUUGAGAAAAAUAAAAUAUUAAUAAGUUAUUUUCCAGCUCAUUUUCCAUGACAUAACCAAACACUGGAAAGUGUUUUCCAACUCAUUUUCCAUUACACUACCAAACAUCGGAAAAUACUUUCUCGGAAUUCACUUUCCUCAGAAUUCACUUUCCAAAAGGAAACUACUUUCCAGCAAACAAACGGAGCCGUAGUAAAAAUGAAAAACAAAUUACUCCGUGGAUUGGUGAUUAAACUACAAUACUAAAUAUACCCCCUGAUCUGUGGAUUUGUGAUUAAACUUGGAAAAAAACAACAAUACUCUAAAAAGCCAUAUGUGAAUUUGUGAUGAAGAAAAUUCAUUAUUUUUAUUUUUUUUUGACAUAUUAGGUUCCACUAGAUGCACCAAGUCAAUGUGAGUGGUUGUCUUUUUUCUUAUUUAUGAGAAUCCAAUAGAGGCAUCAAGUCUAGGGCUCCACAAUGUCUGCCACUAGUCAAUUUCCUCCAACUUGUUGUGUAAAUUACUUUGUUUUCUCUUCAUAUAUAGACAUGGAAAGUCACGUGAUCUAAUGGAAUACAAAAAUUUCUUCCUCAACUCUUUUCAUGGAAUGAAGUGAUUUCCCGGUAGCUUCAUCAUCCACUUGCACUUUUUUUUCUCCGUAGACUUGUGAAGUCGGUCAAGAUUCCCAAUAUAUUAUCAACAUCAUCAAUUUAAAAAAGAAAUAUAUGUUAGGCUGAUUUACUUUCAUAUUAAUUAUUGUUUGAAUAUUCUUCAUCUGAAUGAUAUUAGUCCAUUCAAAACAAAUUCAUUUUCUUUUUUAUAAAUAUAUUUAUAUAACUACCAAAGAAGAAAAUGCAUUGAUUAAAAUAUUAUUGAUGUGUUUGAAUGAAGAAAGUUAGGGCAGCGAUGACCAACAUAAACACCGUGUGAGCCAAUAAAAUUGAAAACAAAAGACAAUAUCAAUGGAUUGCAAAAAAAAAAAAGUUUUAUGUUAAAUUUAUCUAUAUGUUAAAUUACUUGAUUAACUAAACUUAAUCAUUUAAUAUUGAAUUACUUGAUGAAAACAUUACCUAAAAUAUAAUUAAUUGACAUAUUUAAAGUCAAAUAAAAAACAAACCCCGCUUAUUUUUAAUAUUAAAUAUUAUUUUUUAAUAUAAAUUCUUCAACAUGAAAAAUUAACAAAAUUUAAAUAAAUUGUGAUUACUGUUUGAGCGAUUGAUUUGAUCUUGGACCCAUAAUUAUUUUCGUUAGUCUGUUAAUGUUUUUCUUCAAGCUUGUGAAAUUGUUACCCAUGUAAAUGCUAUGUUUCUCUUUAGAUUUUUUCCUACCCUUGAAACUGUUAUGAACAUAAGUAAAAGAGAUGAAAACUCCUUUACCCACGUAUCGAGUGUCGCACGUGUACGACAGCGCGACGAAUCGUCCACCCUCAAAUGAAAAAAAAUCGGAAUAUUUAUUCCUGGAAAAUAGUCAGAGACAAGGAAUUCUUGUCUCUACAAGUAAAAAUAUGGACUGGGAGACUGGUUACUAGGAACUUUAACUGGUCUUUAGAGAUCGGGUACGGAGACUGGUUACGUAAAAGAAAGGUAUAAGCACCCCAAUUACACCCUACCUAAGGUAGGCUGCAUUGUUUUAAUGUCUGAUAACAUCUAAGGUCGUGUUUGUGGAUUUUAAUAUUAUUGUUCGGAAUACGCAUUACAUGUAAUGUCAUAUCCCAAGUUCUAUUAAAAAAAAAUUAAAUAUCCGGAAUAUGUAUUGUGUAUAAUGUAUAAUGUCAUACCCCGGAUAUUAAAAGAUAAACAAAAUAAAAUUUUUGUUGUUUUUUUGAAAUUUUGGCCAAUAUUCUCUUGACUUUAAUAAACUGGUUAUUAAAGCCAAAAUGCAUGCUAAAACAUUGUUUUUCUCUUUUUUUUAAUUUGUUUUUGUAUUCUUGAAAGUCGAAAACCGGGUAUUUCAGUACCAGAUUUGUAUUUUACGACAUAAAAAUAUUGCCCGAUAUUAAUCAAAAUGACAUAAAAACUACGCGGAAAAAUUAUAAAAUGCUGAAACAAAUAUUUUUGAUUUUUUUUUGAAUGGGCCGGGUGAACAGUAUCGUGUGAACAGUAAUGAAUACGGGGUAUUUUAAUACCAGAUUUAUAUUUUUACGAUGUAAAAUACAGACGAUAUUAAGCAAAAUGAUAGAAGAAAACGUGCUUUUUUAAAAAUAUGUAUAUAUAUAUAUAUAUAUAUAUAACUUAUAACAAAAAAAUAAAAAUAAAUAAAUAAAUAACUGGCCGGACCCGACCCAAAUGCAUGGGCCGGGCCGACCAAGCCUAUUUACAUGGGCUGGGCCAAAGGCCCAAACGGGCUGGUUACUGUGCAUCAGCACAGUAACCAGCCCUUCCUUAUUUGCAGAACGUGAAAUAAUUCACGUUCUGCAUGAAGGCACAGCGGAUAACAAAGGGAGGCAGAGGCGGGGCAACAGGAUGGCGUACCUGCGGUGGCGUCGAGGCGGUGCGGCUGGCGGCGGAGGCACGGUGGCCGGCGGAGGCACGGUAGCCGGCGGUUUUCCUUCUCUCUCUCUCCUCUGUUUUUGUUCUCUUCUCUGCCGAUUCUCUUUCUUCUUCUUUUUUCUUUUUCUUUCUGUUUCUCUCGUCUCUCUCUACCCUCUUUCUGUCGUGCAAUCCUUCUCCUUCUCCCCCUCUUUUUUUUUCUUCUCUGCUUCGGUCCCCUUCCACUGUUUUUAUAGGAAAAAAUAGGGGGGCCGAAUGGUGGGGCGGCUUGGCCGCCCCUCCACUAUCCGUUCAAAAGGAGGCAAGUGGGGGUCGAAUGGUAGGCGUCUUAUUGCGCCAAAUCCGGGAAAGAAGUUCGGCGAAAAGUGGAGAAGAAAAAAACUCUUCUCCCUUGUUCUCUGCGUGCGCAGGGAAGAAGACGAUGGUGUCGUUUCAAAACAGCACCGUUUUACGUUUUCUCUCUCUUUUUUUUUUAAAAUAAACAGUGCAUGAAACGACGUCGUUUUGGUCAAAACACGCCGUUUCAUUUAAAAGGAAAAGGCGGUAAAACACGUCAGAUUCAAAUUUAGUCCAUCAAUUUGCGCGCGUUUUACGAUUUCGUCCUUGGUCUCGGAUUUCUGAAAUUAAGUCCUUAAUUGACCAUUAAACUUCAUUCUUUAUGCAAUUAAGCCCCUGAUUUGACCAAAUUAACUUUCAAAAAUUAUAAGUUGACACCAGAACUUUAAUUUCUUCCAAUUCAAGCCCAAAAUAACUCCAAAAUCAAUUGUUUUUGCAAUUAAAACCUCUAUAAAUUCAAUUAAACCUUCAAUAAAAUUUAAUUGAGUCCAUAAACUUCUAAUUUUGCAUUUUUCUUCCUCAAAUUGAAUUUUCUUUAUCAUCGAGGCUCUCAUCAGUCAAUGAUAUACUGUCAGAAAUGAAAUUUUAUUUGUUUGAACAUCCUCAAUCAAUUUUUGAGCAUUUUUAGGGCACUCUGACAUUUUUUUUUUACUGUUAUAUUUUUUGAUAAUAUAUUUUUUUGAAUUGUUUUGUAUUUUUUAGGUGAGGACUCAAAAAUGGGUUACAACAUCGAGCAUACCCUAGUUACAUAACACUAGUUAAAUCUUGACAUAACAGUUCAAGUUAAUUAAUGGCUAGGAUUUUGUUUAGUGGAUUUGUUUUUUGAAAUUAAAUAUCAUAUCAAUAAACAAAUAGCAACUAAAAAUGUAACUAAAAAUAGCAAUAUUUGUUUAAAUAUCAUAUCAAUAAACAAAUGUAACUAAAAAUGUAACUACUAAAAUAGAUAUUUUAUUUUGUUAAUUUUAUUUGAAAAAGCUUUUGAACAUAAGGACUCCAUAUUUUUUUUUUUAUGAUUACUAUAUUGGAUAGGCUUAAUGCCCCGGUAAUAACCAGGAUAGGAGGCCGACUUAAUUAGAGUUGAUAGGGCACAAAUAUAUAUAUAAUGUGCUCCGAUUAAUACAAAAUUAAUUAUAAUAAUAAUUAGGGUUUGUUCUUUUAUUCAGUUUCUUGUUAUCUAUUUUUGGGUUCUCUCACAAAAAAAAUUGCAAGAAAACAAAAAAUAUGAACAAUUGAUUUGAUCUUAUGAAAUACAUGGCAGAAGAGAUUAGAAAAUGAUUUCCAUUUGUCAGAAAUACACCCCAAUAGUCUUAAUUUGAAUUGCACUUUGCACUCCUUUUCCAGCGAUCAAUAGCUAGGAAACCUGUCAGUGAAAUCUUUAUUAUUUGCUCCGGGUUGCUGCUGCUGGUUACUCUGUCACGGAUUAUUAUUUUUCAGUAGUCAGUUAUCCUAGUGCUUGCUUGGACAUGCUCAACAAUGGAGUUCCUCUAAAUGUAAUUACCAAAGUGAAAUCUUCUGUCAAAGUCAUUUCAAGCCGGAAAAGAUCAGGAAAAAGAAGUCUUGAAACAUCAAGCGAAUAGAGCCCAGCAGGAAAAAUUCGUUUCUGACGGUGAGAUUUGUAAUGUGAUCCUAGAUACAAUCUCAUCUCGAUUAGACUCCAGUACUGGAGGAUGUGAUUGCUGAUAUAAAAAAUAAAUAAAUAAAAACACUUAUAUGUUAUUUCUCAGUUCAAAUCUGGUGAUGAGAUUCAUACAGAAGGACUCGUGGCACGGCUGAAGCAGAUCCAAGGUCAAUACUUGAGGAAAAUCUUGGAACCAUUCCAGCUACUAUUAUUUUUUCCAACUAUUAGAUCUUAACAUCAACAGUCAAUAUCGUUGAAAAAAUCAACAUUGAAGCCAUACAAAUUCACGUAAGGGACACACAAACCCCACAAGAAAGAAAGGAAAAGGGCCUCACAAGAAGUAAAUAAAAUCUCACAAUGAGUAAGAAAACCAAACAUAUUGUAGAAUAAAAGUAAGGCAUUGGAUUGAUCGUUCAUUAGCCGUUCAUGAUCAUGAAUCAAAUCAUUACAUAAAUCAUCACCCACGCAAGUAAAAUAAAAAUCAAGGCUUUGGAGAUUGCUUAACCUUUCCAACAGCGUUGCUGUUUCGAUCGGUAGGCUUGAUACUUUUAGUUUUAUCUAUGUUAACACUAUAGGUAAUUAAGAGUUUAUUUGGUAAUGUGGUUACGGUUAUUUUUUAAAUAAUUUUUUGUAUUAAAAUACAUGUCAAUGAUAUUUUGACAUCAGCACAUCAAAAUAAUUUGAAAACACGAAAAACAUAUUAAUUUAAAGUUAAUAAAAAAUUAAAAAAAUUCAAUGAUAUUUUGAUAUUAGCACAUCAAAAUGAUUUGAAAACACGAAAAACAUAUUAAUUUGAAGUUAAUAAAAAUUUAAAAAAAUUUAAAUUUUUAAAAAUAUUUUUAAAAUAUAAAAAGAAACAGGCUCAACCGCGGAAAGUCUUGCAAAACAAAGCAUGUAUAGGGAGGGUGGCAGACACGUAGCUUCGCUGUGAUUUCUUGACAUUAUAUUUUUUAUUGAUUUGUUUUUUUGUAUUUUAUUAUUUUUUAUGCGGACACCCAAAAAUGAGUUACAACAUUAUUUGAGAAUAGACAAAAAAAAAUUUUUAAUUCAGUUAUAGGAUGAUGAAUUCUCUCUUGGUCAUUCAAAUAUCUUCAUAUAGUUUACAUUAUACCUAAUAUUUACUUAUUUUUUACCAUUGAUUAGAAUAAUAUGUAAUCAGGAUCAAAACAUAACACUCCCUAAAUAAAAUAACUUGGUGAUCUCAAGUCCUUUAAUCUUUGGUGCUUCCCUGAAGGUAGAGUUUCAUCUAUGGCUUUUAAUCUUGAAUAAAUUGCCUAAAAAAAAAAAGACUAAAACUGUGAAUUAUAUUUUACUUUAUCAUAAGAUGGUUUAGAAGUUAUGAUAUCGGGUGACAAAAUAGUUGGGACAAUAGUUGAUCUUGCCUCAAUCUUUGGAUGACGUCUUCUUAUUAUGGAAUGGCAUGGUAUAGGGAUUUAUGACAAAAAAAAAGUGGUGUUUAUUCUUCUCUGGUAUAGUUUAGUCUAUUUAGAAUACCUGUAAUAAUAUAAUUUUUAAUGAGAAAGAAACAAAUUAGAAUGGGAUAUAUUAUUUCUUUUUUAAUUGGGCUGUUAUUUGAGCGAAAUAUAAAGAUUUAGAGCUUUUUCUAUACUAGGUUAGAUUUAAUUUGUUCAUCAAAUUAUUUUUUUAUAUGGACUAAAAAUAUAAAUAUGAGAAUUGAUUCUCCAAUAUUAACGCAUCUUCAAAUGACAAAACAGGGUCUUUAAGAAUUGGUGGUGUUUUUAGUGAUAAUGAAGGAAGAUUCCUUUGUAUUUUUUUCUUGUUCAACAGGUAAUAUAGAAUCUAUUGAAAUUGAGGUCUUGUUAAUUUGAAAAGCUAUGAUUGCUACUAUGUUAUUAAUUGAUGAGUUAGAUUCUUACGAUGUCGUUACACGUCAUAAUUAAAGCAUAAAAUGUCGUGCACGCCGAUGCUUGACUUGCGGUUUUCCAUUUUGAUUUUUAAAUACCAGAAAACAGUAAUUUCCUUAUAGAAACUGGUGGUCUCCUCACGACAUUUUUUUCAAAUAACUGUUGUCAGAAAAUGACUAUCCUCAUUAACAGUAAUUUAUUAAUUUUUUUUAAUAUACUUUGUUCAUGUGAGGUUGUGUUUUCAAAAUCUUCCAAGAAAAAAAGGGACUAAAUGAUGAACCAAAUUGAAUUUCACGCUCCUAAUUUAAUAAAUUAAAAUUUUCAAGCUCUAAAGUUAUAUCCUUAGCACCAUACUCUAUUAAGGAAAAGCUCUAAUAUUUUUAUCAAAAGUUUAUAAUUUAAUAAUCCAAUCUUAAAACAAUACUUUAAUUGUUGAUAUAAAAAUUUAAAACUGAUCUAAUCAAAAGAGUUCAAAACUAAAUGGAAAAAAUAAUUAAAAUAUAAAACUAACUAGAAAAGUAAUUAAAAUAACAAAAAUAAAAUCUUUUGAGCUUAAUUUGAAAAGAUUUGUGUGGUGGAUGUUCAAACAUAUAGUUUUGAAACCCGAUCCGGUGAUCGACCCGGUUUAAUGAUCGGGUCACGGGUCCAAUGGGUUGACCCGGGUUAAUCCAGGUCAACCUAAAAAAAAAAAAAAAAAACUAAUUAAAGGGCAUUUUAUGAAUCAGGGGCAGGGCCGGGCGGUUAAAGAGGAAGAGCUUAUAUAGGCUCCAUUGCUAAAUUAACCUAAUGAGGUGAAAUUUAUCUUCCCCUCCAAUUUGAAAAUAUUUUGAUUGAGUUCAGGGCACAGAGCCCUAGACAAUGAAAAUUAGUAUUCCCCUCCUAUUCAACUUGAGAAGAAUCUUGUCCUCACCUAAAGCAUCUCCUACAUUCCAAAGGCUAGAAGUCUGCUUUCUUCGUAUUUGAGCAUCUUUGCCUCUUUUACUCUGAAUAGAGAAGGAGCUGCUCUAGAAUGCCCUCUUUUGAGGUGCAGAUGAGGUGGAGGAAUCGGUUGUGCACAGUUCCUACUGGGAGGUAUAGUAAAGAAGGUAUAAUCAAUUGGUUUUUCAAACUGUAGCAUAGACACUUGUUUGCCACAGUGGGGGUAGGUACUUUUAGUAAUGAUGAAGAUGAAGAUUUCAGAUGAGGAUUUGGAGAGGCCAUUGGCCAUUUCAGAUGAAGAUUUCAGCCGGGUUUCAGCUGGGUUUACCCGGGUCAACCAGGUUUCGGGUCGACCCGCCGGGUCUACGGGGUUUCACCGGGCCAACUCCCAAGCUAGUUUUUUCUUAGACCCAGACCGGUCCUAGGCCAGGUCGGCUGGGUCCCGGGUCGACCCGUUGGGCCGGUCCGGGUUUCAAAGUGUUUUUCGUUGACUAGAAAGUAUUUUCCGUUAACUAACUUUUCUAAUGAUAAACAAAUACAGGAAAGUUUGAAAAAUGGUUUCCCAGAAAUUAGUUUCCGGGAAACAAACAUGGCCUUAGUAGACCUAGGAAGUCAAGUUUUCUAAUUAUCCACGUCAUCAAUCUCGAUCCCAUCAAAAAUUAAUUUGGUCGAAGAAAGAAAAAAAAAAUUAUCAAUUAUUUUCAAGCUUGUGGAACGGGUGUUCCUCCAUUUUCUUGUUUAACUGUUUUCUUUGCAGACUUGGGAAGUCAUAUGUUAUGAACAAUUGAUUUGAUCUUGUAAAAUUUAUGGCAGAAGAGAUUAGAAAAUGACUUCUUCUUUCAAUAAUCUUCUUCUUUGUGAAAUGAUUUCCCGAUACAGCUCUUAAUUUCAACACCUGCUUGCUCUUCUUUUCUUAGUAGACCUGGGAAGUCAAGAUUCCUAAAUAUCCACAUCAUCAACCUCGACCCCAUCAACAAUAGUGCCCACCAGGAAAAAUUAGUUUCUGACGGUGAGAUUUGUAUAGCUAGUAAACAUGCUCAACCAAUAAUCAUAAAUGAUGCCAAAAUUGUAGUCAAAGAGACUUGGAACUCCCUGAUGAUGGUCUCUAGCUCUGGAGGUUUAUUCUGCCAAAAUUGCAUGGGCCGUUUUACAGCCUUCGUAAUGGGCUUGGCUACUUUGGGUAAUUAAAAAAACCCAAAUCGAUAAUGUUUUUUUUUUCCUUCGGUAUCCGUUUAAUCAAUCUUCUGGUUUGAUCCUUGAUAGUGCUGUGUUUUGAUGCUUGUCGAUUAGCCACAAUAAUGUUAAAUUUACAAGGACAGGUCCAAGAAAAGCAAUGCAGGCCUGUAUUGGUCUCUGGGAGUCCGCUGAUAAAGGCUGCAAUCAUUGCUUGAACCCUUGUAAAGGGGCCUUUACACAUGAGGUCCACUGAAGAAGUACAACACCGUUUUUUAUUUAAUUCUUAUGGUUUAAAUCUACUAAUAACUUAGUCAUUUUGCAUGCUAUUUUCCACUUGUUUUGUAAAAUAGAGAAAAGAACAAAGUAAAUCUUUUUUUUUAGUUUAUGGCAUGUUCUCAAAAGUUUUAUUGAUAUUAAUUAAAUAACAAAGACAUUGAUGUAGCUGAAAAUUGAGAACGAGAGGGAUGAUCAGGAAUGGAUUAAGCAAAUUGGGCUUGAAAAAGACCCAACAGCAGAGAAAAAUCUGAAAUAAACUCUUGAUGUUCAAAAUAGCCCACAAGCAAGGCUUAAAUAGUUAGGGCUGAGAAAAUUACCAAAAUAGGUAAAUACUGAUUAUUCAAUAAAUAUAGAAACUUCCUGGAAUAAGUUUGAUAUCCUUUAAUUUUUUUACCGUCUUAGAACAGUUUAUCCUGUUCGAUUCCGCUUUGCUUCGACCGACCACAAUGAUCCCAUAUCCAUCUAUACAAAAAUCGAUUAAGCUGUCCGUUGACACAUUAACUUCUCUGGCUCCAUUCCAUCCUGGAUUAGCAAUCUUUCCCGGAUCAUUUAUGCCCGUUAGAACUGUUAAGCAUGUUGGAUAUUUUGCAUAAUAAGCUCUCGGGUCCUUUAUCCUCUUGUUUGUCCAAUUUAACUUUCAUGGCAAACGAUGCAAAAUGCUAUCUAUCUUUUUUUUGUUUUUUAACUCUGGGUGUCCGGGUCAGUUUACGCGCACCACAACUAAUCUCAGGACCUACUGAACAUCCUGCAAGCUCAGUAGGCAAAUAAAGUACCGCCGGGGUGACAGACUGGUGCACAGCGAGGAUCGAACUCGGGCAAUUGACCACUGAGUUAAACCCUCAAGUGUCAGCCCUACAACUUGGCCUAGUAUUCAAUAUUUUGAUAAGUCAAAUCUUGUACUCAGAGGCGCAACUAAGGGGUGGCAAGUAGGGUCGGGCCCUGCAACCACCCCUACAAAAUAUUUUAGAAUUUAUUUUUAUUUCGUUAGUUAUUUAUAAAUUUAAAAUUGCCUCUUCGUAUAAGUUGGAAAAAAUAAAAGAUAAAUAAUUUUUUCAAUUUAAUUACUUUUCUUUAUUGUUUUUUUAUUUCCAUUCUCUAAAAUCCUAACCAAAAAAAUAUAAUAAUACAAAGCAAAAAGAAAAAGUUAAAACAAAGUUAUCAAUUAAUUCAUUGUUCAUUGAAACAAGAUAAUUAAUGACCCAAAUUUAAAAUCUUUUGUUUUUUUUGUUUGUUAAGAAUUUGCUUAGAUGUAUAUAUAUAUAAUUAUGCUUCUUUUUUUUAUAGAUCUACUAGGUUUAUCAUUUUUUUAUUUCUUGCUAUAGUGAAUGUUGUUUUUUUGUAAUGAAUUGGAUAUAUUUUAUGGGUUUAUUUUGAUUAUACAUAUAUAUUUUUUUGUUUUGUUUUUAGCAGAAUCGUUAAAAUUAUCAAUUUUUUUCUCACAUAUACCUUACUAUCACCAGAUCCAAUAUAUAAUUAGACACGAUUUUUCUAGCCAAAUUAAGUUCUUUGAAAAACACAUGCCUAGUUUUAAUUCAAUUUAAGUUUUCUUUUUUAGAAAUCAAUAAUUUCAUUUUUUAUGUUAGAUUUGUUUUUAUAUAUCUUUUUUUUUAAUAUGUUGAUUUUGCUUUUAUAAGCCAAUAUGGUUUACAUGUAACAAAUUAUAUUUUAUUAUAUUAGUUUUGACCCUUCCUGUUAAAUAAUCUCAGCUACGCCCCUGCUUGUACUGAUGGGUUUGCCUCAAGUAGGCUAUUCUUAUCGUGAAAAUAAGUUCACAAACAACAUUGCAGAUUAAUCUGUCGAGUUCUCAACAAAAAGACAGUCUUACUCCUAUCGAGAUGAUCUUCUUCCUUUCAUGUCUGGUAUUGAUUUUUCUUACAACGGAUUCACUGGCAAAAUCCAACCAAAUUUUGAAAUUGUAAGUGAGCUACGAGCGGUAAAUCUAUCACACAUUAAUCUCAUUGGAUCCAUCCCCGCAACUCUUUAGAACCUGAAGCAGAUUGAGAGUUUGGAUCUUUCUCACAGCAAAUUGACCGGUACGGUACCAUCCCUUCGCAGCUAUUGAGGUGAGCACAUUGGAGGUUUUCAGUGUUGCAUACAAUAACUUGUCCGGUAAAACUCCAGAGAGGAAAGCUCAGUUCGGAACCUUUGAUGAAAGUAGUUAUGAGGGAAAUCCUCUUCUUUGUGGACCUCCAUUGCGAAUUUGCAGUGAAACAAACUCGUAAUUGCGCAGCCUGUACCUAAUAAUGAACAAGAAGAUAAUAAUGGUUUCGUAGACAUGGAUGCUUUCAUUGUGAGCUUUGAGGCAUGUUACAUAAUUGUGUUGUUGGCAAUUGCAGCAGCUCUUUACGUAAAUCCUUACUGGAGAAGAAGAUGGUUUUACUUCAUUGGAGAGUGCUUAAGCAAUUGCUACUGUUUUCUAGUGGUUAAUUUCCGUAAGCUGUCCAACAUCAUGUCAUCGGACCUCUGUAUAAUCAUUCAAUUAGAUGACACAUUUAAAAAUUUUAAAAACUAAUAAUACUAUAACUAUGAAGAACACCUAAAAUAUUUAAUUUUAUUCUUCCAAGUCUCUGCUAAACUAAUGAUACACAAUUGUGGUACUAGCAAUUGCGGGAGUUUUGUACAUAAACCCAUAUUGGCGACAUAGGUGGUUUUACUUCAUUGAAGAGUGCAUGGAGACUUGCUACUUUGAAUUGCAUACAUUUCAUAAGCUAUCCUCCUUCAUAAGGCCAUAGGGUCUGAUGCGUGCCUUUUGUUUUUUCAUAUUUUUUAGUUUGAACUAAUAAAACCUUUACUUUUUUUCAAGCUUCAGUUCAUUUUAUUGCAGUUUCUCAAAUGAAUUCUACAAAUUCAAGAUAUAUAUGCAUCCUUAAUGCCAUAUUAAAAAGAAUAUAUAGAUAGAAGAAGAGGAGCUUUACGUGAUAUGGAUAGCGUGAUGCUCCUAAGCCUAGAACCAGCUAAAACUUAAUAUUAUGAUGAAUAAUUCAGCAAAACUUAAUUCAAUUUCAACUUCCAAUCUCAUCAUUAGUACAAAAUGCAGAGUCAGAUUGAAAGGAAAUUGAUUGGAACUUGAAAUUCAGGUAACAAUACUUCUAGCAGAGCUUCCUCCUUAGCCUCUCCCUAUUGUAUCUUCUUCGAGUGGAACUCUUAGCUUUUUGCCCUCCAAGAUAUAUGUUCUCAUCUUUCUCAAGUACUCUCUUUUCCAUCCAGCAUAAGCAAUCACAACUUACCUCAACGGAAAACUUUAUAGCCAACUUCAAGUCUUCAACCAAUAUUUAAAAGGAAUUUUGUCCUUUGUUUGAUAAGCAAAAUCAACAGAACCUGUCGUUGACUUUCUAGCUCAUAUAUAGCAGUAGCCAUUUUAAGGAGCAGAAACAAACACUGUAGAGAUUUAUCAUCACGAAAAUCUAGUUGAAGCCAACUACAUCAAAACUCCACAGCCAAUGUAUUAAUCUAGUUCUGUAAGCCUACACCUUUGGCAUUUUUAUAUAAACUUAUAUCCUAGCUUAAUAACAAGUAUUUUAGUUACUGGAAAAUAAAUAGAUAAGAUAAUCCUAACUUAAUCUAAAUUAAAUAGUUAACACAAUAACACAAAUCAAAACUCAGGAAACAAGAAACAAGUGUGAAUUGAGUUAAAACAAAUAUGAAAUCAAAUAGAGGAUGGAAAGUUUAUUUUUAGAUCAAGAAUAGCAUGUAUUAAAAAGAUAAUAAAUAAAAUUAGAGUAAUAACAUUGCUACAACUUAUCAUUAAAUUUCAUUUGCAAUUUCCUCUCAAUUUUCUGUAGUUUUGUAGAGACAAAGAUUAGUUGGUCCUUACGGGAAUUUUUCUUCCUUAAUUUCACUCCCAUUUUCCAAACGAUGGAAUUCAUACAACCUUUCGAUUUUAUUUCCACGUAAAAUCCAUUCUUCUGUAUCAAACAGAACAUAAUAAUGGGCCAUAUUUUAAUUUAAAUAUCUUUUUCCUAAUAUUUAAAGCCUUUUUGCUGGGAAAAUGGGGAUUUGAGAGAAAAGACAAUAGAUAAGAAAGGACAUAAAAAAAAGUGAGAGAAAAUGAUGGUGGGUCUUCAUUCUUCAAGGACCGUAUUGGAACUCCUUGGAGGCAUGCGUGAGAGGUGAAAUGGAAAAGUAUAGGGAUCAAAGUGUAAUUUCAAUGAAUAUAUAGGGCUUAAAAUACAAUUUACCCUUAAUUUUUCAUGGAUGACGCAGUCACAAGGGGAGGAUAGAGGUCAUUUCUGAAAUGAUAAGACAGGCAGUGACAAUAAGUAAAAUUUUGUAAAUCAUCAUCAAUAAGAAAUCAUGACGUGGGGACAGAUCAGACGGUUGAUAGUGACUCUUUUUACCCGCUCUCUUUCUCUCCGUGGGGGGUUUUAGGACAGUAUCGCGCGAGAUGCGCGGGUGCCGUGUUCUUACAUUUCCAAGGUGCAUAGUGGGAUCCAUGUCUUUAUCCAACCAAUUAAAAUCUUGUACUCCUUGGGACCCACUCGGUUUCUAGUUUUUUCUUUUUAAAAAAACAAAUUCAUAAAAGCCCUCAACCUUCGAGGCUCCUCUCAAGCUAGUCUCAUCUCUAUCAUAGCAAUAUUAGAAUUUUUAUUCAUUUUUAGUUAACAGAAAAUUUAAGUAAUCACUUGAAAUUUAUAUGGUUUUUUUUAUAUCACUUGAAAUUUAUAUGGUUUUUUUUAUAUCACUUGAAAUUUAAGUAAUCACUUGAAAAAAUUCUCAUUUUAAAUCGCUUGAAACUAAUUUUAUAAAGAAACACAACCAUCUUACAUUUUUAUAAUUUAUAUAAUUUGUUUAAUUACAUUAAAAAAUGAUAUAAUAAGAUGAAGAGAAAUCACAUAAAUGUUUGAUUUUAUAGCCCUUUAAAACAAACUCAUCAAAAUAUUUAAUCCAAAUUAUAGACUCUAAUAUGAAUAAAUAGAACUGGGCUAACUAAAAAAAAGCAUGUUCAUGUAAAAUGACUAGUCUGACUAAAAAAAUCUAAAUUUCAUUUCGACCUUUAAAUCAUUUUUAAAUUUAAACAAGAGAUUCUAGGUCUCAAUUCUAUAAAAAGGUGGCCUCGGCUUGAUGUUUGAGUCAAUUUCAUUCUAGUCUGCAUGGCAAUGGUCCCACUCAAUCGCAGUAUCCACAUGAGCAGAGUCUAAUGAACUACUCAACAUGCAUUUGGUUCUGGUAAUUCAAUUAUGCGAAGGGUGUAGGUUCGAAUUCUUCGACUUAAACGAACAUGUUUGCGUAAUUAAGUGUUCAAUCACGUACUUCGCUAUUGAAAACAUUUAGAAUUUAUCAACAAUUCAAUUAAGCAGGUAUAUACAGACUUCCAACAUCUGUAGAUAUCAUUGAAUCAUUAGUGAACACUGAGUAGACCGAGAUCCAGAUCAAAAUGUGUCACUUAAGCUCUUAAUAUUACAGAAAACUUACAAUUGCCCUGAUGGUUAGCACAAAAGACCGGCUUGGAGUUCAGACUAGCCAAAUUGCCCAACUCUUUAAGCCUGAAUUUUAUCACCAUCAUAAAAUGGGGAAAUUAGUUUAGAUAUACAAGGCGAAAUGGAAUUAAUUACCUCACAUUUUGAACUUCAGAUUGGUAAUGCAUGACCACUUGCAGGUCCUCCUAGUGUUAGAACCACACCUUGAAGAUCACUUCUUGGAUUUGAUUCUUUGGCUAAUGAUGGAGCAGCUCUGAUUACCGGAUAUGUUCUGGUCACUUGAGUUUGUCGAGAACUAUGACUGGAUUCUUGUCCUGAGAAUGUUGUUGGAUGAUGAGAAGGCUUCAAGGUAUCAGUAUGAUUGGAGUUUGGAAAUUGAUGAACAAUGGGGAUUUGAGUUGCUGGUGAUGCAUGAUUUUGAGCUAGAAUUGCCCCUCUCGAUACGAAACCAGGUGCCUGAUAGAUAAAAUUAGGUUUCAAUUCGAGUUCGAAAUAUACUGCAACUGAGGAAGUAAUGAGGAGCUUACAGGUGAAAACAAGACCCCUCUGAAAAUCUUCCCAUUAACAGUUGCAGUCAUUAAAAGGCCUGAGUCGAAGGCUCCGUCAACUUUACCUCGAACUUCAGCACCAACCUAUGGAGAAAGAGAAGAAAGUGAAAAGCAUGUAUUAGCAGAACAGGAAGAAAAACAAAGACAGGAAAAAUUGUAAUCGACAAUGUUUUGCAUUGCAUAUAUCAACUUAAUGAUUUACCAGGUUUUGAAUACACCCUGGCUCCAUGGGUUUAUGUUCCACUGCUGGGAAUGGUGUUCCUUGCCUGCCCAACCCUGCAUGAACAUAUUGCUCUACUCUUUUAUUCUCUCUUGAAAUUUGGAGCCUUUGCCGGGUUUUUUGGAUCACAAGUCUAGGUAGUUUCUGAUUACUUGCAACACUAUCAGCCUGGUAAUUUCUUGGAAUUUUGUUUAACUGCCUAAAGAAAUUAAGUCCUUUGCAAGAUGUGAGGGAAUCAACUGAUUUCUGAACCGGUAUCUGUUCUUGGUCGGACUGAGACGGAGAUGAAUGGUGAGAGGGUGAAAGAGAAUGCUCUUCUUGUUCUAAAUCAAUCUCCCAUGCUUUUGAAUUUGUAGGUCUUAUCUUCUUAUGAUGCAGAGUAUCUGAAAGGAACGUUGUAGGUUUUUGUUAUUAAUACUACCUGAACUGAACUGAAAAGGUUGCUUUGAUUCUUCUGAUUCAUAUGAGCCCUUCAUGUCUAUUUCAUUGUUUCCCAGAAACAUUGACUGCUUCACAGAACAAAAUUAAUAACCCUCCCAACUUGAACAGGCAUAUUUAACAGGAGGUCAAGUGUUUGCAUUUUGAGAGUAAAUAGUUUAGUUACCGAAAUAUCUUCUGCUCCUGGGAGAAAUCUCUUUUCUUGAUUCCAAUGUUGUCCAAAGAUCUUGCACAUGGGAAUGUUGUAUCGACCAUUGGGAUGUUCUGCUCCAAGUUGCAAGACCAACAACUGAUUGAGAGGACGCUCAUCCUCUCUGCACCUGCACAUACAUACACACACACAUACAUACAUAUAGAAUUGAAUUAGGAGAUACAUGAAGAUUAUGGGAGGCAGUGUUGAGAACAGAAGCUGCAGAUGCGAAACAAAAACUUUCAGUUACCCUCCAUAGAUGACAAUAUCUGAGUCGGUGACAACCGCAGUGUGAGAAAACCUCCCUUGAGGUUGCUGGCCAGAUAUAUCAAGUUGAAUCCAUGAACAAGUACUCACAUCAAGCACCCAAACAUCAUUGUAGUAAUGUUUGUCCCCAACACCUCCAAUGACAUAAAGCUGCAGACCAUGGAAAGCACAUUAAAUCUCUUUCCAAAAGCCAACAAUUGAUAAAGGAGCAUCGAAGAAUCAAAGCCUUCAAGCAAAAACAGGUGAGCAUCAAUAGCACAGACAACAGAAUAGGGUAUAACAUUCCGAAGAAAAACUAGUCUAAUUUUCAAAUCUAUUUCAGUGCCAUGACUUGCCUUUGUUCCAAUAUAUAUAUAUAUUAGAGAUUGGUUGGUUAUUUAAAUUAAUUAUUGAUAUCCAUCAUUUUUUUAAUUCAAAGUUUUCUCUAUAGUUUAGGAAGAACGAGAAAUUUUAGAGAUUGAGAAACCCUAUAUUUUAUCCUUUGUUAAAUGUGGCAUCAAGUUAGGAGUAAGCCUUCUAGUUUAAUAGAUCAUAGAUAUAACACAAAUAUCUAUGUUCAUGUUAAAUAUUAAUGAACAAUGUUAUUUGGAUUUCUGUACUCUUAUAAUUGUUCAUUUGUAGAAUUGAUGGAGGUUCUUCAAUAGUUCUUCCAUGGAAUAGUUUAAAGAUCAGAUUUUAAUUACCUUCAGCAGGUAUGGUGCUAUGGAAGUCGACUCCGGUUAAGGAUAGGACUUUAAGAGUAGACAAGGGUCUCAUUUUCCUAAGAAAGCUUGCUGGGAGAGAAGAAUAAUCGAGGAACACUUCUUCCAGGCUAGACGAAUUACACAACCCUGUAGAACAGAUAAAAUAAAUCCAUUAAUAUAUUAUAAAUAUCAUAUUGUUUUAGGCACCAAAACUGUCACUGACCUUUCCCAAAGUGUUUAAAUUUACUACCACUUGCUUGUAAGGUCUUGAGGGAUGGCAACGCUCCCAAUGACUCUAUCAAAAUGCUUUCCUUGAAGUCAAUCAUUUCCAGAUACAAGAUUUCUAAAUUCCUUAAACCUGUGAUAUAGAGAACAAUCAAUAAUAAUUAUUUACAAUAAUUAAAUAAUUUUUAAUGUUAGAGUUAAUAUAUACAAGACAUAGCUUAAGUUAUUAAAUUAAAAUAAUUUUUAAUAUAAUAAUUAAAUAUUCACGAGAAUCAUAUCACCUUUAUUUAUUUUAAAAAAUUAAAAACAAAAUUAAUUAUGUGUAUAUUUAAGUUUCAAUUACUUCAAAAUUACUUCACUUAAAAAAUUACGAUAAAGAAUUAGUUAUAUAAAGCCUUUUUAAAGGUUCAUUUAAGCAAAUUAAUGGUCAAUCACACAUCUAAUUAUUAAACAAGUUAACUAAAGAAUAGAUUAAGCAAAAACAAUAUAUAUAUAUAUAUAUAUAUAUGUUCAACGAAAGUUAUGAUUAAGACACAUCUAAUUAUUAAAUAAGCUUAAUAAAAAAUAAAUUAAGCCUCACUAAAGACAUGCGCAGGUUCCGAGAACAAGUUGACUCUUGUCAAGGUGGUGAGCUCGGUGAAGGCAUUGUAAUACUCAGAGUAUGAAAAUAGAUAUGGAUCAACCUUUAAUGGGUUGCCCCCAUAGGUAAAGGUGGAGAGCUACCUGGACUCUUGAGACUAAGAGUGAGAGACUCACAGAGAAGUAAGGCGUGGUUCCUAGGGUGGAACAGAGGGCAGAUGCAACUCCUGGGUGAGUAGACUCUUGGAAGUAUGGUGAGCUCGUGAUCAUAUUGAGAUACUCAAAUAAUGACUGUCGCACUUGGAAAUGGAAAUUUCCGUUUGAGGGGGUGUUGUAAGCCUUGGUGUGAGGCUUGAUGAAUCAUUCCGGACCGAGCAUGGUUAAUACGCUCGAAGGGGAAUGUUGUGUCCCAGAGACAAGCGUGAACACUCUUCAGAUGUGAAGUGGCAGACCAUCUGGUUGUAGUGAUCCUUUUGUGUGAGAAAAGGUGUACUUUGGUGACUCUGGUGAUUGAAAGGUGUGGCAAGUACCUGUAAACUUGGCCGGAGAUGCUCUCGGAAUGGUAAGCUUGGAAGAGUUGCAAGAUGCAAGCUUGUGCUAAAGAAGUAAGCGGGCAACUGCCCAACAUGAAUGGCAAAGGGGGUGAUUGUUGGGUUGGUUGCCAUUGCAUGUGCAACCUACCCUAUAAAGAAGUAGGGUUACCAUUUGUCAAUGGUGGUUGCACCCACCAUUGACAAAUGUAUCAACCCAUGUGCGGCUGCUGUUAUUGAAGAAGAAGAGCCACCAUCCUUGCCUAUAAAUAGGCACCAAGAAAGAGAGCAAAAUGAGAGAGUUGUGAGAAUGUAAAGAGUGUGAAGAGAGAAAGAAAGAGAAGGGCUGCUGCCUUAUGCAGCUGCUGCCCUAUGCAGCAAUGAGAGAUGGGAGUUGAGUGGAUGUGAUCCUCCUCCAUGUUUGUAUUCUUUCUCUAUCUCUAAAUAAUAUAGACUCUCUCCCGUGGAUGUAGGCGAUCUGCCGAACCACGUUAAAUAUUGUGUCAGUGUGCUUGCUUUUCGUUGAGCAAUUAUCAGUACAUCACCGGUCGGAGUUUCCCCAACAUUCAUGUACGCCUGAAAGGAGCCAUGGAAUUUCAACAAUGCCAUCUCCAAGGAGCCAUGGAACUUUAAAGUGGGAUGUCGUGUACGCCUGAAUUGUAUAGUGACAAUGGUGGAACUGAUGCGGUUGCAUAGCACCAACCAGUACUUUCCUAAUGAUUUCCUUGCGGAAAAAAUUAAGGCAUGUUGGAAAACGAUGCCACCCUAACAAUUAAUCCAAGAGUUCAAAUUCAACUUGAAUAAAAGCACGAUAAAUGGAUAAUUUAGAGGAGAAAGGAUCCAAGAACAUCAUGAAGGGAUGGUUCUAUUUUGUUACGCAACAAUCUCAACAGCUAAUUAAGAGGUUAGAUUGUAGGGUCUAAUUUCAAGUGCAAGACUCUAUUGAUUCUCAUCAUUAUAGUAAUAAAACCAUGACCAUUUUUAUUAAAUUAAGAGGAAACACAAAAUUAAACAAGAAAAUCUUAAGAGUUCAGAAAUAAAUCUAACAUUGUCGAACAGACUGUGAGCAAACCCAGAUUUGGUGGAAGAUAGAAAUAUGAAGAGAGAGCAGAAAUUGAUGGUCUCCUUGUUUUUCAUGGUCUCCUUGUUUUGCAUUUAAGGUUCGGCCAUCUAAGCUUCUCAUUGGGUUUUAAUUUCCUGAGUUAAUUUCAUCAUGGCUGGACUUGAAUAUCUCUAUAUAUACACUUAAGGCUGGGUGAGCUUGUCUCUUUAGCAGGCCUUCUUAGGCUUUUGUUCUUUCAAACAAUGUCAGCUCUAAGCCCAUUAUUUUACAGAAAAGGUAAAAUACACUUGUCAUGGCUGAUUGAAAUCGUGGAAGAAAAAACUAGAGGAAAGAUAACCGAUUGACCCCCAACGAAGACCAAUGCAGAGGAAUUUCAAAGGGGAAAAAAGGUGGCGGCUUUAUGAUGCAGUUCAUCUAAAGAUAAACCUAAUCUGAAUUAAUUGUUCGGUCUCCUUCAAAGCGAAAUAACUUUGCCAGGUUUCCUCCCAGUGACAUUACAUUAUUAAAGUUAAAAGCGCUGAAGCACAAUUCAAAGACAAUAAGUAGUAUUAAACUUAAUAAGCUAGUUCAAUGGAGGAGAAUGGUGUGCUGAAACACUAUGAUUUUCAAAAAAAUUGAAGCAUAUCAGAUCCAUGCUGCUGCAUUCGCAAGAAACGAGCACCCAUCAACAAUGUGCUAAAUGUCAAUGCAGAGCUUUAAAUCAUCUACAGAGGCUCAUGAAGAAAAUAGGCAUAAAUGAUAACAGAUAACACACCAGAGCACUCUACGUAAACUGAUAUCUUUAGAAAAUUCAAAGGCAUGAAUGAAAAAGAAAAGCGAGGAAUAUCUAAGUCAACUCUUAAUUUGUAACAGUCCACAACUUCAUGUUUGGUGUGUACUGUAAACCAUGCUCUCCACAUAAUCACGAGCUUCAUCUGCAAAAAACCAUUUUCACUUCUGGGGACAAGGGAUCAAACAAAUAUAAACCUGUUGUUGGAUUACAUUCAUAAUUUAUAUCAAGCCCUAGCUGCUGCUCGAAGGUAAGAAUUGGCUGGUUGCUCAGCACAACAUAACUGAUACAAACAAUUACUGAUACAAGCAAAGGACAAACACAAGUCACAUCAAAACAGAAAGGCUAAGCAACAAGAACACUUCUCACAGGCAAAUUGCUAAACAUGUAGUUAGCAACCAUUGAUUUGGAAUGCGACUGCUUCUCCACAGAGGAUUACAACAAAUUCAGAAAGCAGCCCACACGCUCCUGAUAAGAUCCAAUCACCUUCUGAAUCUGGACAACUUGGGAAAGUUUAUAGCCAAAAAGCAGCAGCAAGUGUCAAUGCAUUCUUCAAUGAAGUAAAACCAUCUGCGUCGCCAAUGCGGAUAUAUGCACAGUACUGCUGCAAUUGUCAACACCACAGUUAUGUAACACCCACCAAAGCUGGCAUAGAAACUGUCCAUGUCUAUGAAGCCACCAUCUCCAUUGAAAUCGUUAGGCACUCUAGCGGAUGGUGAUUCUGUUUUGUCGCAACUUUUUUGCAAUGGAGGUCCACAAAGAAGAGGAUUCCCUUUAUAACUGCUCUCAUCAAAGGUACAAAUUGAUUUUUCAUCUCCGGUGUUCUUCCUGACAAAUUAUUGUACGACACGUUGAAAACUGCUAAAAGGUCAGUUCAACGAGUUGUGCAGGAAUUCUCCCAUUCAAAUUGUUGUGAGAAAGAUCCAAGCUCUCUAUCUGCUUCAGAUUGAGAAGGAUGAAGGGAUCAAUCCAGUGAGAUUAUUUGUGACAGAUUUAGAGAAUAUAUCCCACUUAAGUUUCCCCAUUCUGUCGGGAUUUCUCCAGUGAAUCUGUUACAAGAAAGAUCCAUAACAGAC